UUCAAUUAGCUACAAGAGCUCUUUGUUCACUAUUAGAGGAAAGGAAAGGGGUGAUGGGGUAUGAGGGAAGGAGUUGUAAUCGGGAUCAGGAAGGUUCUGUGUUCAGAAGGGGUCUUCCUUGUGGGGUUGAGAGGGCCGUUUUUUUCUGUUGCUUAGGCCUUCUUGUUAGGGACGUUCUUUCUUCCUCAAGGGUUGGUUGUAGUAAGGGUGGGGGACAUUUGUUUUUCUUUUUCCUUUUUCCUUUUUCAUGCUUCCCUUUAGGCCUUUUUUGUAUACUAUGCAUAUGCUUCAUUGCACCCUUUUGCAAGUGUCUUAAUAUGUCAUGCUUAUUUACCUAUAAAAAAAAAUGUACAAUUUCCUAGGAUGGGCGAGAGUGUAUAUAGGUGACUAUUUGUAGGACUUCAUUGAUUGGUUAAGCUCUAAGUAGGAAGAGAGUAUUGUUUUUUGUGUCUAUCUUCAUUUUGUGUGGCCUUUUGGCAUCUUUAUAUGUAUUGUCUAUACUUUUGUGACUUUUUUUUUUGGGCGCUUUUUUUUUAAAAUUGAUCUUUGCCUAAAAAAAUGAAGAAGAGAGAGAGUGGAGUGGCAUGGGGAAUUCACUCACUGUUAUUUUUUAUUUUGCAUAGGCUAAAGCGUCAAAUGAAGUUCUAUAAGAGUAAGAGCAGUAUAUGUAUUGGCAACUGGGUGCAUUCAAAGUGUGGAAGAAGAUAAACACAAGUGCUUCUAUGAAUUUCAUUGGGAAUAAAAUUGUUGAGUGACAUUAACAAGAAACAUUUAUGGCUGAUAAGCUGAAUUGUUAACCUUGCUCUACUAUAUGGGACCAAAAGUACAAAGAAACUAACAAGUCAUAUGAAACAUAUGGUGAGGUUUCCUUUUUGCAACAGUAUUUGUUGAUUCCUGCCAGCACAUGAAAGUUGGUACAAGUGCCUUGAGAUGUGAACCUGGGUUUUAGAGAAUCAAAUGGAUCAUGCAUAAAUUAUUGAAUUAUCUACAUACUUCUCGUGAAAUACAGCAAGUUAGCAAAAAUAAUCAUCAAUAAAGAUAAUAUCUAUUGCCACUGUUAGGAUAGGAGUAGGUCCAUAUAUAUCAGAAUGAACCAAGUCAAAUUGGAGAUUGCAUGGUUUCACUAAUGAAAAAGGCUAUGCCUAUCAUUUUUCAUGUUGACAAGCCAUAGGAAAUGACAUGGACUCCUAUAUGGAGCUGCGGACAACAGUAUUCACAGAGAAUCUAAGCUGAACUUGAAUAUGGGCAAGCCUACUGUGUCAAAAAUCAAAAGGGGACCAAAACAAGCCAAACUAGUAAAUGUCGUAAUCAAUUGCAAAUGGUCCCAUAAGAAAUGAAAAUAUUUGAUGAUACAUUCAGUCUACAUUCCCCGAUAAUACAAACUAGUCUACAUUCCCUGAUGUUUUAGGUUGGUUUAAAUGCGGUUUUGUAAUAUGAUUUUCAGAUAUAGAGAUCAGAUUAAAAUUUCUAUAUCUCUACAAUUAUAUGAUGAAUUUUUGCUUUGAAGAGAUGAUCUAGCCCAUGGUAUUUCUAAUACGUGCACUUGUUUGCAUUUGAAAACUGUCUUAGCAGAAGUUGUAAAGAAGAAGAAGAAGAAAAGUAAAAGCAAGUGAGUGCCCAUAUCUAGUUUUGGUUAUCCUAUUAUCAGUAAAGCUUUUUCACCUGAAAGGUUGAUGGUUUUUCUUCCAUGGUAUGCAGGAAAAAGAAAGAACUACCUGAGCAGACUGAUCCACCAUCCAUUCCUGUUGUUGAACUUUUUCCCUCUGGGGAGUUCCCUGAGGGUGAAAUUCAACAGUACAAAGAUGAGUGAGUAUAAGCUAUUUUUCUUUGACCAUAAUAACUUGUAAUUUGCUUAAGUAUACACAAAACAUAAUUCCUAUAACAUAGCUGGAAUAUGGUUUAUUCUGAGUAUUAUUUUUGUUUUGGGCUCAGGUUGUACAUUUGUAUUGCUCCUUUACUUUUGUCGAUCAAAGUCUGUUGUAUUCAUGUCAAAUGGAAAAAUAUGCUCAUGCUGCUCUAUGGUUGAUCAUGAGAAGGCCCUGAUUUGUGGGUUAAAUGCUCAUUCAAUUGGUUUAAGUGCAACAAGGAGCUGAUUUUAUUGUUCUAGUGGUCAUAUAUAAGUAGCACAAGAAUAGAUACAGGACAAUGUGAUAAGUCAAACACAUGCUAACAUGACAACUCCUAAAAAUAGGAUAUGGGCUAGACAAAGAUACAACAAGAAUAAUACCUGUCAGGGCAUGGCCUAGUGGUAAGGGCAAGUGCUGGGAUGUGUGGUAGAGGCACACGGUCUUGGGUUCAAUCCUUGCCAUUGGAAAUCCCUAGAUUACCCGAAGCUGGCUGUGGCAGGUGUUGUCAGUCUCCCUGGGGUUUGGAAGCCAUGGGUGGGUCCAAAGGGCCAUGCCAUUAUGGGAUUUUCUGGUUAAAGAAAAAAAUAAAAUAAAAAUACAGGCACUGUCCCUUGCAUUUGUUUAGAGAACUGUCUCCAAAAUGUAGUAUACAAAACCAUGUUGAUUUAAUAUUAGGAGCUAAUCUAUGCAGAAAAAUGAAGAAGGUUGUGUUUGUAGGAUUUUAUUAAGAAUUUUUGUUCAGUAGGGGAGGAUGCUUAGGGGAGGAAGAAGUCGGUUUGUGGUGGAGUCCAAAUUGUUUGAGAUUGUGGUUGAGGAUUCGGGUGGAAAGCUGAAAGGAUGUGUAUGGGAGAGAAGUAGGGGUUUUGCUUCUUGGAUUAGAUUUGGGGAGGCUAGUCUUCGUUGUCUUUUGGAAGGCGUUGAAACCUGUUGUAGAGAGGUUGGUGAUCAAAGAUGGGUUAUUGAAUGGAUGGAGGAAAACAGAAAGUUUAGAAUGGAGCGACGGCUGAACAAGGCAGGGAGGUUCAUCCUAUGCUCUGUUCGAGAUAUAGAAGCUAAAAGACAUAGCAUUAUCUUCCCUGAAGGGAAGGGUCAGGCCAGUGGCUGGAACUCUUUGGCCGUGAGGUCGAGAGGUCUUGGAGUGAUCCCGUCAAAAGGAUUAAAGUUUACCAAUGUGCCAGAGGAUCCAUUGAAGCCGAAGGGAGUCCUGAAGGUUCAGUGGAAGGAAAAGGGGUGGAAACGAUGUCUUUUGCAGAAGCUAUUAAGUCGACCCUGAGAAGGGCAGGUGAGUCAGUGUGGUUAGAGGUAGGGGAAAAAGAGGUGUGUGGAAGACUAGAGCAACUAAGACAUUGUCUGAUAGGGAGGUGGGGUUCUAUCUCAGCUCCAUUACUUGAGUUGGAUUACGUUAGUAACUGGACCCGUCAAAAUUGGGAGGUUAAGGGGAAGAUGACGAUUGCUGUGUCAGGUAGGGGUAUUAUGAUGUUUGAUUUUGAGCUGGCUCAAGAGGCUGACCGUGUUUUGGCCAGAGGUAAAAGAAGCAUUAAGGAAAAUUGUCUUAUCUUGGACAGAUGGAACCUAGAGGUGGGGUGUUCCUGCAAGAUCUCCAAUGCCGUAGAGACAUGGGUAAGGGUGGUCGGGCUCCCACUCCAUUUUUGGAGUUUUGAGGUGUUCAAAAGAAUUGGAGAUGGGUGCAGAGGAUUUAUAGUAGUGGAUGAAGGAACCAAAUCCAUGUCUGAGUUGCAAUGGGCUAGGAUUUUGGUGAAGCGUGCGGAUUGGGAAGUCCCUAACUCUGCUCAUAUAGUUUUGGGGACGGGUUGCUUUUCUCUCCAACUGUGGUGGGAAUCUGCACCUUGGUUCUCGCAGGUGGUGCCAACGGGAAGCUCCUCCGGGAAGGGCGGGCUAAGGGUAGGCGAAGAAGCUGCUGAGUCUUAUCAGGUGGCUUGUUGCGAGAGUCAAAGGAAGAGGGUGGAGCAGUUGAGGUUGCAGGCGGAGGUACAAGACGUGGCGCUCGAUGGAGGAAAACCACCCAUGCCUUCUGAUGAGGCCUUUGCAGAAGAGAUUGUUGAGAGGAGAUGGGUUGGUGGUCCAGCCGAUCUAGUGGGAGGGGGUAAGGAGUCCUCUCCCAUCAGUCUGGACGAAUUUGGAUGUGGGCUGGCAGGCCCUUGCAGUGGGCCUAGCUGUGGACCUUCAGCUUUAAGCUGUGGGGAGGCCCAAGACUUUUGUCUUGUAAGCCGGGUGGUUUUGGGCCGGGAUCCAAGGCCCAGUCACCUAAAAGGCCCCUUAAGUAACAGAGAGGGGGUGUCGGGUGAGGCCUGUGGGCCUGUUCGAGCUGUCGCAAUGGGAGAAGGGGCUUUUUAUGGGAACGAGACCCCAAUCUCUCCUCCUAGGGCUCGGGUUAUGCAGUCGCCAUCCAAAAUCAAGGGUGGAAGUCGAGACGCAAGCAGAGAAGCCGACCCCCUCGUCGGGUUGUCGAGAGACUCGACGAUGCUAUGCUCCUCACAGUUGAUGGAUCGGGGGCACUUGACUAACGAAGCGCUUUGCGAAGAGGCUUCUAGGUAUGUCGAUCUUUGUUUUAUUCCAUUGGGGGGUUGGGAUCUCUCUUCUUCUUCUCCUUCUUCUUUCGAACGGGUUACUUUGAAUGAGGGGUCCUUCGGUGUUUUGGCGUCUGAGGUUAACGAAGAGGAGUAGACUCCGUUGAGCAUCAUUCUAGCUGACGGUAGCAAUGGGGUGCUAGCCUCUAAGGGAGAGAAGCCAGUGAUUAGAGAAGGUGCGGGAGGGGAGUUUGAGGGGUUGCUUUAGGACCUUGAUGGAUGCCGUUGGGACGACAGCUGCCUGGCGAGGUUUAGUAAAUUCUUGGGCUUCUCCACGGAAGGUUUUCAAGGCGAAAUCCUGAAUUUGCUCCUAAGGACUAAGAGAAGAAGAGAGCAAAAUCUGAAGAAGGGCUCGUCAGGGACCACUAAGUUUGAUCGGGAGUUGAAAAAAGUUGAGUGGUCUAUUAAUUAUAAUGGGGUGAGAAAGGAGAAUUCUUUGGCCAGAGAAGGUGGGGUUAGAAUCUCGACAGGUUAGAUGAAGCUANNNNNNNNNNNNNNNNNNNNNNNNNNNNNNNNNNNNNNNNNNNNNNNNNNNNNNNNNNNNNNNNNNNNNNNNNNNNNNNNNNNNNNNNNNNNNNNNNNNNUUCUUUGGCCAGAGAAGGUGGGGUUAGAAUCUCGACAGUUAGAUGAAGCUAAAGAUUCUAUCCUGGAAUGUCAGAGGGGCUAAUGACAGAAAUAAAAGGAAGGUAAUCAAGACCCUAAUUAGGUCGCAAAAAGUGGAUGUGGUGUGCUUGCAGGAGACCAAAAUUCAAGAAAUGUCCCAAGGGGUUAUUCACAGUCUUGGUGUGGGAAGAUUCUUAGGUUGGGGAGCUGUGAAUGCAAGGGGGGCAGCUGGAGGGGUGGUGGUUUUCUGGGAUAAGAGAGUGUUGGAGUUAGUAGGCCUGGAAGUGGGAAUCUUCUCAAUCUCGUGUCGGUUCAAGAACUGCGAGGAUGGGUUUACGUGGUUCUUUACGGGGGUCUACGGACCUACUUUGAAAAGUUAUAGAGAACCUUUUUGGGAAGAGUUAGGUGCCAUUCGAGGACUGUGGUCUGAUCCUUGGUGCAUCGGUGGGGACUUCAAUGUUAUUAGAUUUCCCAGUGAACGUAGUAGAGAAGGAAGAUUGUCUGGUACUAUGAGAAGGUUUUCGGAGGUGUUAGAUGAGUUGGCUUUAAGAGAUUUGCCUCUUCAGGGGGGUCCUUAUACGUGGAGUGAAGGGCUGAAUGGCCAAUCCAGGUCAAGACUAGAUCGCUUCUUGAUUUCGGAGGAUUGGGAAAAUCAUUUUAGUGGAGUGUCUCAGAGCACACUCCCAAGGCCUGUGUCUGACCACUUCCCAAUCCUGUUAGAUGGGGGUAGGGUGAGGAGAGGUCCAAUUCCUUUUCGUUUUGAGAACAUGUGGUUGAAGGAGGAGGGCUUUAAGGAGCUUCUUAAGGGCUGGUGGCAAGGUUUUAAUUACAGUGGGUCUUAUAGCUUUGUCCUCUAAGAAAAACUAAAGGCCUUAAAAGUUAAGCUGAAGAAUUGGAAUAAGGAAAUCUUUGGUAAAGUGGGGGUGAACUUGAGGAUGGCUUUGGACAAAGUUUCUUUUUGGGAUGAUCAGGAGAGGCAGAGAGCUUUAAACGAGUAGGAAUUAAAGGCUAGAAAGGAGGCCAGGGCGGAGUUUAAAAAGUGGGCGAUUAUGGAGGAAAUCUCGUGGAGGCAGAAAUCAAAAGAAACAUGGUUGAAGGAAGGCGAUAAGAACACGGGUUUCUUUCAUAAGAUGGCAAAUUCUAACAGUAGAAGGAAUUGUUUGAAAAAAUUAAAGUCAAUGGUAACUGGCUCUCAGAAGAUCAAGAAAUUCAAAGGGGAGUGGUGAGGGCCUAUCAGGACCUGUUAUCGGAUCCUGGUGGCUGGCACCCGAGUAUGAGCAGUUUGGAGUUUGAUAGAAUUGGGAGUGAGGAGGCUGCCAGGCUGGAGGAGAUGUUUUCUAUGGAAGAGGUGUAUUUGGCCCUCUCAGAGCUGAAUGGGGACAAGGCUCCAGGCCCGGAUGGAUUUCCCAUUGCUUUCUGGCAGUUUUGUUGGGAUUUUGUCAAAGACAAAAUAAUGGGCUUCUUUAAGGAUUUUUUUGAGAGGGGGAAAUUUGUUAGAAGUCUAAACUCCACGUUCCUGGUUUUAGUCCCAAAGAAAGGCGGGGCUGAUGAUUUACGCGAUUAUAGACCCAUCAGCUUGGUGGGAGGUCUGUACAAGAUUCUCGCCAAGGUCUUAGCUAAUAGAUUGAAGAAGGUAGUGAGUAAGGUGGUGUCUCCUACCCAAAAUGCCUUUGUUGAAGGAAGGCAAAUCCUUGAUGUUGCGUUAAUUGCUAAUGAGGCCAUAGACUCGCUGCUGAAAGGGGAUGAAACUGGUGUGUUAUGCAAAUUAGACCUAGAGAAGGCUUACGACCAUAUUAACUGGGAUUUUUUGAUGACAGUGAUGCAAAAAAUGGGUUUUGGGGAGAAAUGGACUGGUUGGAUAAGGUGGUGCAUCUCCACUGCUUCCUUCUCAGUUUUGAUUAACGGAUCGCCUGCGGGUUUUUUCCAGAGCACUCGAGGGUUAAGGCAAAGGGACCCCAUUUCCCCUUACUUGUUUGUUUUAGGAAUGGAGGCCUUAAGCUGCCUCAUUAACAGAGCAGUUAGGGGGGGCUUCCUGACCGGUUGCAGGUUAAGGGGUAGGGGUGGCAAUGGGAUUCAAGUGUCUCACUUGUUGUUCGCGGAUGAUACAUUGGUUUUUUGUGAGGAUUCCCAAGAUCAAAUGGCUGUUCUAAGCUGACUUUUAAUGUGGUUUGAAGCCAUCUCUGGUUUGAGCAUCCAUUUGAACAAGAGUGAAAUUCUGCCGGUGGGAAGAGUUGAGAAUGCUGAGGUUUUGGCUUUUGAACUGGGAUGCAAAGUGGGUUCUCUUCCCUCCACUUAUUUGGGGCUGCCUCUAGGUGCUCUUCACAAAUUGGUGGCUGUGUGGGAUGGUGUGGAAGAAAGGAUGAGGAAGAGACUCGCUUUGUGGAAGAGGCAGUUCAUUUCUAAGGGGGGGAGAGUCACUCUCAUUUGGAGCACUUUGGCUAGCAUGCCGAUCUAUCUUAUGUCCUUGAUGCGUAUGCGGGUGGGGUGCGUUGGAGAAGAGGCCUCAUCUUGUUAAGUGGGAUGUGGUUCGUUCUCAUAAAAUGAAGGGUGGUUUGGGGAUUAGAAAUUUUUCUAUCCUCAAUAGGGCCCUGUUGUGUAAAUGGAGCUGGCGCUUUGCGGCUGAAAGAGAGUCUUUUUGGAAGCUUAUUAUUAGUAAGAAGUAUGGGGAAGAAGGAGGAGGGUGGAUCUCUUGUGAGGUUAGGGAAGGCUAUGGGGUGGGGUUGUGGAAGGAAAUUAGUAAGGAAGGCGCUCUGAUGUUUAAAAACGUUUCCUUCACUGUAGGGGAUGGUAGAAGGGUGAAAUUUUGGAAGGACAUUUGGUGUGGAAACAUUCCCCUUUGUGAGACUUUUCCUUCUUUGUUUGCCUUUGCGGUCUCUCAAGAUGCGUGGGUAGAGGAUUGUUGGGAUUCUAUGGGGGAUGCGGGGGGAUGGUAUCCUUGUUUCUCUAGACCCUUUAAUGAUUGGGAGAUGGAGGUGGUGGCGAGUCUCCUUUCGUUCCUUCAAGGAAAGAGGCUUAUUGUUGGGAUGGAGGAUAGAGUGUGGUGGAAUGCUUCUAAGAAUGGGAUUUUCUCUGUAAAAUCCCUUUACAAUACUCUUGAUUCUAGUGGUGCAGUCCUGUUUCCUUGGAGAAUCAUUUGGAGCCCUUGUGUGCCUACAAAGGUGGGUUUUUUUUGCUUGGGAAGCUUCUUAGGGGAAGAUGCUAACCCAAGAUCAACUCAAAAGGAGGGGCUGGAUUUUAGCAGGUGCUUCUUGUGUUGUGAUGAUGAGGAGACAAUAAACCACAUCCUUAUUCAUUGCCCCAAGGCGAGGGUGUUGUGGAAUCUUGUGCUUUCGUUGUUUGGGGUUUAUUGGGUCCUUCCGCUUACGGUUAGAGACACUCUCCUUGGUUGGUCUGCUUCCUUUGUGGACAAAAAGCGUGGAAAGACUUGGCGGGCAGCUCCCCUUUGUUUAUUUUGGACGGUUUGGAAAGAAAGAAAUAGGAUAGUUUUUGAUAAUGAGGCUUUGUCGAUCCAAAGAUUGAAAAACUCCUUCAUUUGUAAUAUUUUCUCUUGGUCUAAGUCUUGUUUAGAUGGAGAACCCCGUUCCUUAAUUAACUUUGUUGAUUGGUUGGGUUCUAAUUGAGGGUUGGUGAGUGUUUGCUUUCUUGUGUUUUUGUUGAGGGGUUUCUUGUGUAUACUCCCUGUAUGCUUUGGGUUGCCUUCUUGCUCCCUUCUUUUAAUAAAUUUUCUGUGUUUUUUCUAUCAAAAAAAAUAUUAGGAGUUAAUCUGCCAAACUUGCCUUAUUACAUGAUGGGCUAGUUUAAGAGUUCUUACAAGGGAAUUAUUUGGGAAUCUAGUGUGGCUGUGUGCUAUUCUAGUCCUCUUUAUUUGGGACUCUUGAUUUCCAUAAAAAAAAUUAGCUAGGUAGAACGGAACAAAAUCUGACGAAACAGAUAAGACUAAAGAAAACGAUUUUACUAAGGAAACUUCUAAAGAGGAUGAUACCCAAGCUUUCGCAUCUAGAACAAAAGGGGUCAAAUGAAUAUUGGAAAGUAAGGACGUUAAUCUUUCAAGAUUUACAAUCUUUGCAUCUGGUAGAUUGCGAUGAAAGGUAAGAUCCCAAGACAAAGAGGUGUUAUUACCCAAGAUGGCUGAAAUAGGACAGUUUUUAGUAGUGGUGACUCUAAAAAGACUUGGAAAUUGUAAAUAGAAAGGUUGGUCCCCCUACCACAAAUCUUCCCAAAAAAUGGAUUCUAGACCGAUCUCACCUACCACAAAGCGAGUGUGUGUAGAAAAAACUUAGAGCAUAUGUGCAAUGGCCUUCCAAGAGUAACAAUGUGACCAUCUAACUAAAUUGUUGUCAUCCCAUCCAUUAGAAUAUGUCCCAUAGGUACUCAAUACAAUCUAAUGCCAGAGGAUAGAACUAUCCUUAGGAAACCUCCAAAGCCACUUCCCUAAUAAAGCUUGGUUCCUCAGAGAAAUUUUCCCAAACCCUAAACCACCAAAUUCCUUAGGCCUACAGACUAAGUCCCACUGCACCAGAUGAUCCUUUUUACCUUCCCCACAAUUUGACCAAAGAAAAUCUCUUUGUAAUUUCUCAAUCCUCAAAGCUAUUAAAGUUGGGAUCUUGAAAAUAGAUGGGAAGUAGCUCGGCAUAUGCGACAAACAAGACUAAAUUAGGGUGAUUCUUCCACCAAAAGAUAAGAAGGCUUUCUUCCGAUCAUCCAACCUCCUAGAGACGCUAUCCAGCACGGGGUCCUAAAAGGAAAUCAAUUUUGGGUUUUCCCUCCCUAAAGGGAGACCCAAAUACGGUAAAGGUCAAUCAGAAACUGCACAAUCAAGCAAAGAGGCCAACCUAGCCGUUUUGUCUUGGCUAAUGUUGAUUCCAAAGAGAGUGUUCUUAUUUAGGUUAAUCUUAAGCCCAAAUAGACACCUAACACCAACAAAAUUAGCUUAAGCAAUUGCAACUCUUCCAGGGAUGCUCUAGAAAAAAAUAUGGUGUCGUUCAUGCAUAGUAUAGCUUUUCAAUACUGCUGUUAGAUGUUUUUCAUUUUUCCUUUGAAAGGUUAGAUAAUAUGAUGGAUAUGGUUAGCUAAAUAUAUAUAAAAAUUCAAGAACCAAUUUUUAUUGAUUUUCCAUGGCCCCUUCUAUCUAGGGCCCAUAGUUGUAACCCUAUCAAUAAUAAUAGAGGUAAGAAUUAGAAGGAACUUUGAAAUUCUGAUUCAUUUCUGUCAGAAAUGACUAAUUAAUUAUAUUUUGAUCAUUAGCAUGUUGGAUCAUUAUUGAUCCUAAGUUAGUUAUCCUUUUGAGUUGCUUGUUAAACUGCUUUUGCAAAAUAUUAUCCUUUGCUUUUGUGUCAAAUACUUAUGUUUGUGUACCAAGUAAACCUAACAUUGAUUGGGCUUGUCAUUGAUUUUUACUGCAGAAGUGCUUCUACUUGGUAAUUGUCAUUCCAUUUGUUUCAAAAUAACAUUUAUGGAAUGGAAUGUCAAUUAAGGCACUUUUCCAUGCAUAGUUUAUUCUACUUAUUUGUAUUCGUUUUCCUGAGUUAAUUGACUGUAGGAUUUGUGCCUGUUCACCCAUUUGUUUUCUCUAUUUCUGUUGAAAUAUCUGGAGCUUGAUAUUCAAAGUUGGUGAUGAUAUGCCAGCAAUCUCUGGAGGAGUACAUCUGAAGAAAAGCGGGAGUUGGAGCGCCUUGAAAAACCAAUUUAUAAUUCAGUUCGCCAAGCAGCAGAAGUCCAUCGCCAGGUUGCAAUUGGUUACCAUAUGUACAUAAUUGCUUCUGAAAGGAAAUCAAAUAUCAAUAUGCUGCUCAGGAUUAAUAUAUAUAUAUAUAUAUAUAUAUGUAUGUAUGUAUGUAUGUAUGUGAAGAGCUUUUCUGCUUCUGGUCCCUGACUGGAAUUGUUUGCUUUAUUUUGGUUAGGUUCGGAAAUACAUCAAAAGUAUUUUGAAGCCUGGAAUGUUGAUGACUGACCUAUGUGAGACCUUGGAGAAUACAGUUCGAAAGCUAAUAUCAGAGAAUGGUCUGCAAGCAGGCAUUGCGUUCCCUACUGGUUGCUCUUUAAACUGGUAAGUUUUUCUUUUUGGUGUUUGAGAAUGCUCAUCAGUUUUGAUUUGCUUCAUUUGGUUGCAUCUGUACUGGGAGAUCUCCUUAAUGGCCAGGGUGGCUGCUCACUGGACUCCAAAUUCUGGAGAUAAGACUGUGCUUCAGUAUGAUGAUGUAAUGAAGUUGGAUUUUGGAACUCAUAUUGAUGGUAGCACCACUCAUACUUCAUCUGUCUUCUUGAUUUCUCAACAAGUUUUACUUUUGCUUACUAGAUUGUCAGUAGAGUUCCACUCUUGGAUGUGUUACAUCACCAUAGUUUUGUUCCUCAUUGUUGGCAGAGAUGACUUAUUACAGUUGUUUUUACAGGACAUAUAGUUGACUGUGCAUUUACAGUGGCAUUCAAUCCUAUGUUUGAUCCACUGCUUGAGGCCUCACGUGAAGCUACCAAUACUGGAAUCAAGGUAGUGUAUUAUGGACCUAUAAUCAUAACAAGAUAGGCCAUCUUAGCAUAUAAAUGUGAGAGAUGUUAAAAUUUAAUCCUGUAUUCCUUUGAUAUUUUGGGUGUACUUCUGUAUCCCUUCUAUGUAUUGGGUAUCUUCUAUGGAGUGAAAUGUUAUGCAAUUAAGUGACAUCAUACUAGUUAGGUUAAGUGGUGCAUAGGAAUGUUUAAAAGAUCAGGGAAAGUAGCCAAUUUUUCACUGAAAAAAAAUCAGAACUCGGCAGGCAUGGAAAGGUAAAACAGAGAGAAAGAAGGUCCAACGGAAAAUCACUGAUUUUGUCAAAAAAAUCGGAAAAAAAUUGCUGACAAUAGAAUAAGUGGAGAGCAGCACAUCACAUCACUUUAAGAAACACAUCAGAAAGUGGUAUUUACACUUUCUUGUUUAUCAUGUAGGAAUCUGGAAUUGAUGUGCGUCUUUGCGACGUUGGUGCUGCAAUCCAAGAGGUCAUGGAAUCGUAUGAAGUUGAAAUUAAUGGGAAAGUUUUCCAAGGUAUGAUGUUAUAUGAAAUUUAUAAUUUUAGAUUGUUAAACAAAUUUUAUUCAAUUAAAUUUUGAUAUGCAAAUUUUUUUUUUUGCGGUGUGUAUUUUAAGUGUGGUGGCAUUACUUCAACCAAAUAUAUGGAAGAAUUGUUAUUUUCCAUGCUUUACUAUAUGGUUAUUGAUUCUUGGGCUCAUGUACUAGUAAGCUAGUUUAGCUAUUGUCCGCAAUUGAGAGCAUUUUUGGAAAUUCAGGCAAAUUUAGUGAUUAUAUUUUGCUAAUCCAUUGCAAUUCAAAGCACUGAUGCAAUUUGUCUAGGGUGCACUGAUCUUAGAAAAUAGAACAUUAGCAUUGAUGCUUAUGAAUGGGAUGUUUACUUACAAAUCCUAAAACUGAAUUUCCUUUUUCAAUAUGUGCUUUUCAAAUUCCUUUGUAUCUCAAAAGCACAAGUACAAAGAAAAUGAAGGAUGAACUGAGUUUGAGGAGCCUUUACAUAGAGAGAUUGAGAAUCUCCAAAAUGAGGGGGUGGUUUCGCUUUUUGUUAUGAUUUGUUAUCCAUAUUUGACAAAAAACAACAGCAUUCCACCCUACCUAAUCAACAAGCUUUCUCAAGGAAGAAGACCUUUUUUGGGCUAAGAGGGAGAUGUCAAAUCAACUUAUUGGCUCUAUUUACACAUCAUACUGGUCUGAGGUUCAAACUGAAUUUUAAGACAACAGUGUUUAACUAAGUUCCAACUAAAAAUAUUAUAGUUUCAAAGACAAACUCUAUUUCAUUUCUAUGGAUCAAAAUGCUGGUUUUUCUCUCAUGAUGAGCAUAAUGCCUGAAAACCAUACUUCUGUGCCUUUUUCUUAGUUCAGUGUUGUAUAUGUUGUUAGGAUGUUGAAUUCCCUUUUCAUGCCUUACACCUUUACUCCAUGGGGUAAUGUAUGGGGACAUUGGCUGUUGUUGCUGGGAUGAUGAAUUCACCUUUUCUAUCUAUAAUUUGUAUUUAAUAUGUCUAUGGCUAAUGUAUGCGGACUUUGGCUGUUAUUGACAGUUAAAAGUAUCCGGAACUUGAAUGGACAUAGUAUUGGGAGUUAUCAGAUCCAUGCUGGAAAGUCUGUUCCUAUCGUUAAAGGAGGGGAGCAGACAAAAAUGGAAGAAGGCGAAUUUUUUGCAAUUGAAACUUUUGCAUCAACAGGUGCAUCUUUUUUUUUUUUUUUUUUUUUGCAUUGGUAGGGAAAGAUAUUUAUUUCAAAAGAGACAGCAAUGAAUGCAUAGCCUACUCAACAAUGUCAUUUUUCACUUUUAUGUGCAGGAAAAGGCUAUGUGAGAGAAGAUUUAGAGUGCAGCCACUACAUGAAAAAUUUUGAAGUUGGGCACAUUCCUUUGCGUUUGCCUAGAGCAAAGCAACUGCUAGCAACAAUCAACAAGAACUUCUCCACAUUGGCUUUCUGCAGACGAUAUUUAGACCGCCUAGGGGAGACUAAAUAUCUGAUGGCGUUAAAGAAUUUGUGUGAUUCUGGUAUUGUUCAGGUAUGUUUUAAAAAUGGUUUUAUUUAGCAUAUUUUUAGGCAUGUAUUAACCGUUGUUAUUGUGCAGCUCUAAGUGUGAUUCUACUGUGUCUUCCUUCUUUCCCUAUUCUGUACCACAUUUUAAUGUAUUCUGAAUCUGAAUCAAUCAUAUUCUAGCAUAGGGUGCCUCAGUACUUCCAAUUGCUGAAUUUUCCCAUCCUAGAGAUAGGAUAUCAUGUGCAUUCAGAUGUUUAAAAAAAUUGUGUGCGCGCGCGCGUGUAUACAACAAACUAAUCUUACCAUUCUUUUAGCGUACUUGUGCUAUCUCAUUUACCAAAUGGAAUGUCUGAUUGGAAAGAUUCUGUAUUUCUUUCCAAAUCCAUUGAACCUCUUGUUCAGCCAGCUUCUCCAUCUGAUCAUGUUUUUAUGAUACCAUGCCUGAUAUAUAUAUAUAUAUAUAUAUAUAUAUAUAUAUAGAUAUAGAUAUGUAAUUAGUUCUUCCAAUCAUUAAAGUAUAAAAAUCUUUAUUUAGAGUGUUAAAAAGUAUGAUAGACAUUGUGAAUCCAAAUCUUACACGUUUAAGCUUUUAAGAAAAUUGGUAGUUGUACAUAGUAUUAUAGCUUUGUUUGGUGAGAGGUCAUGUAUUCGAGUCUCACUGCAUAUUUAUUUCUCCAAUUUAUUGUAUAAGCCCAAAGGAGGUUAAUUGUGGUUGUUUGCCUACAAACCAAUGUACCUCUCCACAUGUGAGUAUGAGGAUUGCACAUGAGGGAGGGUGUUAAAAGAGCAUGAUAUGCAUUGUGAACCCAAAUUCUAAAAGCUUAAGCUUUUAGGAAAAUUGAUUAUUCAACGAAGAGAAAAAUAGUUAGUUUAAUUAAUUGACAAUUUUUAAGAAAUAAACAGAUCUAAUAAAGAUCAAGGGCAAAGAAGGAUAUGAAAUCAUUAAAAGAAAAAACCACAUUAAAGGACACCCAAAUGAUUUUAAAAACUAAGUGAGUGAAAGUAAAGAAAAAUAUAGGUGGCAGAAUCGGGGAGUAAAAAAAUCCUCUAUGAAAAUCUCAAGGGACCCAAACCCCUUUGAGCCAAUCCAUCAGCCACCUAGUUGGAUGGUCUAAGCCCCAAGAAAGAGAUGAGCCCCAAACCUCUUGCCUAGGACUGUAUCCUUGUUCACCAUUAGGAGAGCUUGCAAAGACCACCCCUUCUCGAAGAAACCCAAUAAAUAACCAACACCAAAAUUACCUUCCACCGAAAGGUUUCUAAUCAUGGGAGAUGCUUUUUUCUUUGUUCGGGGUGUCUUGGGUGCUUCCUUUGUCAGUCAAAGAGACUUUACUAGGUUGUCAUGGUUCCUUUAUGGGCAAAAAGUGCAAGAAGGUCUGGAGAGCAGCUCCCUUAACACAUCUUUUGGGCGGUGUGGAAGACAAGGAAUAGAAUGAUCUUCAAUGAUGACAUGCUUACGAUACAGAGACUAAAAAGUUGUUUAUAAAUGAUUAUCCUCUAACUUUAGUUAAUUUUGUUGAUUGGUUGGGCUCUUGUUGAGGUUUUUUUAGCCCCUUCUGUUUGGUUGUUCUUUUUCCUCUUUUUGCCAUUUCGGUGAUGGGUGUAUGGGUAUUGUAUACCUUGAGUUGCUCUUUUGACGACUCUUCUUAAUAUAUCUUUCUCUUUAUUAAAAAAAAAAAAAUAGAUGUCAUUCUACUGAAAAUAAUGAGGCAAAGCAAGAAGAAAAUAAUUUCUAGUUAAACAACCUCCACAUAAAUCACUCUUUCACCUCUGGGAGGUUGCCCACUGAAAACCUACUAGGGGAAGAAGGCAUAUCAUCUAUUAAGAGAAAACAAACCAAUGAAGAAGCAAAUGGUCAACCAAUUCUUCAUCGGUCUUACAUUAAAAACAUUUGUUAGGGUUGCUAGCCAUGUGCACUCUAUGUGAUUGAUGCAUGGAAUUAAUAUGUACUUUCUUAGGGGUCACCCACCAUGUGAAUGCUUUUUAACCCUAGGGAGCUUUUGUUUUCCAAAUAAAUUUAGUUAGAAGGAAAGUUGUUGAAUUUGCAUAUAAAUCUAGAAGAAAGCAUACCUUCUCUUCCAUCCAAGGUCCAACAUCAAGAGGAUCCAAAAUAAUUAGAGAGAUUAAUAAAUUGGAGAAGGGAAAUGAAGUGAUCUCUAUGACUAAAAUUUCUUUGAAAAAUUGAAAUUAAAGUGAAAAAUGAAUUAUCAUGACCCAAGAAGUUUUUGUCUUGUGUGGAAUUAAAUACAUCCUAUUUACUUUGAUUAUUUCUUUAAAUUAAUCAUAGCUAAGAAUGUAUGGAAGGAAACCAACCUUGGUCGUGUCUCAUUUGUUGUUUGCCAAUGACACCCUAGUUUUUUACAAGGCCACACAAAAUUUAACCUUGAGAAAAAUGAAUGGAUCAUAAUAGGGAUGGUAACUAAUGUGGAGGAUUUUGAUCUACAAUUGGGAUGCAAGCCUAGGGAGCUUCCAAGUACAUUAGGCUUCCCUUAAGGCCUCCAUUUGAAGUAGAAUCAAUUUGGGGAAGUGUGAAAGAAGGAUAUUGUAGAAGACUAUCGUUGUGGAAAAGGCAAUAUGUUUUGAAGGGGAGAGGCUUUCCCUAAUUUGAAGCAUCUUGUCUAGUUUCCCUAUUUAUUUUAUGUACCUGUUUAGCAAUUCUCAAAACAGUAAGAUUGGGGCUUGAGAAAAUUCUGAGAGAUUUCCCUUAGGGAAGCGGGGGGUUUAGAGAAAAAGAUGCAUUCAGUGAAAUAAUUGAUUGUUUUUAGGGAGAAUAAAUAAAUAAAUAAAUAAGGAGCCUAGGAAUUAGAUGCCUUUCCUCACCUAAUACGGCUCUCUUGGGAAAAUGGUAUUGGAGAUGUGCUUUAGAAGAAGCCUUUUGGAAAGAGAUCAUUCAAGGAAAGUAUGGAGAGGAUGAGGGGGGUUUGAUAUUCUUACAAAGUGAGGGAAGGUUAUGGGAAUGGGAUAUGAAAAAACAUCAUAAAUGGAUGAGACCUAGUAGACAAUAGAGUAUCCUUUGAUGUGGGAAAUGGGAGGGUGUAGUUUUGGAAGGACAAAUGGUGUGGGGAUGAACCCUUAUAUGUGUCUUUCCCCUCCUUGUAUGCCUUUGCAUUGUCAAAAGAGGCUUGGGUAGCGGAUGUUUGGAAUGGUUUGGGUGAGGGAGGCCACUAGAAUCCUCAUUUUGCUAAACACUUGAAUGAUUGGGAGCUAGAUAAUGUAAAGGCUUUUUUUCUCAAGGUUGCAAGGAAGGUCUAUAAAGAGGGAAGAAAAUGAUAGGGUGGUAUGGAUGGAUUCUAGGAAUGAGAUCUUCUAUGUCAAAUAUUUAUACAUAUUCCAUUCUAGAUCUAGGACAUGCUAUCUUUUCCUAAUGACUAUUUUUUGGAGUUCAUGAGUUUCAUCAAAAACAAUCUUUUUUGCAUGUGAGUAUAGUUGGGGUAAGAUGUUAACUUGGGAUUAGCUUCAAAAGCGGAUGGCUUUACGGGCUUGGGUUUGCUCGUCUUGGGGAGUAGGUCUCUCACCCCAUCUCCUUCUCCUUCUUCUUCUUCUUCUUCACCCAAAGACGGGGGUGUUUGUUAGCAAGAGAUAUUAUCCAAUGGAGGGAGCAAAAUGAGGAGUUUCAAGUUGAAAGAAAGGAUGAGUGUGGUAGGCCUUUGCUUGUCUUCUGGUGCAAGUUUGGUUCUAGUUUUACCACAGACUCCUUCCAUUGCCAUGAGUGUGGACCCAAUCGGGUUCAAUGAAGACGUGGGUGGGAAGGAUAUGGAGUUAGGGGGAGAAUUUUGCUGAUUCUUACAAGAACUUCGUCUCCUUUAGUGAGCACUUAGGUUUGCCUAUGGAAGGCUUUGAGAAAGAAGUUGGCUCCCUUUUGAGAAAGUUGGAAGCCCAAAAGGGUCAAAGAGUGGUGGGGUCGAAAGGUAAGAGGAGGCCUUCCCCUACUUCUCAGUUUGAAAGGGAACUUUGAAAAGUUCGAUUGCUCAACUAAUUACAACCUCUUAAGCGACAAAGGAAGACAAAGUAGGAAGUUUAGGUUGGAUGUGGUUUUUGAGUGCCCACGAUAGGGCCUUGGGUGGGGAUGGGAGGUAGAGAGGAAAAGGUGGUUUGCAGUCUCUUCCUUGUGCAUUAGGCUUUCACAAUGGGUGGAUUCUUCGUUUUUCUUGGAAUUGUGGGUUUGGGAAUUAAGCAACGACUUGGUUUUGUUAGUCUUGUACUCCUUAGUUUGUUAGGGCUUGGUUUUGUUGGUUUGGGAGCACUUUGGCUUGGGUUGUGAUUGGUUGUUUUCUCCUUUCGCCUACUUUUUGGAGCUUUGUAUACUCCUGUGUAGUUGGUGCACCUUUCUUUGCGUGUUUAAUCUAUUUGCUUAUUUACCUAUCAAAAAAAUAAAAAAUUGCCAAACAAAUGUCUCAUUUGCAAAAGCAAAGAGAAAUCAAUAAAUCACAUCCUUCUAUACUAUGUCAAAGUAAGGGCACUAUGACAGCUUUUGUUCUCUUUGUUCGACAUUGCGUAUGUCCUUCCUUCUAUAGUCAAAGAGAGACUUUUAAGUUGGUAAGUCUCUUUUGUGUGAAGAAUAUAUAGAAAAGUUUGGAGAAAUGUUCCACUACUCAUUUUUUAGACAAUUUGGAAGGAAGUGAACCAAAAAGUGUUCAAAAAUAAGGAGAAGCCAAUUUAAGCGCUAAAGUGUUCUUUCCUUAGGAAUCUAUUGUUAUGGGUGAACAUGUACAUUGAAAAGGCUUAAUUUGUAGAUUAGGUGGGAUCUAGUUGAAGGAAGGAAUAGUUAUUAAGUGUUCUCUCUCUUUCUUGCAAUGUCUUUUGGUACCCAUUGUAUAUGUCUGAUGUAACUUACUAUAUAACUUCUUAUAUAUAUAUAUAUAUAAUAUUUCCUUGCUUCUACUUAUUAGGGGUGGAAAAUUGAAGAUAUUUAAAAUGAUACCAGGCCAUGCCAUAUCAUAAACUUCAUUUUUCAGUUACAACAUAAUUACCUAGAUUAGGGUUGAGCAAUCAGCCUAUAUAGGACUGCAACUUAGGCAGGUUGGGUAGGUUAAAAGGCUAAUCCGUGUCAAACUUGUCUCUUAAUAUUACAACAUCUUCAACCUACUUAAGUUGAUGUUGAACAGUCCGACCAAGUAAUCAAAUUCAAUUUUAUGUACACUUUUGUGAAUUGGGCUAGGGGGUAUAUAGAGGGCGAGACAACAUCUAUGUUAGAUUUUGUAGAUUAGUUGAGCUUAAAGUAAGGAGAGUGAUUUUUUGUGAUUUAACCUUUUCGCUUAUACUAGGUGUUUUUUGUAUACUUCGUAUGUACUAUGCUACUCCUCUUAGGGGGUUUUAAUAUAUGUUUUCUUUUGUCUAUCAAUAUAUUUAUAAACCUAACUUGAGAGCGGGUCAAGAAUUCCCCAUCCAUGCCAAGACCAUGGACAACUCAAGUUACUAUGUGUUACCAAUUUUUUUAGUAGGUAACCCUUACACUUAUCAUUUUUCUCUCUCCCUUGUACAAAAAGCUUGUCUCGUAAGCUAAAUAUUUCCAUCUUAAAAUCCAUACAUAGAUAAGUUGAGAAUAGUCUUCCAACAUAAGUGACAACCCUAAACUCAAAUUUCAUCAUUCGAAGAUAUUUUAACAAUUCAACAAAAGUGAUAAAUCCAAUCCCUACCAGUCUAUAUUUUUUAUAUUUUACAUAAAAUAAUUAACAAUAUAAUUAAAUGAAUAAGAAUAAAUAAAUAAUAACAUGCACAAUGGAUUGCCCUCACCUUAAACUCAUGCCAACCCAAGUAUUUUUUUACAGAUUCAAACCUGACAUUAACCCAUUCAAACCCCAUCCAUCCUAACCCAAACCCCAGAUUCUAACUUGUAACCCUAACCCAUACCAUGCCAACAAGAUAGCUCCAACCACAUGAGUCCCGUUUGGCAGUCUGCAUUGUCCUCACCCCUACCACACCCCAUAAAAAUGGUGAGACCAAACUACAACGGUAACUAAUCAUAUGGUCAAAUUACUUGGUUUCAACUUUGCUAUGCUACAUAGACCUAGAAAAGCUUACAUGGUGUUUUAAACAGACUUGCUUCUAUUUUUGAAAACCUCUACAUGGUGAAAACUUUCAUGCAUAUACUACAUUUACCUGUGGUUUUUAAAAUUUUUAAAAAAUGAUAUAAGUACUAAAUUAUUUUUACUUUCUGAAAUUUUAAAAAUUUUGAUAGAAGUUUUUAAGAACAUAAGCAUGUCCCUGCUUUUUGUAUAGGAGUUCCUACACUUUGUAAAGGUUAAUACUAUUUUCUAUUUUUGAAAAACAAAAAACAGAAAGCAUAACGCCACCUUAGGUUUUUUUUCUUUGUUUCUUCUCCAAGAUAAUGGAGAUCAAAAUGUUUAACAUAAAAGCAUGCCCACAUUUAGGUGUACAAAAAGUAAAACAAAAUUCUCUCCAAUUAGAAGAGGCCUAUGAUAAUGAACUAAAAUAGCAGGUGGGACCCCAACAAAAUCUUGUUUCUAAAAGGACCAUAAUACGUAGACAGUUGACAGUUCAUUUAAUCUAAUAAUUUCUAUGCUUUAAAUGGAAUUUUUUUCUGGGUGUGCUGCUGUGCUUUAUGAAUUUCCCCUCACACCGUUAUUGCUACUCAUGGAGAAUUUCAUCCAAUUAUUUUUUUGCAGCCUUAUCCUCCUCUCUGUGAUGUUAAAGGAAGCUAUGUAUCUCAGUUUGAGCAUACCAUUUUACUUCGGCCAACCUGCAAGGAGGUCAUAUCCAGAGGAGAUGACUACUGAAAAUGGAAGGGAAUCAAAUACUGUCUUGUUAAUACCUGCAUUGUAAACAUACAUCAUCUAUUUGGAACACAAAAUGCUCACUUCAAUCCUGAGUUAUCUAUGUUUUCUUAGCUUUGGUUUUGAUGAAUGCAACGAUGUAUUGAUCAAGAUUAUUAUCCUUCUGGUCUUGCCCUCUUGGUGAUAUUUUGUUUAUGCUGUUGAGGCCAGGAUACAUGUGUUUGACCCAAAAACCGAAAAAUUGCCUAGAAAAGAAAGGGAAUAUAAAAUUUGGAUCGUUUUUGUUGUUUCUAUUUUUUUUUCCCUUUUAAAUUUUAUGAAUGGUGAUGAAUUACAUUUUUAUAAUUAAUCUACCUUAAGUCAGGUUUUAAGUAAUAAAUGGAAUUGGAAACUGGUCCCAGGUGUAGGAUUCAAGGCAGUUCUGAUCAAAUGAUGGUGAAUUGGGUGUUUCCCAUUUCUUUCCUCAUAGCCAUUAGCCAACUUGAUGCAUUCCUAUGGAGGAACAAAAUCAGUAAAACUCUGCGAUAGGGUUUUGUAGAAAUAAGUUACAGAUGGAUGCAAUUCAAGAGAAAACCUAUAUUCUUGCCCUAUGUUUAAAUUUGAAUUAAAUCAUUUAAAAUCCCAUCCUAGUAGCCUAUCAUUGCUUGAUGGAAAGUGAGGUUGUCCUGUUCUUCUCUUUCUUUUUAUUGUCAAAUGCGCUUUAUCCUCUUAACCUUUAUCCUCUUAACCUAUGACAGUUUUUAUACUUUGUCUUGUUGCAUUCAAAAUCUAACAAUUUGCCCCUGAAGUUUGUUAUUGGGCAACAUUUUGCCAAAGUUAUUCAAUAAUAAUAUUGUUAGGAUUUUAUCUAUAACAACCGAAAGUAAUCCUCCCUUUAGGGUGAGGGUUCUACUCUUUAAGACUUCCAAUAUAAGCCUCCAAGCAUUACAAAUUGGAUUAUGAUUCUAAUCAACCAUUUUUAACUUAUGCCUCUAAACACCACUUGAAUUAUAGAUUCAAGCACUUUGUACAAUCACCUCAAAAGAUGUCUCACUCUUAAAAUAUCCAAGUGAAAUCCCAUAAUUAGCAAAUACUAAAUGAUACUUUACACUUAGAUUUUCCCUCAAGUGAUAUUCUACACUUGAGAUUACCUUUAUAGGUUUAUAAGAAACGAUAAGAAAUAUCUUCACAAAUUUAAAAUUCAAAUGAUAUAAGAUAAAUUAAAAUUGAGGUGAACUAAUGGAUAUGCUAAUUUGAAAACAAAGUGCCUUCAAAACACUCCUCUAAAGCUUAAAUAAUAUUUACAAAAGAUUUAGAACUCUAGCACAACAAAAUAAAGAAGUUUAAAACCUUUAAAUAAGAUUUGGAAGUCAAACUAAUUAUUAAGCAAGUUUAUGGUCAACCAAUUGAGCAAUCGACUUGAUCGAUUCACUAGCCAUUGAGCAUUUAAUGUUUUGAUAAGUGACUAUUAGAGGUUAAAACAUCAAUCAACCCUCGACCAAUUGAGGCAUUACCUCAACUAGCUAAACAUAUGCUCCUAAAAGUGAGGAAUGCACAAAAUGCCCCUCGACCAGUCAAAGCUCAAUCCACUUAUUGGUUCCUCACACCUUUAACCAAUUGCGUUAUAAAGUGCUUAAACAACUUGAUUUGAAGUGUCCAACAACUUAUGUUUAAUUUCUUAAAACUUUUUAGGAUAAAUUUUAAAAACAUUUGGCUCAAGGUUUUGAUUCAAAACAAGAAAUUAUUCAAAUUUAAAAUAACUUCAAACAAUUUAGCACUUUGAAUGAUUUUUGGUGCAAAAAUAAAAAUAAAAUGCAUGAUCUUAAUAUACCAACAACCUCAUAAAAAGAUUCUAUAGAAAUGAGUUUUGAAAGUUUUUUACUUUGAGGUCUUCUCCUUAAUUUUGAUUUUCCUUUGGCUUUAUUUAUUUUUACUAUUGUCAUUUUGAAAACCUUCUUACCCGAAUACAUUUAAUAUAAAAUAUUUGUUUCACACUUGGUUUUGUUAUUAUCAAAACUGAACUUAACUAAACUUUGAUUUUACAAAAAUAUUUGUCUUUCAAACUUGUUAAAAAGUCAAUAAACAACAAAGAAAUAAGACUAAAAUACAAAUAAAAUACCUAUUAUCCAAAUUCAAGAUUGUCACACUUCACAAUUAUAUGUAAAAAUCAUGAAUGGCAAUAUAAACAUCUCUUUAAAAUCAAAAGCCAAAAUUAAUGGUUGUCAUGUUUUGAAAGUGUUUGAGAAAUUUCACUUCAAACUUGUCAAUACUAAAUUGGUUCCGCUUAAAUUCAAACCAAUGUUUGAAUCAAAUGCAAAAAGAGCAAUCCCUUUUUAUGAUUUUAUAAAGGGUUUGUAAUUGAGGUAAAAUAUUGCUCACAAGUUUUGAGGAAAAGCGUUGGAUUUUGAAUAUGAAGGUGCAAAUUAUAGAAACACAUUAAGUGAAUUUAACCCUAUUUUUAGGAGAAAACAAAAUGAUAAUAUUCGUAAGAAUCAAUGAAAAUUUAUUCAAUAUUAGUAUAAGGUUAUUUGGACCUCAAUAUUUGUCACACAUAAAUACAAUACAACUUAUUUAACUUGUAUGAAUUACACAAAUAAUAUGUUAGUAGGAUUUUAACUUGUUAAAACAUAAUUUUAAUCCAUCGAACUUAUUUUAAAAUUUAAAUUCACAAACACAUUGUUGCAAACUGUCUUAUAGUUUUAAUUUUUAAAAUUUUUAAUUAAUUUAAUUAUAAUAUGUUUAUAACAUAAAAAGUAAUUUGUAGUUUUAAUUUUACUCUAAUUCACAUAUUUAUUUAGUAUGUUAACUAUAAAAUAUUUAAAGCUUUAUAAUGAAAUAUAUAAAACUUUAUUUAAUUAUUUUAUUUUAUUUAAUUAUAUGAUAUUUAUAAUUUUAUUUUAAUUUUUUUAUAAUUUUUAAAUAUAUAAAUUUAAUAAAUAUCGGAUUAUACCUAAUAAACCCUUGGGUCAUUUGAUUAGAAGGAUAAUUGGAAACCAAUUUUAGAUAUUUAACCCUCAAUUUUUUUUUUUUAUCACAUUUUGAUAAAAAAGUUUUUUUUUAAUAUUUAUAUUAAAAAUGGGUUCACGAGGAUUAUUUCGUCCUUUUAACCGAUUAAUUCUAAACCGUUUCCUUCGGUCGUUACUGUUGAGCGCUUGCUCACCUUAUCCGUCAGGGAUUGUAAGCAAGCGUUUGGAGUAGUGACGAGGGAAAUCACCUGGUUCAGUUGGUAGUGAUGUUAUCUUGGCAAAUUCGCACCAGCUUUAGUGCUCUGUCCUCACCUACUUAUACCUUUUCUUCUUCCCGCCAUGCCGUCAAUCUUAAAGCCCCCACUUGCUCCAUACGAGUCCAGAAAAUCCCCGUCAAGAAUUUACAAUUUCCAUCGCCGGUGGAGGCCACGAAGCUCAACAAUCUUGAACAUGGCGUUCCAGAUGAUGGAGGUGGAAAAGGGGAUAAAGCGCUAUCGGGAAUUCAAGUGCCGAGGCAGAAAUACAUACCCAUUUCCAAGUCGGACCUGUUGGACGCCAUAGUACUAAAGUUCGACUCACAGCAAGAUGUCGAUCACUUUCUUCUUCUGUCCUCGUAAGUGCGCUUGAUUUCUGUAUCCUUCCUGCUCUAUCUCAGUCGGGUAAGAAAGAAGGAAGGAAAUUUUUUUAGAAUUUUGAUUGGUAUUUUGUCCUGGUCGUUUCCAAUUUGCCAAGCAUCAUCUGUUCCCACAACGAACAGAAAGAAUGAAAAUAUCCCUGCCAUUUUAAAUUGAUUUAUUGAAAAAGGGUUUGAUUUCCAGUAUCUCAUUCGUAUAUCCCAUUCUAUGCACAGAAAUCCCAGUGCAUUAGGGAAUAGGAAUCACAGGGGAAAGAAAAUAAGUAGCAGAGAGGUUGAAGAGAUUCUCUUCUCCUUGUUUGUUUUCUGAAAGAAAAAGAGUCCUAAGAAAGGCAAGAAAUUUCUCCUUUUCUAGUUAUCCUGAUGUUAGUGGUAGCAUAAUCCAAUUCUCUCUAUUUUUAAGAGGGAACCUAAAACAAGUACAUGGAUUUUUCUUAUUUAUCUUCAUUCUUUUCAUGGGAAAACAGAAAACAUAUUAGAAAGGGCCUAAUGAAAAUGGGGCGCAUCCUGUUUGCGUGAGGGUAUACAAGAGACAUUGAAGGAAAGGAGAACUAAACCACCGAGUGAAAUUCUCAAUUUAGACUAUCAAUAAAAUUCAAGAAUGUAUAAUUUUCAUACCAUAAACGUUCCAACCCAAUCUGGAUUACCCAUGACAGUUCAAAAAUUAUCCAUCUAGUCCUCUCACAGUCUGUUCACCAACCCCUACCCUUUCCCAAUAAGGAGAUCUAAUAUCUUUGCUAUAUCACCGCCCAUGCAAUAAAUAGUAUGAAUGAGCUCCAUAAAUUGUUCACUUCCCAAUUAUAAGAAUGCCUUUGGAAAUGAAGUGAUCCAUAUCCUCCUCAUCGCAAUUCCAAUAAAUAUGUAACCUUUUUGGAAAAGGCUAGACCAAAAAGCAUAGAGGCCUCUUUCUAAGAGCAUUUUCCCACUAAAGUGUCAAACCAAAACUUGGUCAUUAUUCCAUUCCUCACCAAGAAAGCAGUUCUAAGGCUUAACUCUUACCAACCCCUUCUAAUAUUUGUUGGCAAGCAGGUUUUUGGAUCCAUUGGUUAAUAGAAUCUCACGGAGAUUGGAUGGGUAGAAAAGAGCCUUUCUAUCAUUGGGGGGAAGAAUAAUUCCAAUUCAGUCAUGCUUGUCUUACAUCCUUAAAUUCAAGAUUCCAAGAUCAGUAGCUUCAAAGAUUAAGAAAUUGGAAAGAAUUUUUCUUUGGUCGGGGGUUCUCGAGGGUAAAAAAGAUCAUCUUAUCAAUUGAGACAUAGUAUGUAGGCCAAAGGAGUCUAGAGGUUUGGGCUUCUAGAAGACUUCUCUGAGGACUCAUGCUUUAUUACAGAAGUUGCUUUGGAGGUUCCCUAGGGAAAGUUCUACCCUUUGGCAUUAGGUUAUUUCGAUUAUUUAUAAGAUACAUCCUAAUGGAUGCGACACCAACGUUUUGGUUAGAGGGUCAAGCUAUGGUCUUUGAAAGGCCAUUAGACUUGUUUUCUAGGAUUUUUCUCCAUAUACCCACUUUGUGGUGGGUGACAGGGAGAUAAUUCAUUUUUGGGAAAACUUAUGGUAAGGAAAUCAACCUUUAUGUUUGAAAUUUUCAAAUCUUUACAGAGUUAUAACAUGAAAAAAUCUUACUAUUUCAACUGUUCUUGGUGACCCUUCUUCUCGUUCUCUUUCUUGGAACUUGAACUUUUGUUGCAAUUUCACGGAUUUGGAAAUUGAGGAACUUGAAAGACUUAUUUCCUCACUCACUCUAGUGCACUUAUCUCCAUCCAUCCUAUACACAUGAGUUUGGUUUUUGAUCUCUUUAGGUUUAUUCUUGGCAAAAUCUUUCUUUUUUGCCUUAUCCAAUUUAUCAAGUCUAGUUCCUUUCCUUCCAACCAAAUUUUUUAUGAAAAUCUAAAGUCCCAUCUAAUGUUAAGGCCUUUGCAUGGUUAGUAGCGUAGAAAAAGAUAAAUACCAAUGACAUGUUGCACUUGAGAAAACCUUACAAAUUACUUAGUUCUAAUUAGUGCAUCUUAUUAGGAAGUUGAAAGUCAAUUGACCAUUUCUGUUGAAAUAAUACCAAAGUUAGGAUUUUAAUUUAGGAAAGUAUUUUAGGAAUAAAAAAGGAGAGAUCAUUUAGGAUAUUUCCUUAUGAUUCAGUUUCCUAAUUUUAGGAGAGAAUUAAGCUAGAUUGAUUUUUUCUUAUUCAGUCAUUUGUGUAUAUAUAUGUGUAUGGUGUGUACCGAAUAGAAACAAUAAAGGAGUUCAGAAAUUCUUCAUGGUAUCAGAGCCAGUUUUCUGAAACCCUAAUCCCUUCUGGCCACCUCUUAUUCAGACCAUCAUUCAUUCCGGCCAAAUCUCUCUGGCCAUCUCUCAAUCCGACCAUCUCUCUCUCUAGCCAUCUCUCAUUCCGGUCAUCAGUCCCUAUUCUCAGAGUCAAGGGAGAAAACGCUUUCCGGUCGGUCGAAUCGUUGUCAGAAAACAUUCACCGCCGGCAACUUUUCCGGUGAACUUUUCCGGUGAACUUUCCGGCGAACUUCCGGCGACGAUUUUUUUCUACACCGCAAGGAGCACCUGGAGGAGAUCUCCAAUUUGUCCCAAAGCACCGGAACCAGAAACCCAUCCACGCGCCGUCCACGCGCGUUUUUCCGGCCGGCGACUGCAUCUCACGCGUGAGCCACUUUCCAGCGACGCGCUUCCUCCUCCAAGCUCACUUGACGCCGACCAGCCACCCUUCUUACCUGUUUUUGCCACCCGAGCCCUGCACGUGCCUCUUUUGGGGUUUUUUUGCUUCUGUGGGCCCUUCGAUCAGUUUUUCCGGCGUCCUCCGACUAUUUUUUCUCAACUCCAAUCGCUGCACGUGCCUUGGGAAGUGUUCUUCUACCUUUCCGGUCCAUGACAAAAUACGGAAUGGCAUCAUCACAAGUAUCCAGCGUCACGUCACCAGAAUCAGGGGGCAGAUCUGAAAUUCCAAACCUUGGUGGCAAUGAUUCCUCUCCUAUUCUCAUCAGAGGACACAAAUUAAAUGGCCAUAACUAUUUACAGUGGUCACAAUCUGUGUUGCUGUUCAUUUGCGGUAAAGGAAAGGAUGAGUACCUCAUUGGAGAAGCAGCCAUACCAGAAACUACAGAACCGGGUUUCAGGAAGUGAAAGAUUGAAAACAGCAUGAUCAUGUCAUGGCUUAUCAAUUCCAUGAACAAUGACAUAGGAGAAAAUUUCUUGCUGUUUGGGACUGCAAAGGACAUAUGGGAUGCAACCAAAGAAACCUACUCAAGUUCUGAAAAUAUUUCAGAACUUUUUCAGGUUGAAUCAGCCCUACAUGACUUCCGCCAAGGAGAACAGUCAGUUACUCAGUAUUAUAACACACUCACAAGGUAUUGGCAGCAACUUGACUUAUUCGAGACUCACUCAUGGAAAUGUUCGGAUGAUGCAGCAACAUACAGGCAAAUUGUGGAACAAAAGAGACUGUUCAAGUUCUUCCUAGGACUAAACAGGGAAUUGGAUGAUGUUAGAGGCCGAAUCAUGGGCAUUAAACCCCUUCCAAGUCUCAGGGAGGCUUUUUCAGAGGUUAGGCGUGAAGAAAGUAGAAAGAAAGUGAUGAUGGGAUCCAAAGAGCAACCUGCCCCAACAUUGGAUGGCUCUGCCCUUGCUGCUCGGUCAUUUAAUAGUAGUGGUGAAGAUCGUCAGAAACGAGAUAGGCCUUGGUGUGAUUAUUGUAAGAAACCCGGCCAUUAUAAGGAGGCUUGCUGGAAGCUUCAUGGCAAACCGGCUGAUUGGAAACCAAAGCCACGGUCUGACAGAGAUGGCAGAGCACACGUGGCUGCCAACUCUGAGAGCACAUCUGUUCCCGAGCCGAGUCCAUUCAACAAAAAGCAGAUGGAGAUGCUACAGAAACUAUUAAGCCAAGUUGGCAGUGGCAGUACUACCGGGAUAGCCCUCACUGCUAGUCGAGGAGGAAUGAAGCCGUGGAGGACACAGGUGCUUCUGAUCACAUGACAGGAGAUGUUGCCAUUCUUCAAAAUUACAAGCCAAGUAAUGGUCAUUCAUCCGUCCAUAUUGCUGAUGGUUCAAAGUCAAAAAUUGCCGGGACAGGUUCUAUAAAACUUACUAAAGACUUAUAUCUUGACUCUGUCCUCCAUGUUCCAAACUUGGAUUGUAAUCUUUUGUCCAUUAGCAAAUUGGCUCGUGAUCUCCAAUGUGUUACUAAAUUCUAUCCAAACUCGUGUGUUUUUCAGGACUUGAUAUCGGGGAAGAUGAUUGGCAGUCCUGAACUGUGUUCCGGGCUCUACCUCCUCUCAUGUGGCCAAUUCUCAAACCAAGUCUCUCAAGCAAGUUGUGUACAGUCUCAGAGUAUGUUAGAGUCUUUCAAUUCUGUGUCAAAUUCUAAGGUCAAUGAAGAUAGUGAGAUUAUAAUGUUACACUAUCGCCUUGGUCAUCCUAGCUUUGUUUACCUUGCAAAAUUGUUUCCCAAAUUAUUUAUCAAUAAAAAUCCAGCAUCUUAUCACUGUGAAAUUUGUCAGUUUGCAAAGCAUACUCGAACAGUAUAUCCUCAAAUCCCAUACAAACCUUCGACUGUUUUCUCUCUAGUUCAUAGUGAUGUGUGGGGUCCCUCCCGGAUAAAAAAUAUUUCUGGCACUCGAUGGUUUGUGACAUUCGUUGAUGAUCAUACUCGGGUAACAUGGGUUUUCCUUAUGAAAGAAAAGUCAGAGGUCGGGCACAUUUUUCAAACCUUCAAUCUUAUGGUUCAAAACCAAUUCAAUUCCAAAAUUCAAGUCCUCAAGUCAGAUAAUGCAAAGGAAUACUUUACUAGUAGUCUCAGUACUUAUCUUCAAAAUCACGACAUUAUUCACAUAAGUUCUUGCGUUGACACCCCACAACAAAAUGGGGUGGCUGAACGCAAGAAUAGACAUCUCUUGGAGGUUGCCCGGUGCCUUAUGUUUUCCUCUAAUGUUCCAAACUAUUUCUGGGGGGAAGCUAUUCUCACAGCUACAUAUUUGAUUAACCGUAUGCCAUCCAGAGUGCUUACCUUUCAAUCCCCACGUCAACUUUUCUUAAAACAAUUUCCUCACACCCGUGCCGCCUCUUCUGAUUUACCACUCAAAGUAUUUGGUUGCACGGCAUUCGUUCAUGUGUAUCCUCAAAAUCGUAGCAAAUUUGCUCCUCGAGCAAAUAAGUGCAUUUUCCUAGGGUAUUCUCCAACCCAAAAAGGGUACAAAUGCUAUUCUCCAACCAACAAAAGAUUUUACACCACCAUGGACGUCUCUUUCUUUGAACAUGUCUUCUUCUAUCCCAAAUUUCAUGUUCAGGGGGAGAGCAUGAAUGAACAUCAAGUUUGGGAGUCUCGUCUUGAGGGUGUACCUUCUUUUCACUCAGAGUCACCAAAUCCUUCCCAAUUCGCGCCCACUGAGUUGUCCACACCCAUGCCGUCAUCAGUCCAGCCAGCCCAGCACACAAAUGUUCCUUCUCCCGUGACCAUCCAGUCUCCCAUGCCUAUUCAACCUAUAGCCCCACAACUUGCUAAUGAGAACUUACAAGUUUACAUCAGGAGGAGGAAAAGACAGGAAUUAGAGCAUGGAUCACAGUCAACAUGUGGCCAAUAUAUUGACUCCAAUUCAAGUCUUCCUGAAGAGAACAUAGGUGAGGAUAGGGCUGGAGAGGUGUUAAUUCCCAGCAUUGAUGAUUCUACUCUGCCGAUUGCAUUGAGGAAGGGUGUUAGGAGAUGUACAGAUCAUCCAAUUGGGAAUUAUGUUACGUAUGAAGGACUAUCACCAUCUUACAGAGCAUUUGCUACUUCUCUUGAUGAUACUCAGGUUCCCAACACAAUACAAGAGGCAUUAAAAAUUUCAGAAUGGAAGAAGGCAGUACAAGAUGAGAUUGAUGCACUUGAGAAGAAUGGGACGUGGACUAUCACAGAUUUGCCGGUUGGGAAGAGGCCUGUGGGGUGCAAGUGGAUUUUCACCAUAAAAUACAAAGCAAAUGGAUCAGUCGAGAGAUUCAAGGCUCGUUUGGUAGCUAGAGGGUUUACACAAUCCUAUGGGAUAGACUUCAGGAGACUUUUGCUCCUGUUGCAAAACUAAACACUAUCAGGAUUCUUCUCUCAUUGGCUGUCAAUCAAGAUUGGUGCUUGCAACAACUGGACAUAAAAAAUGCGUUUCUAAAUGGUGACCUAGAAGAGGAAGUCUACAUGGAAAUACCACUUGGUUUCGAAGAAAGUAUGGCAAAGAAUCAGGUUUGCAAACUCCAAAAAUCCUUGUACGGCCUUAAACAAUCUCCCCGAGCCUGGUUUGAUAGAUUCACAAAAGCAGUCCUGAAGCUAGGCUACAAACAAGGUCAGGCUGAUCAUACUCUAUUUGUCAAGAAGUCUCAUGCCGGGAAAAUGGCCAUAUUGAUAGUCUAUGUCGAUGAUAUUAUUCUAUCUGGGAAUGAUAUGGAGGAAUUAUAGAAUUUGAAGAAGUAUUUGUCAGAAGAGUUUGAAGUUAAAGACCUUGGAAAUUUGAAAUAUUUCCUUGGUAUGGAAGUGGUUAGAUCAAGGAAGGGAAUUGUAGUCUCUCAAAGAAAAUACAUACUCGAUCUUCUUAAGGAGACCGGUAUGCUUGGAUGCAAACCAAUUGAUACUCCUAUGGAUAGUCAGAAGAAACUUGGUAUCGAGAAAGAAAGUACACCGGUAGACAGGGGGAGAUAUCAGCGGCUUGUCGGGCGCUUGAUUUAUCUCUCACAUACUCGGCCAGAUAUUGGCUUUGCAAUGAGUGCUGUAAGUCAUUCAUGCACAGCCCCACUGAGAACACAUGGAAGCAGUCUANNNNNNNNNNNNNNNNNNNNNNNNNNNNNNNNNNNNNNNNNNNNNNNNNNNNNNNNNNNNNNNNNNNNNNNNNNNNNNNNNNNNNNNNNNNNNNNNNNNNUGGAUAUUGUUCUUUUGUCUGGGGAAAUCUUGUUACCUGGAGGAGUAAGAAGCAAUUAGUUGUAGCCAGAAGUAGUGCAGAAGCUGAGUACAGAGCUCUUGCACAGGGAAUCUGUGAAGGGAUUUGGAUAAAAAGGGUUCUUAGUGAACUGGGACAAACGAGUUCAUCUCCAAUUCUGAUGAUGUGUGAUAAUCAGGCAGCUAUAAGCAUAGCAAAGAACCCCGUGCAUCAUGACAGGACCAAGCAUGUUGAGAUUGACAGACACUUCAUCACAGAGAAGGUGACUAGUGAGACGGUUAAAUUGAACUAUGUUCCUACCAAGCACCAAACCGCAGACAUCCUCACCAAAGCUUUACCUAGGCCUAACUUCGAAGACUUAACUUGCAAGCUGGGAUUAUAUGAUAUAUAUUCUCCAGCUUGAGGGGGAGUGUUGAAAUAAUACCAAAGUUAGGAUUUUAAUUUAGGAAAGUAUUUUAGGAAUAAAAAAGGAGAGAUCAUUUAGGAUAUUUCCUUAUGAUUCAGUUUCCUAAUUUUAGGAGAGAAUUAAGCUAGAUUGAUUUUUUCUUAUUCAGUCAUUUGUGUAUAUAUAUGUGUAUGGUGUGUACCGAAUAGAAACAAUAAAGGAGUUCAGAAAUUCUUCAAUUUCUUUCUACAUUGUUCAAUAACUUUGGGAUUAUGACACAAAUUAUUCAGUCUAGCCAAGAUGGAUUAGGUUUCGUCCUAGAGUAUAUGCGACAUGAUGACCAUUUCUUCAAGGGGAUUGAGGAGUUCCAUUAGAGGCAAAAUCCUUUAGCAAAUUGCUUGCCUCACAUUGUCUUGGCUUAGGUGGCAAGAGAGAAAUGAUAGGAUCUUUGAGGAAAAGUGGAGGACGGUAUAGAUGUUGUGGGACUUACUUCACUUCUAUUCUCCUUUAGGGCCUUUUGUAUUGUUACAUUUAAAGACACUCCUCUCAAUGUUAUUCAGCUCAAUUGGCAUUUGAUUUAUAAUUCAAAAGGGUUGGACAACAAUGAGAGGAGCUUUGUUUGGAAUUGAUGUAUGGUCUUUAGUGGACUAAACUUUUUGUAUAGGUCUCCCUGUAUAGUGGAGUAGUUUUAGUUAUACCUUGAUCAAAUUCUUAUAUUUUGUGGGGAGAACUCCUCAUCCUUCUCUUGUACUUUUUAUCCAUGAUGAAUAUAUCCUUGUUUUUGAUAAAAAAUAAUAAUAAUAAUAAAAAAAAUCUUUCUACAAACCACACCAAAAGCCUCUUUCAACACUUGGUGUGACAACCCCCACAAACUAUCAUGUCCAUGUGUAUAUAUCCACAACCAUUUGCCAAGCCUUAUUUAGAGAAUGCUUCUUUUAAUUCGUAAUCCUCCACACUUUUUAUUCCUUGGUAAUGACGACCAUUUCACUUUAUGCAUCCUUCUUCCCUAUAAAUGAUUCUGCUAUAAAAACUGAUCAACACCAAAGUGGUAUUCACAUCAUCGCCAAGUAGAAACCAAGAUACCCCUUUUUGGCUGCAUCAAAAACUCUCUGAAUAUCUUUUAGACAGGAUGUCACUUUCUUGGAAAUACAAAUAAGGGCAUAAAGUAUAUGAGGAGGCUCAAGAAGGCACUCUUGAUAAGGGUCUAUCCCUCUCCUAACAAUUAAGAUAAAGUAAAAUAAAUAAAAUAAAAGGAAAAAGAAGCAACACACAAAUGUUGCUUCUUCCAAGAGGCUAAUCUCCUUCUUGGUCUUUCUCAACUAAGUCCCACUCUGCACAAGACCUAUGAGACGCUCCUAAAGGCAACCCUAGGUGUUUAGUAGGAAGGCGUCUGACCCCACAACCAGACAAGGAGGCAAAUCUAUGCCUGGUUCUUGCUAUCUUGUCUGCCUGAACCUUAGCAUGAGAAGAUAAUUUUAAGUUUACAUUCUUUCUUUUCCUUCUAUGCCUGGUUCCUUAUGAGAUGUAUAUUUUUAUGUAUUUCAGGUGCUUGGAUUCUAUUCUUCAUGCUGAACACAAAAACGUUUUAGAAGAAAUGCGGAUUAGUUAUCCCCUUACUCAUUCAGCAGAGGACAAGGGAAAAAUUAAUGAGGAUACAACUAGUUUAGAAAGAAAAUUUGUGACUAAGGUGGAGGAGCCUGACAUGGCUGGUGAUAGCACUACUGGGGUUGGCAGCAUGGAGAGAUGCAGGAAGGAGAACAUUGAACCUGAAAAUUCAAUUUUUUCCAGCUAUGGUCUAGAUUUGAGAUAUCUCUUCAGUUCUUCGACCAACAAUAUGAAGAAAAAUUCUGGUGCAGAGUCCAGGUUAGUAACAGAUUGUCUUGACAGCUUGAUUUUCAGUGUGCCAAGGUUAAAAAAGUUUUUUUGAGUUAUUCACUGAUUAUUAGUGAUGAAAGAACUACUAAUGAUAACAAAACUGGACAAACUAGGCACUUAUCAGAAUAGCAACCAAGCCAUGGUUUUUGGAUUAAUUACUUGUGCUUGAUAUUAAUUUUAUAUCCCCUUUGUUGAAAUUUUCUUAGCCUAGCAGAUUCAUGUGAAAGGCUUAUAAGAUACUGAAGAAAUAUAAGAAAAUAAAAGAAAAAAUUGAUUGUCUCAUAUUACCCUAGUAGAGAAAGAAAGGUCUUACUUCUUGAUUGGGAGUCUUGUAGGGGUGUAUUGCAUCUCUCCAUGCAAAUAGUACCAAUGCUAUAAUAUUUUCUACAGUUUAUUGCUUGAAAUGGAAAAUACAGCCCUAUAUAGCUAAGGAUUGGCUGUGGCAAGUUGGUGUUUUCUUUGCAAGCAGAAUGAGGAAUAAAGCCAAUCAUAUUCUUAUUUAAUGCUGGGUGAUGCAUAGUUUAGACCUUUGGUGUUAUGUCUUUUUGUGGGUGUUGCCUUGUUCAAUCAAGAAUGAGUUGUUGUUGUGGUUUUCCUUCUUUUUUUUUGGGGAUCAGGAACACACUAGAUCUUUCUAUUGAUUAAAAAGACAAAGGAGAACAAGAGUUCCUUUCAUAAGAUACAAACCUAAUCAAAACAAGAGAAAAAACUCCUUAACAAGGAGCCAUACAAGCUAAAUAAUUAAAAAAAAAAUGAAUUACAAAAAUCUAGGAAUAGAAUGUAAAUAAACAUUAACUAGAAAAGGAGGCAAAAAAUCUAUAACAAAAUAUACCAAAUGUUUUGCUCCUCUUUUAGCUAAAAAGUUUUACACUUGAUUGAUUAAGUGAAUAAACCAACAGAUGAAGGAUCCUAUACAAUAUUUAGUGUGGCCACCUAUCAAAUCUCCAUGCACCUUUUUUUCUUUUAGCCGUCCAUGAAAUGGUAACAUCAGAAUCUUCCUUGACUACAAGAAUUACAAAAAUCUAGGAAUAGAGCAUAAAUAAACAUGCAUUAGAAAAUGAGGUAAAAAAUCUCUAAUAAAAGACACCAAAUAUUUUGCUUUUCUUUUAGCUAAAAAGUUUGCCACUUGAUUGAUUAAGUGAAGAAGCCAAUGGAUGAAAGAUCCUAUACAAUAUUUGGUGUGGUUACCCAUCAAACUACUGGGAACCCCAGAUUUUCCCACUCCUUGUCCCUGGAUCUCGUAGGGUGCAUGCAUCUAUCUCUAAGCAUCUCUAAAUCUAUCAUAGCGAAAUAAAAACCAUUAAUUAACUAUACAUCUAGAGAUAUAAUACUCAUACUUGGAUUUGGAUGUUCCCAAAUCAAUUUCACGUAGAGAAGAAGUUUGAAGGACUCACACACCCAAUGUUUUUUGCCCAAUGACUCAAACCACAAUCUUGACACUCCAAAGUGUGGGCAAUGGAAGAGAGGAAGCUUUGUCUCUCUCUUUCUCUCUCUUUGGAGAUGGAAGACGGCUAAUUGAAAGUCAUUAGGAAACCCUAACCCCUAAAGUGUAUUUAUAGUGUUGCUCACUAAGCUUAAGUGACUUGAGCCUAUCAAGGUUUGUGCCACUUAAUCUAGCUUAAAACAGGUCCUAAUUGAUUAAUUAACCAUAUAAAUUCAUUUAAUUAAUCAAUUAGCUCAAUCCAAAGACCUUGUUCACUAUCCCUUGUGUAGUCUUAAUUGCCAAAACGCCCUUAUACACAAAAAUGAACUUAGAGCCAAUUCAAUCCUCAUAAAUCAUGUCAUUAUGGUAUAUGAGCUCAGAGUAGGGAUCAUUGGGACCCAUAGGAGUAUUGGAUCCCUCAAAAUCCAAUUUUAAAGUUGAUUUAACAUUCCACUGAAAAGAAUUAAUUUCACUUUAGUACUCUAUGUAAAUAACAACGAGGCAAAGUUCAGGUUUGUGACUUACUAUCCAUUGCAUGCAGACUCCCCAUGAAUUGGGGUCUGUAAUCUAACAAGGUAGUGCUAUCGUCUAUCAAAAUUACCUCUCUAAUCCUUGAGUUACAGAUCCUACUUAUUUUGUGAUCAAUUGACAUACUCUAGCUUUAUGGAGUAUACGUCAAAUUCCACUAAAGGAAUUACUGCGAUUGUAGAUUUCAUGAUCACAUGUUCUUUGGAUCACUCAAGGGCACACACUGUCUCAAUCCCAUGAGAUAUUUUGUUGUCUCUAUUGAAAAUACCUGUUACCAUCAACCUCUAUCAACAGUGACCUAAUCCAUAGGGAUAUAUGACCACUUUAGGGUCUCACCAAUAGGUUAAAACCUCCUAUUGAUUUUGACACAUGCUCAAUAUCUUCUUAAGGUUAAGAAUUCAUGUAGUAUAGUAACUUGGUGAAUCAUGACAAUUGAUAGUCUUACGUCAUGAUUCACCGCAGGUCUUAUCUAAUGAGCAUCACAUACACAAGUGCAUUACAUAUAUAAGUGCACUCACCAUGAGCAACCCAUCCCGAUCGCCAAGACAAGUCAUCUCUCCAAUUAGGAGGUAAUGCACUACAGUCUAUUGGAUUACCUAAAUCCAUUAACUGACUAUGGACAAUUUAUCUAUAUACAAGGAACCUAUAACUUGUAUCCUUUGUGUAAUUCCUAAUAGACCCAAGUCAUGUACAAUGUAAAAAAUGUGCGUUGAAUGCUUAAAUCAAUGUCAAUGUAUAAAAAUGAUAGCAAGAAGAUAGUCAAGUUUGACUUUGUUACAUCAUGUCUUGCUUUUAGGGGUUCAAUUCCAACACAAAUCUCCAUGAACCUCUUUUUCUCUUAGUCGCCCAUGAAAUGAUAACAUCAAAAUCUUCCUUGACUAUAAGAUUGGACAACCUCAAAGCUUUGGUCUCAAUAGCAAAAGCUCUCACCUGUAGGUUUAGGGUAAGCUUUUGUCACUGUACCUUGUUAAUCUCUAAUUACUCCACCAAUUCCAAGUUGCCUUGGGGUAGCCAAAGAACAUCCAUCAAAUCCAACUUGACGAACCGUUCAAUCAAGGUUGACCAUAUUUGAGAACUGUUCUUAACCAACUUUUUCCACCUACUUACAAGGCCCUAGUUUUGUGUGAUACAAGGCUUAAAGGAGUGCCAGUGAAAGCUUCAGUAACAAAGGGUUAAAGGGACAUAGGAGAGUAAAACAAGUAAUAAACCAUAUUUUUUAUCCUCCAAACAUCCUAAAAAAUCUUUGUAUUUCUUUCUGGCCAUACUGUUCAAAUCAAGUUGAAGCUUGAUCUGCUGUAAAGUAUGCCAAAGAAACCCAAAUCUCAUCCGAGAUAUUAUCUUGGUUAUCUAUCAUUAUCUCCUUAUUCAUCAAUGAUUUGAAUUCGAUCAAUUUCUUUUUCUUAUUCUAUUAGCUAUCCUAUGGAAGUAUUUUGAAUUAUAAUGCCCUUCCUUUGCCCGUUUAGUUCUCUACAUUUUUGUCUUUAAUGCACCUCUUCUUUCAACACCAAAUCUUUCAGUUCCACAUUUUUUGUAGGCCUCAAAGUAGCCAACUCAAUAGUUACCCUCUUGUGAAUUGACAUAGCAAUAUUACCUCUCAAGAUGGCUUCCUUCCCUUUUUUGAUAUCUAAAAAAUAACCUUCUUUCAGAUUUUCAACUUUGUUUUCAUGUCUUGCAACUUUUGCAUAAACUAUGCCUUUCCCAUCCCACUACGGAGCACCCUUUCCACUAAGUGCUAAUACAAAUUGGGCCUAGGAUUGUCACUUUGGGUCUUUUCAGGAUCUAGUUGACUACUUAUGUUGAGAUUAAGGUGUCGUUGAUGUCCUAUUAAUUCAUUGUUAUCACGUAUUAAAAGAAAAAAAAAUGUCACUAAAUGCUGCUGAUUUUUUAAGAUAGCUGUUCAUUUUUUAUUCUUAUAUUCACAUUGUUCUAUAUUGACCGUUUUCCAGUUUCAUGCUUUAGCUGGAUUUAGCUUAUUCUGCCAAGUUGUUUGUAGAGUUGCUGUUGCCACUCAAUUCCAGCGUGCUUUUAUGCAACUUCUGUAUGAUGCUCAGUUUGAAGAACUAUCAGCUAGGGAUUUGAUGUUAACAUCUGCAUUAAACACUGAUUAUCUCCUUACUCUGCCCAUAUAUGUCGACUGGAAGAAGGCAUCUGAGUCCAAUGCAAUAAUAUUCAAGUGAGUUUUAGUUAUAGACCUGCUUAUACCUUUUUCAUCUUCAUCUUAACUUUCAGACAAAUUUUAACAAGCCAAACUCAUGAAGUCAACUUGUAGUUUGAGUGAAACAGUAGAUUUGGACAUGAAAUUUGUAGAUUUUAUAUAUUUUUUCUGGUCUAUGCAUGUCUGUACACAUUGUGUGAUGUAUGUGUGUACACGUGUAACCAUGUAUUUGUAUGUGUGUAAAAGGGGCAUGCUUGAAUGAUUGCUUUGUUGACUCGUAACUUUCCUGUAAUCAAGAAUGGUUGGGUGGUCAAUUAUUGUAUUAUGGAGGGUGGUCAGAGUCUCAGGAUCCAAGAUUCUUAAGGAGUUCUCAGGAUUGGAGUUGGUUUUGGUGUAGUUAUUUUUGUAACUUAUUCAUCCUGUUGUUAUCUGUGAUGGAAGAGAUGAUAGCUUGGUGUGGAGAAUAUCAAUGAAUGAUUGCUUCUCUGUGAAGUCUUUUUGUAAGGCACUGUAUUUAGGAGUUUUUUUUUUCGUUGCACUCCUUCUAAGGUUAGGUUCUUUGUAUUGGAAAUGGUUUGAUAAAAAAAAAUCUUGCUAUUGACCAACCCAUGGGAAGAGGUACGUUGGUGCUGAUUGUGCAUACAAAUGGAGGAGUCAGUUACCAUCUGCUCAGGGUGGUUUGGGUGUUUCCUUGGUUGAUUAAGGAUACAUUGUACAAUUGGCUCUAGAAUGUUUUGUUGGCAAGAGUAGAAAGUUGGUGAGAAGAUGUUCCCUUGGUGUUUAUUUUGGUGCCUUUGAAAAGGAGCGGAAUCAUAGGAAUAUUUAUCGUAUGAAGUGUUCAGAGUGGGUUCUGAAAGAGUAUCUCAUCAAAUCUCUGUUUCUUGGUCAAGGGAUCCUUUGUGGUUAACAACUUGUCAUUUUUAGAUUUUAUUGAUCAGUGAACUAGGUUUAAGGCCCAUUAGUGCUUGUUGCAGUUCUUUUUCUUCUUCUUCCUUUUUUUUUUGGUUUUAAUAUUUUCAGUGCUUCUGGUAUACUUCCUAUGUACAUGGAUUGUGCCCCCUUUUAGUUAGGUUCCUUAUAUUUAUAUUCUUCCUUCUUUUUCAUGUGAUAAAUGUCUUAGUAUGCACUCGCAUGCCAUGAUUGCAGAGUUAUUUGUUUUGGUUGCUUUCUGUGCAUAAACCUGCCAUUUCCACAAAUUCUACUAUGUGAGAUAUUAGAAGGCCGCUUACUUUUGACAGGCAUUCACCUUUUAUAUUACAGGCGGGGAUAUGCAGCCGAGAGGCAGAAGGGUCUAUUAGUUGUUGAAAAACUGGAUUACUUACAGUCAAAACUUCUGCAAGGAAUUUUCUUUGUCAUAUCAAAACCAUUAGGGAAAGUUGGCACCUGGAUAAAUGAGGUUGUUCUCUUGUUUAUGGAAACUUGGAUGUCUCCAUCUUGAGGCAGUCUCAAACUUUUACUUUUUUAUUGAAGGUUGCAUAUUUAAAGCUACCUAGAUGUCAUAUUGUUAUUUGAAAGGAUUCUACUACUUCAUACGGUUGAUUGUAGAUGUGGUGUAGACAAGCAUGCUUUUAUAUUUAUCUAUGCAUGUGUUUAUGUGUAUUAAGUGUUCCUAUAAUUGUUUGUAAUUGUCUUAAUAAGAAUUCCUUAAGUUUGCAUUUUAAGAAAAAAGGGGGAAAAACAACUGGUUUCAUUUUCCAAUUCCUGACCAAAGAAAAUCCCUAUAUAAUUUCUCGAUCUUAAGUGCUACUUUGGAAGGGAUUUUAAACAUUGAUAGAAAAUGAAUGGGUAAGAGAAAUAAAAGAUUGUGUCAGGGUUAUUUUAUUGUCUAGGGACGAGGACUUUCUUCCAACGAUCCAAUCUACAGGAAAUCCUAUCAAGAACUGGGUCCCAAAAUGAAUCAGACCAAGGGUUCCCUUCCAAUGGGAGACCCAAACAUGAAAGGGGCGUAUUUGAGGCUAUGCAAGGUAGCCAAACCAGUAAUUUGAGCCAAUGGCUAAAAAGUAUAGGCAACAUACCUCCACUGUGCAGCAUAGCAUGACCCUUUGUUUCUAGGACAAAAAUUGCUUCAUUUUCAACUCUUUCCAGAUAUUACUAGACGGAUAUGGCUCUCUCUGGAUUCAUCAGUGGAGGUACAUAUAACUACUUUGCAAAAUUUGUUGUUCUCCACAGAUCUCUUCUGGUUAAAGAGAUUGAACUGGUAAAAUUGAUGAAAUCUGUGAAAUUUCUUACUGUUUUGUCAGGGUGCCCUGAAAAGAAAGUAUUUCAAUUUUAUCUAUUUCAAACACAAAUGCUUUUUCAGUGUUUCUGGAGUAACACUAAUCUUUGACUUGUCUUGUUUCAUCUAUUUUUAACCCUAGACUUUCUUAACAUUGUGGGAACUUUUUAAUGUCUUUGCAUCAAACCAUCUCCCAGUUACAACGCUUAUGGUUUGGGUAAUUUUAUGGUUAAGCACAUUUACAAAAAGUUUCUCAUUUUCUGGAGCCUGAUUUAGAACAAAUGUUUUGUGAUCAUAUGCAUUUAAGAAGUGCAACUCCUUUAUAAUAUAUAUCUUGUUUGGCAGUUUGAAACUAUAUGGGUAAGUAUGAUACUCCUUGUGUCUGAAACAAUCUACAAUAUCCUCAUAAGUAAUCUAUUAAAGGAGUUGAAUCAAAGGAGGAACAGUUGGAUAGACACAGCUAUUCUUUUAUCUAAUAUUUUCUGUUUUUAAAUUCAUUAUUUUGAAGACUCUAUUGCUCACUUUGCUUCUGUAAAUUUUAAGCUUUUUUUUUUCUUCAUUAUAGAUAGUAUUGCAUCUGACAUGUCUCCUUAAUUGCUUUAGGACAGGCUUUCAAAAGUGCUUAUCAGACACAGGAAAUACAAGUUUGGAUUAAGAGAAUGAAACUUUGGCUUGAAGAACUGUCUCUUUUUCAACAAUCAUAUUCUUAUAAAGAACAAACUUCCGAUUAUCUGUUGGACGUAGACAAACUAUCAGAUAGUGAUCUUCCUAUUUGGCUAGCAGCACAGAAGGCUGUAACUCGUUAUGAAGGACUCCUGUCACCUGUUGGACCCCGUGGCAGGCUCUUAAGGAAAUUGCUUACAUGGAGUGGACUUAUACCCUCUACAACAGAAACAACAUUUGAGCUUCAAAAUGAUAAUACUGCUUCAGAACUUUAUUUGGGGUUUGUCUUAAUGAAAUUGUAUCCCUUUUGUUUUUUGUGUUGGCUAUUAGUAAUAGACCUAUUGCCUUGGCUAAUUGAUUCAUGGAAAAGAGUUGCUUGGGUGUUAUUUAAAGCAUCUUGUGCUAUGAAAGGUCUCCCAUAAUCAAUCAUUGUUUGUGAUGCUAAUUAGGUUCCCAUGUGAUGCUGAUUAUGCUUACAUGUAAAUAGAAUCGAACCAUGAUCCUAGGCUGAUGUUGGUUAUGUUUCCUCAUAAAUACAAUUGGGCCAUGAUUCUAGGUUGAUGCUGAUCAUGUUUCCUUUUGUGUUGGGAUUUACCAUCUAUUUAAACCAUUUAACUGUACAUGCUUGUACAUUGGAAAAUAUACUUGUGUUUGAUCAUUCUCUGUCUCCCAAAUGUUUUCUUUCUUUUCUGCUCAGUCUGAUAUUAUUUUCAUAUUACAUGAGCUGUUUUGAUUUUGAGUUGUUCUCUUCCUCGUUCUCCUAAAUUUAACUUCAGCAUCCUACUUUUCUUUUGUUUUCAAUUUCUCUCUCCAUUUCCUUGAAAUCGUUCUAGGGAAACCAAAAUUUUGCUUUUGUUUUUGAACAAAUAAUGGAGGGGAUCUUUUCUUCUACAUUGGGUAGUUACUGGAGUUAUAAUGGGGUUGUUAAUCAAAUAUCUUGUGUAUACGUCUUAACAAAGUAGGAUAUCUCAGAGGAAAAAUAGACAUUUACUUGAUGUUAUUAAGGCUUUGUUAUUCACCAUGGGAGUGCCACAAUAUUUGUGGGAGGAAACUAUCCUAGCUACUUGUAGUGGUUAAUAGAAUGCCUACCCUAGUCCUCAAUUUUAACACUCCUUUUUACUCUCUUAAACUUGUUUUUCCAACCUCUCACUUGUUUAAGACUUAUACCAAAAGUUUCUUGUUGUACAAUCAUUUGUUCACUUUCAAAAGCACAAUUUGAGUAAGCUUAAUUUUAGGUCACUUAAGAGUGUCUUCUGUUGUAGUGCCAACGAAAGCUUUGAUGCCAACAAUGUUAGUUCAAGAACACAAAGAUAAAACAAUCACACAUACGGUACACGAGGUUUUAACGUGGUUCGGCCAACCAUGCCUACGUCCACGGAUGAGAGAGAAUGAUUUCACUAUACAAUAGAGAAUAUUACAGAGGACAGAACCAGAUACAACUAUUGGGUUCCCGAAAUAUCCCAUGUUUCCCCACUCAUUGUAUCCAUACCUUACUACGAGCCCUCUCGCUCCACCGGGUACCUCCCGUUCUUCCUCACAUCUCUAUCCACCUCGUAUAGUCUCUACAGGCCCAUCUCCAUCUCAUAACUUUUUCUCCUCAUGAUCUAGAAUAUUUAUAGAGAUAUUUCCAACAACCUUCCUUAUUCUAUAAGGAAGUCUAAUAUUACAAUAAUAUAUCAACCUAAAAAUAUUCCAUAUAAUAUUCUUUACAAAAAAGGGAUUUAUAUUAAUUAGGAAUUUGGGACACUUCCUAACAAUCUCCACCUUGGACCAAAUUCCAUGAAGUUAAUCUUCAAUCUUUGCAUGACACAAACCUUUUUGUAUCAUAUCACCACGAAAGAGCAAUCGACUCCACCUUCAGUGAAAAUUACUUUUGUUUUCAUCUUGUGUGCUUUGUGAUCUUUUACUCUUCCAGAAAUCUUCAACCCAAGCUCUGAUACCAGAAAAAUACAAUGGGAUUCAUAGAAGAUAACAAUUAGAAUCUCUAGAUAAUUUGCUAACAGACAAGAGAUUACAAGUAAGUUUAGGAACAUGGAGAACAAAUUUAAGAUUUAUUCCCUCAGAGAUUUUUAUUAGACCUUUUCCUGCAAUAGGUGAGAAAUUACCAUCACUAUCCGAACCUUUUUAUUUCCAGGACAAUAGGAUUCAAACAUGUUUGAGGAAUUGGUCAUGUGGUCGGAUGCUCCAGAAUCGAUUAUCCAUGGAGUAGAUUUAAAACGACAAGAUAGAGCAUAUAAUUCAUUACCUGUGUGUGCCAAAGAAACACUAGAAGUACCGGAUGUCAAGUUGGAUUUCAGCAGUGCGGUCUGUGAUUGAUUCCCUAAAUCAGAAUACAUCUGAUUUACAUUCUCCCAAAGCUCUUGUGCUGUUGGAUAGCACAUGUAAUUAGAGUUAAUGUCUUCUUCCAUAGAAUUCACAAGCCAUGUCAUCACCAUGGAAUUCUCAUUAUCCCAUAUAGCAUAGUUCGGAUCAUCCACUGCAGGAGCCUUCUUUUCACCCGUCAGGUAGCCUAUAUUUCCACGUCCUCUGAUGUACAUCCGAACUGAUUGAGACCAUCUCAGAAAGUUGUCACCAUUCAAGCGAAUCGUGGUGAUUUGGACAGAGUGAGAUUCCAAGGUGGUAGGACUGAUUUUUGAAGAAUCAGUGAUGAUGGGAUUGUUCAGAGAAGGUUGAGGAACAGUAGUGGACUCGUUUGAAAUAUCCGACAUGGUUUCAGAGAACAGGGAUUGAAAGAGAGGAAGAAGGAGAGUUUUGGCAAGCAAAUUGCUAGCUCUGAUACCAGUUGUUGUGCCAGCGAAAGCUCUGAUACUAGUUGUAGUGCCAACGAAAGCUUUGAUGCCAACAAUGUUAGUUCAAGAACACAAAGAUAAAACAAUCACACAUACGGUACACGAGGUUUUAACGUGGUUCGGCCAACCAUGCCUACGUCCACGGAUGAGAGAGAAUGAUUCCACUAUACAAUAGAGAAUAUUACAGAGGACAGAACCAGAUACAACUAUUGGGUUCCUGAAACAUCCCAUGUUUCCCCACUCCUUGUAUCCAUACCUUACUACGAGCCCUCUCGCUUCACCGGGUACCUCCCGUUCUUUCUCACAUCUUUAUUCACCUCGUAUAGUCUCUAUAGGCCCAUCUCCAUCUCAUAACUUUUUCUCCUCAUGAUCUAGAAUAUUUAUAAAGAUAUUUCCAACAACCUUCCUUAUUCUAUAAGGAAGUCUAAUAUUACAAUAAUAUAUCAACCUAAAAAUAUUCUAUAUAAUAUUCUUUACAAUAAAGGAAUCUAUAUUAAUUAGGAAUUUGGGAUACCUCCUAACAAUAUCUUCGUUGACCAUUCUCUUAUUCAAAAAAGGGUAUAAAUGUUUUCAUCCUUGAACAAAGAAGUUUUUUUGUUACUAUGGAUGUCACUUUCUUUGAGUCACAACCUUGUUUCACCUAAACAUUUUUUCAGGGGGGAAUAAAAGUGUGGGAGAUUAGUUAUAGGAUGAUGAGAUGUUACUAACACUUGUUAUGAAUCCUUUUCAUUGUAACAUACUUUGCCUACAUCAUGGCCACCUUCUACCAUGCCUAUAGUUGAAAUUAACUAAGAAGAAAUUCUAGCUAAUAAUCAACUGGUGGUUGAGGAAAAGGAAAAUGGAAAAUCUUAUGAAUUAUAGGUGUAUUCUUGAAGAAUAAGUCUAAGAAAGAUUGCUAAUCUUCUGAUUUAGAGAUAGUGCCUUUGGAAAACAUAGGUGGCUUUGAGCCUUGUUCUACUCUGCCUAUUACUUUUCUAAAUCUUGCUUUAUUUAUCCCAUUGUUUUUGUCUCAAAUCUUGAUUUGCCUAUUACUAUGAGAAAGGGUGUUAGAUCUUGUACGCAUCAUCCUAUAAGCCAGUUUUUUUCUUAUCAUAUGCUAAUACUCUUUGUUGGACAACCAAUUUUCCUAAAGCUUAAGCUUGUAAGAUUUGGGCCCACAAUGUAUAUUAUGCACUUUAACACUCUCCCUCACAUGCAACCCUUAUACCCGCACGUGGAGAGACACACAAGCCGAUAGGCAAACAACCACAAUCAACCUCUUUUAGGCUUAAUAAAUUGGGGAUAUAAAUAUAUGGUAGUGAGAUUCGGACAUAUGACUUGUCACUAAACAAGGCUUUGAUACCAUAUUGAGCAACCGAUUUUUCUAAAAGUUUAAGCUUAAAAAAGCUUAAGCUUGUAGGAUUUGGGCCUACAACAUAUAUCAUGCAUUCUAACACUCCUUUUUAGAGCCUUCACUACUAAUCUUUCAAGAGUUAUUCCUAAAACUAUACAAGAAGGUCUUGCUCUUCCAAAGUGGAGAGAGGCAAUUUAAGAAGAGAUGAGAACCCUAGAUAAAAUGCUACUUAGGAGCUUGUAAGUCUUCCAUCUUGGAAGAGACAUGUUGGAUGCAAAUGGGUGUCUACUAUAAAGAAUAGGGUAGAUGGAUCAAUCAAAGAACAUAAGGCAAGGCUUGUUGCAAAAGGUUUUAUACAAACCUAUGGAAUUAAUUAUCAAGGGACUUUCACCCCAUUUGCUGAGAUGAAUUCAUUUAGGGUACUGUUAUGUCUUAUUACAAACCUAGAAAGGCACUACUUUAGUUGAAUAUAAAAAAUACAUUUCUUCAUGGUGAAUUAAAGGAAGAAGUGUAUAUGGAUCUUUCACCCGGUUUUGAGGAUAUGUAUGAUAAUCAAAAGGUUUACAAGGUUAAAAAAUCCCUUUACAGUCUCAAGUAAUCACCUAGGGUCUAGUUUGAAAGAUUCACAUGAUCUCUUAUCAGAUAUGAGUACUGUUAGAGUUAAGGGAACCAUAUUAUGAUUUUUAGAUACUCAAGGAUGAAAAUAUAGCCAUUCUUAUAGUACAUGUAGAUGGUAUCAUCUUAACAAGAAACGAUAAGUGUGAGAUACAAAAUUUUGAAACAACUUCUAGCUAACAAGUUUGAGAUUGAGGAUCUUAGAGGAUUGAGGUACUUUCUGGGAAUCAAAGUUGCAAGUCAUAAAAAGAGAUAUAAAGUAUACGUUAGACCUCCUAAAAGAGGUUGGCAUGAUAGGAUGCAAACCAAGUGAUACUUCGAUUAAGGCAAACUGCAGGCUAGGAACUUGUAUUGAGGGUAAACUAGUUGACAAAAGUUGAUAUCAAAGGUUGGUUGGGAAGCUAAUUUAUUUAUCUCAUACAAAGCCUAUUGCUCACAUGGUUAGUGUAGUUAGCUAAUGUAUGCAGUCACCAAGUGAAGCUCAUAUGAAGGCAGUCAUUAAGAUACUAAGAUACUUGAAGGGCACACUUGGAAAAGGUCUUUUGUUCCCUCAGAAUAAUUACUGACUAGUAGAGGCUCUAGUAGAGGCUUACAUACUUGAGGAUUAGGUUUGAUCCCUUGAUGACAGGAGAUCUAAUUUGAGGUAUUGCACAUUCAUUGGAGGUAAUCUAGUGACUUGGAGAAGCAAAAUGCAAGAAGAUGUGGCUAGGUCAAGCACUGAAGCUAAGUUUCGAGUAAUGACACAAGGAUAUUGUGAGUUACUAUGGUUGAGAAUUCUUCAUUCAAAAUUGAGAAUGAAAAAAAAAAAACCAGAAAUUAUGACGUUAUAUUGUGACCACAAGGCUGCUACUAAUAUGGCCUAUAACCCUGUUCAACAUGAUAGGACUAAACAUGUUGAAAUUGAUUGACACUUCAUUGAGGAAAAAGUUGCAUAGUUUUUUUAUUUGUAUUCCAUUUGUGACAACACAUGAACAAUUAACAAAUAUUCUCACAAACAAUUUUCAAAGCAAGUGUUUUAAUCUCUAGUAAUCAAGGUGGGUAUGAUGAACAUCUUUAAACAAGCUUUAAGGGGAGUGUGGAAAGUCCAUAUCGUGAUUUCAUUUACUUUCUUGAUUCUAAUCUGAUUGGUAAUUUGAUUCAUAAACCUUACUUGGUUUUCUAAUUUGUCUUCUUUUUUUUUUGGGGGGUACAGAUUUGUCUCCUUGAUUGUAAUUUAGGAUAAUUAUAGUUGUAAAUCUUCCUUUCCUAGGUUGUUCCCAUUGUAUAGAUGUAAGUGAUAUAUUGUAGAAUUUUACAAGACGAAAAUUCAGAAUUUGUAGACUAAGUGCAUAGAGAUUGAUUACCACUUUGUUUAGUAACAUCUUCAACUUGGGAUCAUUUCACUACCAUUUCUCUCUUCCUUUAUGCAAUUGGCUGAUUUCUUCAUGAAGUCCCACACCAUUAUACGCUUUCACCUUCUUCUUGACAAACUCUUGAUGCUUCAUGUCACACAUGAAUGUUUGAGUAUUACUAUGCUGAUUAUAUUUCCUUGUCUUGCUGAUCAUGUUCACUUGUAAAUAAAAUUAAUCCAUGGUCCUAGGCUGAUGCUGGUUGUCUUUCAUGUAAAUAUAAUUGACCCAGGAUUCUAGGCUUAUGCUGAUCAUGUUUCUUUUUGUGUAGGGAUUUACCAUCUAUUAAACCUGUUUCCUGUACAUACUUAUAAAUUGGAAAAUAUACUUAUGUAUGAUCAUUCUCUCUGUCUCCUAACUCUGUUCUCUCUUUUCUGUUUGUGCUGAUAUUAUUUUCACAUUAUUGUGUUUAUGAAGUGAUCUGAUAGCUUAUGCUACAUUACAAAGUGGAUUCUUAAAGUUUUAACUAAUUAUAUUUUGCAGUUUGCGAUCAUGGUUAGAAUUUUUUAUUAUCUGAGAAGUGACCAAGUAACACAAGAAUUGUUUCACCAGGCCAAUUUCCUUAUCAAGGAUAACAUUGGGUGAUAUAUGGAGACCUGCUACAAGGAAAAAUUGUGGAAAUGAUUUUUGGAAAAUGUUGAAAACAUCCAUUUCCAUUCUUCUCUCACAGUCAAUCCUCCAGGUAUUAGCCAUCUAUGUAAUUACUGUUUUCCUUUUAUCUAUUACUUAUAUUAUAUCAUCAAAUAUUUUAGAAUGAUUGUUCGUGCCUUACCCCUUUUUCCCAUAAAUUACAAUUUCUCUCAUUUUUGGAGUUAGGAUUUUCUCCCAUUGUAAUAGAUAGAUAGUUUUAUUACUUCUCAUUUUGGUUGUCAAGUUUUUCUUGUGAGAUAUAAUUACAGUAUGAGGAGCAGAAGGUUUGCUAUAAAGUACCACACGUGUUUAUGUUGAGAUGACUCUUGAUGGAUUUACAUUCCUCUCUGCCUUUAUGUUCAUUCUAUUAAUGUGGACAACAUUUCUCGACUUUCACUUUUUUUUCUUGCAUCAAGGUUCGAAGGUUAUUUGGAUGCAAGUUUAACCUAAGCUAUCUACUAAAUCCAGAAAAGAAGAAACAUCAGCUUCUCCUAAACAACUGGUCCAACAAAGUUUUAAGGAAAGUUCUUUACUCCACCAUCAAUUAGAAGUGCCCCAAGCCUUGGAAACUUCUUCUAUUUCUCUCUUUCCACAUUUUCCAAUAUAAACAAAUGAGAGUUUUUCUUCAGACCUUCCUGCGGCUCUUGUCCCCAAAGCCUCAAUCCCGUUAAAGUUUCACACCCUUAAUGGAGCAAGGCAGGACCCAAGACUGGGAUCCACAAAUUAAAAGCCCACAACAGUGAAUGAGAAUAUGAUUGGUAGAUUCAUUAUAAAUUUUCAUAGACGCCACAGUCAAGCAUCAACACUUAUAAUUAUGAUUUAUGACAAUACAAUUUUUGCUAUGUUGAUCUUUGGGUGUUUUUUUUGAAGAUUUCCUUAGCUUUCUUUCAAAAUUAUGAAGGACUAUCGGGAGGGAUUCACUCUGAGUGACAAUUGGAAUAAUUAGAUUGUCGCUUGCAUUCUAUUUAAGUCCGCACCCCACAGAUAGCAUAUAGAAAACAUUUUUUUUUUUGAAGUAGCAUAUAGGAAAGAAUCAUCACUUAGAGAACAUGUACAAAAUAAUCAUUGGGGUGAAUUCUUUUUGAUUCUUUUUCUUUUUUAAUUUUAUCCCCAUUGAAGCUAGAACCUAGAACCUCUUACAAACCCCCUUUAACCCCUUAUCACUUGAGCUAGGCCUCAAGACCAAAGGUUGGAAAUAAAUUAGUCAUGUUACUAUUAUACUAAAAAAAAAUGAGUAUAUUGAGCUAUAUUGAGUGGGUUUUGUAGGAAUUGUGAGCUAUAUUGAGUAUACUAAAAAAUUCUGCAUGAGAGGUGUCAGGUUAUCUAGGUAGGAUUAUGGCUUCAUGUGAAAUGAUGAUUGGUACAACUUCACUUUGCUGACUCCAGAUUAGCUUUUUGUUUAUAUGAAUUGGGUAUUCUUUAAUUUGAAUACGUGUCUAUGUAUUUUAUAUGUGUAUGUAUACUCUUCUCCACAUCAUGUGAACAUCUUUUAAAUGGUUAAUUUUGUUAUUAGUAUUGUCAUUAUGAGAUAAUAGUGAAUAUUAUUCUAAAAAUUUCUGCCUUCUCAAAUCAGGAGCCAGCAUUCGAAGAAUUGAUUCUGCUUUAUACUGAAGAAGUGAGUGAAGGAGAAUCCAAAUAUAAAUCUGAGGUUCCUUCAUUGCAAUUGAAGAUCUAUGAGAGAAUUCCUAUUCCUGAUUUACCGGUAAAUAACUGUGUUACUUAUCAAUCCUCCCAUGUGUUAUGCUUGGCUCAAGUUAUUUGUAUCUACCUUUUUGCAGUUCUUUCUUUAUGCAAUGCUUGAAGGAUUUUCUCAUGAAUUUUCAUAUGGCUCAUGUAUUUGCAGGUUGUUUUUCCUCACAAAAAGCUAUCUUUCCGUAUCAUAGACACGGUAUGAACAAUUAGAUUUGUCUUUGUUGCAUGUUGGGUUGGCUCUAUAAAAAAAACUCCAUAGUUACUAUCUAUAAAUUGGAUUUAAACAGUUCAAGGCUAUAUGCAGUAGCCAGUAGCUUUACUGAUUUUCUUGGAUGCUUAUCUGUUGUUACUUUAUCAGAUGAUAAUAUCUAUCACAGAAGUCAUUGUCUAUAUGCUUGUCAUAUCUGCAUUGACCAGAUGAUUACAUAUUUAUUUGGAAAACCAUAUAAAUGUCAAUAAAUAAGGACCAUUAUCUGUUCUAAAAUAAGUUUUCUUUAACCAUGUUUUUGUUAAACAUAGGAAUUAGUUUGACAAUAUAGGAUAAUAUACCAAACAAGGAGUGGCAUUUUUACUUUCACUUUGAUGGAUCUUUCCAUGUGGUAAUGGGUAGAAAUAUCAUGUUCAUUAUAGGUUUCUAGCACUCCCUUUUUCUAUUUUGAAAAGUUGUGUAAUACAUUGUAAUAGUAAUUACAUAGUCAUGUCACCUUAUUUCUAAAUUAUGAGUUAGUCAUGGCACUUUUAUUUCCCUUUCUUUUGUUUUUUCCUUCUACAUUCAUGUAGAGAUGGCAUAUACAAUGAUUGCACACGUUUGACAUUUUGGUGAUUUUUUCCAAUGAAAAAGUAUUCUAAACUAGUGACAUGCAUUGUUAAGUUUCCUUUUUUUCAUUUGUUUUUUAUUUUUUGAUAGGUGAAGUAAUAAUAAUACAAUAAAGGUUUUUCACAAGAAAAAUGGGUGCAACCUUAACAUGGAGGAUGUAUUCAAAUCGCAUUGAAUGCAAACACUAAGAAGGCCUUAACUCUUAGCAAGAAAGUUGACAGGAGUACAAAGAUUAACAAAGAAUUUUUCUACACUAACUCCAUGUUCUCCACUUCUCAAAAUAUCUUUAAUUCCUCUUUCCAAAUAGAAACAUCAAAUCAAGAGUAGUCAUGCUCUUUCAUUUCUUCUCCAUGAAUCUCCUUUCCAACUUACCAGUAACUCUGUUAACCAACCUAAGAAACAGCCCAGAACUGUUAAUGAAGAAAGAUACCAAACAUUAUAGAAUUGUGGGCCAGUUUUGUAGCUGCUUACAAAUAAAAUGCCAAGUUGCUAAAGACCAUCCCUUUUUCUUAAGCUAAGUGGAGUCAAAAGGGUUUUCCAUGAGAUAGGAAGGUGUGAAGUAGUGGUUGCUUGUUGAUCAUCUGUAGGCUGGCCAUAGAUCUUAGUGGACAUAGAGAAUAAUAUUUUGGAUUUAUGCAUUUCAAUUAAAAGACCUGAUCUACUGCCUAUCAAAAAAACAAAAAUAAAAAAUAAAAAUGAAAAUAAAAGACCUGAACUACCAAAUCCUUAAAUAAAACAGUUAUUGUGCUUUAAAUGAUUUUCAUAAUUUUUAAAAGAUGGAACUAUAUGAAUAAUGGAAAAGCUUCAUGAAAGGAAGAUUAAGGAUUCAUACAUAAUAACUAAUGGGAAAUGCCCAUUUAAAUUUAUAUGGAUCGAAGAAGUCCAACAUUGAUUUUUUUAUUUUAUUUUAUCAGUAAAUGAAAAAAAUAUUAAAAAGCUCCUGUUGGAGAUGAAUGGUGAUAAAGCUUCAGGCCUGGAUGGAUUCACAGUGGCUUUUUGGCAAGCUUGUUGGGACUUUGUGAAGGAGGAGAUUUUGGAGUUGUUUAAGGAGUUUUAUGAUCAAAGCUCCUUUGCCAAAAGCCUUAAUACCACUUUCCUGGUCCUUAUUCCAAAGAAAGGGGGUGCUGAGGACCUGGGAGACUUCCGGCCCAUCGGCCUUUUAGGGGGGCUGUACAAGCUUUUGGCCAAGGUGCUGACAAAUAGGCUGAAGAAGGUUUUAGGAAGGGUGGUUUCUGUGGAUCAAAAUGCGUUUGUGAGGGGUAGACAGAUUUUGGAUGCUUCGCUUAUAGCUAAUGAGGUAAUUGACUCCUGACAAAAACGAAAAGAGAAAGGGCUGAUCUGUAAACUGGACAUUGAAAAAGCCUAUGACAGCAUAGAUUGGAAUUUUCUUAUGAAGGUUUUGCAUAAGAUGGGCUUUGGGUCUCGGUGGAUGGAGUGGAUUUGGCCGUGCAUCUCAACUGCCAAAUUAUCUGUUCUAGUUAAUGGUGUGCCAACAGGCUUCUUCUCGAGCACCAAGGGGCUGUGUCAAGGAGAUCCUCUUUCUCCUUACUUUUUUGUCUUGGGAAUGGAAGUGCUAAGUGCACUCAUAAGAAGGGCUGAUGAUGGGAGUUUCAUCUCAGGCUGCAGAUUUCGGGGAAGAGGAAGGAUGGAGAUAAAUGUCUCCCACUUACUCUUUGCUGACGAUACAAUCAUAUUCUGCGAAGCAAGGAAAGAGAAUCUAACAUUUUUAAGCUGGAUUUUGGCUUGGUUUGAGGCUGCGUCCGGCUUGAGGAUCAACCUGGCCAAAAGUGAAUUAAUUCCAAUUGGUGAGGUGGAAGAGAUUGAGGAAAUGGCAGUGGAGCUAAGGUGUAGGGUGGGGUCUUUGCCCAAUGUUUACUUGGGGCUACCCUUAGGAGCUCAUCACAAGGCUCCUUCUAUGUGGGAUGGGGUGGAAGAGAGAAUGAGGAGAAGAUUAGCUUUGUGGAAAAGACAAUAUAUAUCCAAAGGCGGGAGAAUCACCCUCAUUAAGAGCACGUUGGCCAACAUGCCGAUUUACCAAUUGUCUCUCUUUCGAAUGCCCAAGAUUGUUGCAAGAAGGCUUGAAAAAUUACAAAGAGACUUCCUUUGGGGAGGGUGAAGCUUGGAAAGGAAAGUCCACUUAAUCAAAUGGGAGGUGGUGUGUGCUCAAAAGGAGAAGGGUGGUCUAGGCAUAAGGAAGAUUGUCCUUUUGAACAAGGCCUUGUUGGGCAAAUGGAUAUGGAGAUUUGCCUUUGAAAAAGACAAUCUUUGGAAGAAGGUGAUUUUGGUGAAGUAUGGACGGGAGGGUUUUGGGUGGAGGUCUAAUGAGGCUUAUGGGACGAUUGGAGUGGGGGUUUGGAAGGAGAUUCUAAAGAUAGAGUUUUAAGUGGGUAAAGGGACUAAAGUCAAGUUCUGGACUGAUCAUUGGUGUGGCAAUGCAACGCUAUCCCAAAACUUCCCCCAGUUAUUCGUCUUGGCGGUCCAUAGGAAUGCAACAGUUAAUGAAUUGUGGGACCCUAGUUUUGGUCAAGGAGGUUGGAGUCUCAGAUUCUUUAGAGAUUUUAAUGAUUGGGAGCUGGAUUUGAUAGGAGAUUUGCUUAAUAUGUGGAGGGACUUCAAGAUAUCUUCAGAGGAGGAUUCAGUUAUCUGGAAAGGUGGGGGAAGUGGUAUUUUUGGGGUUGAGGAUGCUUAUAAUCUGCUGGUUGCUCCAAACGAUUUCGCUUCCCCGAAAAAGUGCAUUUGGAUGGAUAAGGUCCCAACUAAAGCUGUUUUUUUUUUUCGCUUGGGAGGCCAUGUGGGGGAAGAUUCUCGCCCUGGAUAGGCUUAAAAAAUGGGGGUGGCAGCUCCCUAAUCGCUGUUUUUUAUGUGGUUGUGAAGAAGAAACUGUAAAUCAUAUUCUUUUACACUGUAUAGUGGUCAGGGUCUUCUGGGAGAUCGUCUUUGCCUUGUUUGGGAUUCAGUGGGUGUUCCUAGAGAUAGUUAAAGAGGUAUUAUUCAGUUGGAGGGGCCCUUUUGUGGGGAAAAAAAGGAAAAAGUUCUGGAAUUCCAUUCCGUUGUGUAAUUUUUGGACGGUCUGAAAGGAAAGGAGUAGAUUAGCUUUUAAGGGAGGGGGGGUUCUUAGCUAUACAGAAGCUCAAAAAUUUUUUUGUAUGUAAUUUGUGGAGUUGGGUUAGGGUGUAUAUUGGAGAGGAGUCCUCUUCGCUCUUAAGCUUUUUGGAGUGGCUAGCGUCCACUUAAGGGCUGGUGAAGUUGCUUGUUUUUUGCGUUUUUAGGUUUAGGCUGCUGUGUAUACUCCCUCCCUGUAUGCUUUGUGGCUUUUUGCCUUUUUUUUCUAUUAUGUGCUUAUUUAUAAAAAAAUAUAUAUAUUAAAAAGCGCCAAAACCCAUUUUUUUCGAAACCUUGAGUAAAAAGUCUCAAUUAACACAGUCAUAUGCUUUCUCAAUAUCAAGCUUAUAGAGCACCCCAGGCCUAUUACUUUUCAGCAUUGGGUCAAUUGCUUUAUUUGCUACAAGCACAACAUCAAGGAUUUACCUACCUUCCACAAAGGCAUUUUGAAAAUUGGAGACCACUUUACUCACUAUCUUUUUAAGCCUGUUAGCCAACACUUCAGCUAAUAACUUAUAAAGGCUACUCACCAAACUUAUAGGUCAGAAAUCCUUAAGAUCUUCAAGUUUGCCUUUCUUUGGCAGCAACACCAGAAACGUAGCAUUGAGACUUUUUACAAAUCUACCCCGCUCGUGAAAAUUCUUAAAGAAUCCCAUCACCCCUUCUUUAAUUUCCAACAACAUUGCCAGAAUGUCAUUGAAAAGUCGUCUGACCUUGGAGCUUUAUCCCCAUUUAGAGCUAGCAGUGCAUUGAACACUUCUUCCUCAACAAAAGGUUCCUCCAAUUUGGUUGUAUCUUACCCACUCAAGGCUUCAAAGCUCAUGCCCCUUAUACUGGGGUGCCAUUCCCCUAGCUCAGUCAAAAGAAUUUGGAAUGCCUGGAUGAUCUCUGCCUUAAUGUCACCCUCCUUGUUAAUGAAACCCCAUUAAUCUUGACCUUAGCCAAAGAAUUCUUCCUUCUAUGUGGCCAUUUUGUGAAAAAAAAAAAAAUGGUAUUUCCAUCACCCUCCUUCGACCAAACUUUUCUCCUUAAGCCACAUAUUCUCAAACCUAAAAGGAAAAUGCCCUCUCUGCAUUCCACCCACAUCCAACAAAAUUAGAGAAUGGUCUGACACAAUUCUGGGCAAGAUACACUAUAUCACACUGCUAAACAACCUUCCCAUCCCUCAAAUACUAGGAAGUGAUCUAACCUCGAAUGGGCUUGAUUAUUCAAGCCCUCACUCCAAGUAAAAGAGCCCCCAAGUAAAGGAAGAUCCCUCAACUGGAGAUUGUCAAUGAUCUCUGUAAAUCUUCUCAUUGCCGACGACAACAUGAAGGCACCAAUACACUCACCUAGAAAUCUCACAACAUUGAAAUCUCUACCAAUACACCACAAGUCAGUCCACAGACCCCUAAUUGCCCCCAAUUCCUCCUAAAAGUCCUCUCUAUCACCUCUAAGGGUAGGGCCCUACACCCCUGUUAAAAUCCAAACAAAUUCUUCUAAUGUGUCAAGUAGGCAAAUGCUUUCUCCCUGUCAAAAACACCAACAGGUCUCUCCAGCAUUUUUAGAAAAAAUUUGCAAAAAGAUUAGUGAACCUCAGGUUAAAAAAGAACACAAAAAAAUACAUAGAAAAUAAGGAAGGAAAUCUUAAGAUGUAUGUAUUUCUUCUUAUCAUAUUUUAGUGACAACAAGGUUUUGAUUUUUGUGAAAAGAUAUCUUUUAAAUGUAAAUAUUUAACAUCAAUUAUGCACAAUUACCACUAGUGAAAAUUUUUAGUUUGUAUCUCUCUUUUCAGAUCCAAUUUCUCCACCAACGCUAACCCUAGUUAGUAGAUUCAAGCAUAAUGCACCUUUUAAUUAUCGGGAGAACCUAGUUACAUUCUUUUGGAUUUAAGAAACAACUCUCAAAGAUCUUUUUUCUUUGGCUUAUUGAUGUAGAUCUAGCUAGAACCAGAUUUAAGAAGCAACUCUCAAAGAUUUUUUUUUCUUUUUGGAAGAUAUAGGAGCGAAACAAUUAGCCUAUUGAAUCAUUGAUGUAGAUCUAGUUAUAACAACCUAAGAGUUAACUCUAAAAGAUGUCAUUGGAGAGUGUGCUACAUAGAAAUAAAGAUUUCUACUUUAUGUUUAUAAACUUGUAAGCUUCAAUUCUAAUAUCCUUGUAAGGGAACUCACUUAUGACAACAUAUUUUAUUCCACAUUUUGUGAUCAUUAUAUUAAAAAAAAAUUCUUGUUGUGUUUCCUAAAAGGGAACUAAAGUUUUCCAUUUUUUUUUUCAUGUAUAAUUUUUUGAAGGUUUUUUUUUUUUGAGUUUCCAAAGUCUAAUACUAUGUGAUGAAAAGAAAAACAAUGAAUGAUAAAUGAUAAUAAUUUGCAUCAUUGCAUUAUUUAAUGGUGGGAAUCCAUUAUUUUCUAUUCUAGGUGAAACUUUUGGGAGGCCUUUGUGUGACACUAAGUUUUUUUUUUUUCUAUCCUAUCCUUCUCUGUCUAUUUCUCAUUUUAUUUUUUUUCCCUAUAACCUCAAGCACUUGUUCAUCUCCUUAACUCCUAUAAAAGUGAAACUGUGGUCGACCCCUUAUCAGAUUAUUGGCAAACACCUUAGGCUUAAACUCCACGGUGGAGGUCUUUGAUAGGUCAUAUUGCAGGGAUAUUCAUUACACACGGGGACUUUGUCUCAACUCAAUGGUUGCAAUUAUACUCUAAGCAUAUUGCAGAGAACUUAUUGGUUGGAAUAAAUAUGCAGCAAAAUAACAGGUUGCUCCUGCUAUUUCAAUACAUAAGUAUGAUCGUGGAUGGCUGUUAAGAAAUAAGCAUAGAUCUGCUACUCUAAUUCAAGUGUGAUGGAGGAUGUGUGAGGUUUUCUCAAGUUUCUAUCACAGGCAAGUUUGAACUAUAGCAACAAUGUUGAGGAAAAAACUAGCAACAAGAGAACUCCAAAGGCUUAAAUGAGAGAGAUUAAAAAAGUGAGUUCCUGCAUGUGGGAAAGAAUAACUUGAGAAAGAAUUCAAAGAUAUCAGUUAGCUUCUUUCAAAGGAUGGAGCUCAGUAAAAUCUUGAACACUGCUCUUCUAGAAAAUCGAUGCUUCGAAGGAUAUCACAGAUGGCAUUUCAGCCACUUGGUGCCAUUUGCUUCUGGUACUAUCCCUUAUAUAACCCCAUGGUGGUGGCAACACUUUUCAGAAAACAGAUUGUAAUAAAGGUUCAAAACAUGCAAGUUGGCUUGGAUGUUUCUAUUUCUGAAAUAUCCAGGCAGCCCUUGCAGCCAAAAAGGCUCCUGCAAGAUGUAAUGACAGAGUUUGUUGAGACAAGAGAAGUACCAUCUGUUAUGUCAACCAAAUUUAAUUGUUUGAUCUCCUGAUGUAUGUAGGAUGUAAUUAAAAAUGUUGAUGUGACUCUAACUCCACAAUGUUUGAGUUUGCUGGAAAAGAUGCAUUUAUUGUCUGUGAAAAAUUUAUCUUAAGGGAAUUGCAGCUUAUUGCCCAAGCAUUUCAUUUGGAUGGGAUGAUGAAAAAGGUGGAAGGAAUUGCUUGGAAUUCUAUCAGACCAGAAAACUCAUUUAAAUACAAGGUUAAGUAUCUUCCAAGUUGGUCAAAAUUGAGCGAGAUGACCCUUAAGGUUUAUCCAUCUUUAUAAUACUAUAUUUUUAUCAGGAUUCAGGAUAGCCGGUCAGUUGAAGGAUAGUAUUAGGGGAUUCUAAGCUCUAAGAAAAUAAAACAAAGACAUGAUAAUGAACAAGUUGUUUUCCCCAUGUGUUUGAUUUGUUCAACCUUUAUAAGAAUAUGUCAUUAUCACAUAUAAGAAUAUUUGUUUUGUGUGCAUGCUGAUCAUGGAAUGUAGGUUUGAAGCAUGGCAGUUGUGGACUUUGAACUAGAGAUUGACCUAAUUCAUGCUUACUUUAAGUACUCUCCAGUUCUUAAUUUUGGGCAAAAUUCUGAUUUUCGAUUUUAAUAUUUAUUGACCAAGCAUUGUUAUAUGUGGAACAAAGAAAGUCCUACCAAAAUGUUUAUUGACUUUGCUUGGCCAUCUAUUAUGAAAUUCAUUUACAGGUACGCUUGGAUGUUGCCACAAUAUUGGGACUUUUGGCUUUUUUCAUAAACUACAAAUUUGAGGACAUCUUAUCUUCUCCGUAAGUAUAGCUUGAUUGUUUUACUUAAUUACAUUUGGAAGUUGAGCAACAUAGAUGAAUUAACUCCAUCUCAUAUAUAAACUUGAUCUUGAAUUUCCUAUGAGCAUGAUGAAUGAUUUGGGAGAUAUCCCGUGAUUGCUCUGAUUCCAUAAAGAAGAAAAUAAAAAAAUGUAUUUCCAUGAAUGAGAGGUUGCACAUAAAGAGGUGAGCCAUAAUUUUAUUUUUUUCAAAAGUCAACUAAAUAAUCCUAAUUUGUAGGAACUAGAUUCUUGGAUGAGCUAUAAACAAAAGGCAACUAGUUACAAUUAAGAAAUUAAAAUAUAAUAAAUACACAAUUAACAAAGUAACACAUAAUGAGGAAAGUCAGCACAAUUAAUCAGGACUGCAUCUUCAACAUAUGAAGUGCAACAUCUUUAACAAAAAGCUUCUUGGAUGAGUGGUUGUGGAGGUUGCCAAGGGAAAAUGAGAUUCUUUGGCACAAAGUUAUUAAAAUCAUUUAUUUGACUUGAAUGGCUAGGACGCCAACCUUCAGGUCAUAGGUGUUCACAUCACUGCCCUUGGAAUGCUAUAUGCCCAGGUUUCCUAGAAUAUUCACUUUUCAUUUGUAUUUUGAUUCAAGAAAGUAUAAGAGCUCAGUUCUAGGAAGAUUUUUGUGGAGAUAAGCCUUUGUGCUUCUAAUUCCCUGAUUGUUACUUGCUUUUCAGUCCUAGAAGCUCCCUCAUAGCUUAAUUUCUAGAUUCCUUUUCUCCAUUCUUGUUUUGGAACUUCACUUUUGGUCAAAAUUUGUCUGAUGGGGAAAAUACAGACCUCUCAGAAAAUUACAUUAUCAUUUUCUUGUCUACAUAUUGCCAACUUUCCUUGAUGAGUCUAGUCAUUGAACUCUUCAAAGUAUUCAUCACCUGUCUCAACUCUCAGAAAUCUUCAACCUUGAUAGAACCCUCUAGGAACUCUGAUAUAUAUAUAGUGAAAUAAAAUAAAAUAUCAAAAAAAAAAAAAAAACUUAAUGAUAGAAAAAAGAAUUCAGAGGGACCUAGUUACAUGAUUGCAAACUUCUCCCAUCAUGUCUGUAAUUAGAAGUAAUGGAAAAUUCCAUGAUAGUGUUAGAUUAAGAUUUUUUUUUUUUUUUUACUUUCGAAGACAAUGUGGUGCUAUUCCUAUAUACCAAUCACAUAUUUUAUUAAAGUGGUACAGCAUGAUAUAUGCUAUUUCUUAUCACUGAAGCAUAUUUUAUUACUAGUGGUACAUUAUGAUAUAUGCUAUUUAUUAUCGUUGAGGUUACACUUUAUUUGACUUGAUGAUCAUGAACCAUAUCUAGUUGUUGAUCAGUACAUAGAACAGUAUACUAUUUCUACUUUGAGCUUAUCUCAGAUUCUGUCUCUAAUAUACUGUUAUCUCUGUAUUUAUUUUUCUUGUUCCAUCUUUUAUGUUUUUCCUUUUUGGGACAAUUAAAUGAACUAUGGAUCUGGAGACUUUUAGUGGAUUAUCAUAGGAACAACUAACAAGAUCUAGAGUAACAUAAGCUAGUUUGGGAUAGCUUGACCUUCUUCUCUGCCUACUCAUUGGUAUAGUCUCCAUACAUGGAGUGGUGAUUUAUUGAUUAUGAGUUCCCUUAUCAUUUCUCUGACUACUUUUUAACUGAUACUAUCAUUCCAAACCAUCCUUCAAGUUGCCUGUCAUUGAGAAAAUGCUGACUGCAUUAUAAAAUUCUUAAUUUCUUAUACAGAUCAGCAAUACUUCUUGAUGUCAUAGCUGUCAGUGCUCUUAUAAUAUAUGUGACACGUGUAGCUCUGGGCUACAAACAGACAUGGGAUAGGUAUCAAGUGAGUUGAUGAAGUUUGCUUUAUCCAGUACAGGAGAUCUUGAUUUAAAGUGUAUCAACCACAUUUUUUUUCACUUUAAGGCAUAUUCCAAACUUUAUUAAUGGAACCUGUUAUUACAGCUUUUGGUCAACAGGACACUUUAUGAAAAAACCUUAGCUAGUGGCUUUGGCUCAGUUCAUUUUCUUCUGGAUGCCUCUGAACAGCAGCAAGUGAGAAACUCUUCAUUAUCAUUUUUGUGUUCUUCUGAACCCAACAGAUAAAUGUUCAAUUAAAAAACAGAAAAAAAAAGAAAAAGAAAAAGAAAAAGAAAAGAGGAAGCAACUGAGAAAAUGUCAAGCAUUCCCUGUGCUCUGUAUUUAAUGGUUUUGAUAAAAUUUGAUGAUUUUUUUUUCUCAUUUCACUUAUCUUUUUCUCCUGGGCUUAUGUUGUACAGUACAAGGAAGCUAUUUUAGCAUAUGCAAUACUGCUCAAAGCCGAGAAAGGCCAGGUUUUCCCUUUCCUUCUCAGUUCUAUGCAUCUAUAUUAGAAGCAUUCAUACUGUCAACAUGUUUUGUCAAUAUAUUUUUAGCUUGCAGCUAAGUACAUAUAUUCCUUGUUUGAAUAGGGUUGUUGGUAGUUGUUAGAUUCCAAGAUUUUCAAUGUCAUGUGGAAUCAAAUUUCCUUAAAACAUAAUAGUGGUAGUUUCAUGACAAAGACAAACAUAUAUGCAAUAAAGGAUUAAGUCAGUCCAAACAGAGGUGAAGGUACCAUACACUUUUUACAAUUUCUUCUGUGGAGAUCAAAUUGCUGUAUGAAAUCUGUAUGAGCCGGCUAGUUAAAUUAAAGUGAUGCUUCAUACAAAUUCUGUGAGAAUCUUUGUCAUAUAAUUAUCAACUUUUGUUCUCGUAAUCAAGUCUUGCCAACUGCUCCAUGAGAAUCUUAGGUUUGACACAUUGGGGAGUUUCCCCUUCUAACUGGAAGGAUGUGAUUUUGACUUGUUGAGAUGGGGUUUGGUGAUAAGUGAAGAGUUCUUCUACAUGAUAAGGAAACUCCAAUCUUAUGUUUUGAGAAGUAAUCAUUGGAUUAAAUUGUUUAUUCUGGUAUCCCAGCCAUGUAUUGUUUCUCAGAAUCAAUUCAAGGAUCAAGCCUCCUUGAUCUUUCUUUGCAUUUGAUACAUACUUUCACAGAGAUGCCCAAUCUUGGAGUUCAGGACAGAGAGAAUCCCAUUCACUUGACAUGUUGUUCUGUUCGCUCAUAGAAAUGUCUGUCUACUUUUUCCUUAGUGUUGCAAGAUUGUCUACUGUAAUGCCAGAUGGUAAGAACGCUUCAAUUACUAUAGGAAUGAAGGGUAACAUGGAUUACAAUAUUUAUUUAAAACAUAAGCGUCUCUGCUUUUUGUUCUACAAAAGGUUCUACCUAUAGGUGCUACUUAAAGAAACAAUUUGGAGAAGUGAAUAUUCUGUAAAAGACAAGUCCUAUAUCCUCUGUCUUUAUUCUCUCCUAAAAUCACAUCAUCCUAUUCUUCCAUUUGAUGGACCCUGCAACACCGAAAUAUUGGUUCAUAUAGCCUAGAUCUGGCUAUUCCCCACCCAUAGGGGCUCAAUCCUAACCAUUCUGGCCUGCCUACUGGAGAACCUUGCCUUUUUACCCUUUUCUGUUGUGCAAGCUGUCAUUAUAUUGAGAUGGACUACAUUCAGCCCGUUCUAUUUUGAUUAAGUAUGUUGUUAGUUCAAAUAUAAAUAUGAGAAAUUUUCUUCCAUCACUAAGGGUGCGUUUGGCAGUGAUUCUAUGAAGCGUUUCUAAUAUUUUUAACACUUUAAAAUUUUUACCUUUCAAGUAUUAAAAAGGUUAAAAACACUUCCUAAAAUCACUAUUAAACACACUCUAAGUUUCAUUUGGUCUGCAGGCCACUUGCCGCAAAAGCCUUGGAGAUGAAUGUGAGAGAUUCAUGUACAACGUGUUUAAACAGAAGGUAAUAAAAGAAAAGGAGUAUAUUAUCUAGUAAUUCUGAACUCUGCAUUCGAUGAUUAUUUGAUACAUUUGUGCAGGUCGAAAUGCCUGUUGACAAGGCAGCAGAUACGUUGUUAAGGUUGGGUCUAGUAACAGAAACACCCAUUAAUGGAAGAAUGGGACUCCAGGCCGUUCCCUGUCCCAAGGCAUGUCAGGCCCUUAAACAACGAUGGAACAGUUUGCUUAAGUGACUGACUAUUAGGGUUCAAGUUCCAUGUUCCAUGCCAUAUGUGAUGUAAAUUUUUUAGUUUAUUUAAAAAUUCAAUUAAAAGAAACUGUAAUAUAUUUUUUGUUCUCAUUGAUAUAUAGAUUUUCCCUUUUACUUGAUUGGAAAAAAAUAGAGCAAGGGUUAAUAUAUCUGUGACAUUCCAUGAAAGUUAGCAUGGCCAAGUGAUUACAAAAUAGGGUUGUCAUUUGUUUGGUACCUAGAAAACUAAGAUUUUGACUUGUAUCCAAACAUCUAACUCAAGUUUCAAUUAUUCUGAUACACAAGAAUGAUUCUCAAACCCAAAAUAAUGUCCCUGGUUGUAUAGUGCAAUGUUCAUCACCUUUGGCUAGGUUGCUUUUAUUCAAGCAUGCCAUUUAAAAUCUCCCCUGGUACGAGAAGGAAAGUUGGGUUCAUGAGAGGUCUAGGCCAAGCACAGCCUAUAUUAUAAGAACAUAGGCAUUCUUCAGCUUAUGGAGUAACAGAAUAAAAUUAUAUAGAGUCGUUGCAGCAAGUGUAAGUCAUAAUAGCCAAUGCAUCAGUCACCCUAUUAGCCCCUCCAAACACCUUGAGGACCUUGCACUCCCAGGAAGUGUUUUAUCCUCAGGAAUAGUGAGUGAAAUAGUAAGUUUGGCUCAAAAUCUGAUUUAAGGAUCUUCCAUGGCGAUUCUUUCAUAACAAAGCCUAUAAGGUGUACCAUUUGAAUGCCAAAAGUUGUUCAGAAAUGUGAUCAUAGGUGAUUUAGGACCUCGUCCAAAGGAUCCAAGUGAUGAUGAUGAUGACAACGACUUGAACACUUGGGGUCAAGAAAGAGAUUGAUAGAUAAAUUGGACGGGAUUUAAGAAAAGAUGGGAAGGUUAAGAAUUGAUGAUAAGGAAAUUGGUGUCACAAUAAAUAAAUCGGAAAUGCUUAAAAAUUUCUCUAUCUCAAAUGUAAUUGGAGAUCCAACAGAAGUGAUGGUUAGUAGUUGUAUUAAAAUGAAUGAGAUAGGAUUUCUGUGUCAAACCUCCCAAUUAAAAUGAAUAAGAUAGGUUAGAAAAGGCAUUUCUAUAAACUUAAACAACCAGAUAGGCUAGAGGGGGAAGCAUAUAAGAGACCUGACCCAAAUGAAGAAGCCAAAAGGAGACAAAAUGCGACUAUAUCAACAUGAUGUUUCAGAUAGAAAUAAAGAAAUACUCCAACAGGAAAUGUUUAAAUUAACAAUGUAAUUUAAAAGGUUGACAGGAUUAAAUGCCUGGGCUCAUGGCUGUAAUAUGUGAAAAUGAAUGGAUGAGUACUAUUUUGAGAGAACACAGUUGUAAACCUAUGAGGUGUGUAAUUGAUAGGCUGGUAUUCGGCUUUGUCCCAGUAUGCACAUUGCAGGUUCGUAUAUCUUGAAGAAAAAGGUUGAGCUUCCACAUCAAACAAGAGGUUGAGCUCUAGUAAACACAAAUAUUCCACCUGCAGCAGCACGCCCCAAAAGCAUAUUGGCAUCCAGAUAUGAAAGGUAAUAAAGCCCUCCAACUGAUCGCCUGCAAUUCAAUUUUCAUUCUUCACAAGAAUAUCUAAGAAGCAUGUGUAUAAUACAAGUUGAUUGUGAGAUCUAUGAAUGCAUGAUACAGACCUCCCUUGGUUUCUCACAGGAAUUUCAGCUUUGAAAGUACGAAUAAACUGCAAGAUCUGCACACAAACAUUUAUGCAACACACACAAAAGAAGAGGUGUAUUGAAGUGCAUGCACAUAGGUAUAAGCUAAUACAAAGUAGCAUCAAAGACAUGAAAAUAGUUUGUAUUGAUUUUUUUCAAUUUAUCUUGAAGUAGGAUAACCAAAUAUUUUCUGAACAUUCAAAGAUGAUAAAACUUCAAAAUCCAAGUUCGCUAGACAUUUGCUGAAUCUGGGACCCAGGUAUCAGAUGUCCAAGGUGGCAUGCAAACCUUGAAAUUCAAGAAUGCAAGCUGAAAUUAGGGAUGUAGCUUCUUUUACCUGUAGACUCAAAAAAGAACGUGGUAGUAUUGCUGGAGCUAUCAGAGCUUGGAGCUCCUCACUGAUGUUUAUACUUUGAAUUGAUAUCUGUGAUAUGGAAGUUGCAUCCUUCAGUUAAUACUUUGGUUAGUUAAUCUAGAAAUGUAUAAAGAGCAAGAAAAGACCAUUGAGAAUACUUUGUUAACAGGUGAUAAAACAUAAUUUAUGGUCUACUAACCCAACUUAAAUUGGUCAAUGUAGAUCUCAGUAUAUGGUUUAAAGCCCUACAUACAGGCCUGGAACCAAAAAAUUAGAGCCCAAUAUCAUUUGGGAGGAGCUUGAAUAAGAUCAUUAAGAUGAAGCUCUUUCACCUCAGCAUCACUUUCAGAUUGAAGAAAUGUCAGACUCAUCUGUUUAACAAGUCAAAACCAUUUAAGCAGGGAUAUUAAGUUUAUUGAAUUGCUUAUAAAUAGAGUUGAUUAUAACAAUGUAGGGAUUGAUUAUUAUUAUUAGAGAAAUACUAGAAGUUAGCAUCUAUUUCUCUCUCUCCUUGUUUUCUUAUAUUUUCUCAUCUAUUUUCUUCUCAUCUAAUUUGCUUCUUACCACAAUUUCUCUUCUAUGUACAAAGUGCUUCUGUUGUCCUACAGCAACAUUCCUCCAUUAGACAAGGCAUAGCCUUUGCAAGGGAAGUGAUUUGUAUAUCUGAUGCUGAACUUGUUGGUUUGACACAACAGAGCUUUUAAUCAAAGAUUGCAGAACUCUGCUUACACAAUCCUGACCUUGCUCUCUCUCCAACACUAUUCCUGAAGAGAACUUAUCUGUAGACUAUCUGAUUGAAUAUAAGUCAGACCGGAUUCAGAGGCGACCAUGGAAAGGAUCCCAUCAUUACUAGAAUGUGUUUCUAAUUGCCUUUUCUAGUCAUUUCCUCUAAAACAAUGGAGUAGACAAGUGGCACUUUUCCAUUGUCCCUAGUUUUAUAAUAAACUGGACACAUUGCUCCCAUCAAAGGAAGAAAAUGAUCAGAUUGGAGAUGAUAGAAAAAGAAAAAAAAAUCCAUGAGGAUUUCAAACUUCUAGUAAAGCAAAGUGAGCAAGUGAACUAAUUGGCUCACAACGAUACCAAGUAUAAGAUACACCUAAUCCUAUCAUUUUGAUUGGGAACAGUUCCAGGUGACCCUUUGGCUGCCCAACCAAACAGUGGAAAAAUGUUGAAUCUGCCACAACUCAACUUCCUAGGAAGUCAUGUUGUGUUUUUUGAAGACAGGGAAACUGACCUCUUCAAACUGAAGGUAGAUGUUACGGGCAGAUACAACAGAAAACUUUGCAGAUACAAGCAGAGUAGCACCUUCUUGCUCCUGUAAAGCAAAGAACCACAAAAUUAAGACAAUCUUCCACAAUUACAAGCAGUUAUAAGAUAACAGAAUGUCCCCAAGACUCUCCUCAAUGUGGCAAGAAAAGCAUACAUUCCUAACUCAUGUUGACCACCUUCAUACACAGGUGGCUACUACUCAACCUGAUCACAAGUUUGAUGCUAAUUCUGUGGACUUCAUAAAAUUUAUUGACAGUUCGAAUUUUAUAGAAUGCAAUAAGACACAGAAAAGGAUGGUCCUUAUUUCAGAACUUUUCUUAAUAGAGUUUGACAAUAAUACACGACUAUAAGAAUAAAAGGAUAAAGGCAAAAAAAAAAAAAAAGGCCCAUCAAUUUUCCAUCUUUGGGGUAUCUUGGAUAGCUGCACAAUCAGUGUUUGAUUCCUUAAGACAUACCAUGAAUAAUAGUUGAAUAUAAGGAAACAAUUAAUUUGGAGGAAAGUCCCUUGAUGCCCUAUGCAACAUAGAUGGAAGAACCAUUACAGAAGAACUUAUGAGGAAAUGGUAAGCAGUCCUAAACUAGAAAGAUAUUCAGAUUAAGUCCUUAUUCAUCUGGUUACUGAUUCAGAAUAAAUUGAUUUCUUUUCCCUUUUUGAUUUUUUGGACAACAAGAGCAUUGUUUGACUGGGGCCCUUCUCAUUUUAUUGCGUUUAUACGCUUCACGCUUGUUUGGAAUAGAAUCCACCUCUUGGUGCAUUUUAGUCAUAUUUAUUAAUGAGAGAGAGAUCGGGAAAAGUAUCCCCUAUGCCUAAAACAACUAAUGAAGGUCAUUGAGUGAUUCUGUAAUAUAUUUCAAGAAAUGACCACAUACAAGCCAGUAUUGCAAACCAAGGGAAAAGCUCUUUCAUCACUUUGAGCACUAACACAAUAUGCUUCGUAUUCAGUCCUUAUCAAUGAAGAUAAACUGCUAUCUAUGCUACCUUUUAUGAAUCGUGCUUAAUCGUUCUCAUAUCUUUUUUACAGGGGAGGGAAGAUGAAAUAGUUCUUUGGUGAAGAAUCUUAGCAUAGUGCAGAGCUACAAUUCAGAAUUGAUAAUUACAUUUGGAAGUCUAAGAAAUAAAUAAAUAAGCAAAAUCUUACCUCUAAUAAGGGUGGAAUACUCCACCGAACAACAUUGCGAACAACACCUUCUUUUGAUUGAUUCUGACAUUCAAAUUUUUGGAAGAUUUGCCCAACCUACUCCACAAACAUGGACAUGCAUGAGACUGAGAAUAGACAAAACUAGAACAAGAGAAGAAGGAAAGUAAAGUGAUCCAGGAAAUUUGAUCGUUCAAAUUCAAAUCUGACAAUUGAAAUUUGCAGACAUAACCAACAGAAAAUCAUCCAAAGUUCUAUUGCACUCCCUUUAUAUGUUAAGCACAAUCCCAUGUCCAAAGGCAAAUUCAUUGAAAAAGAAAGCAGAACCAAAAUAAAUAAACAAACACACACAAAAACCACCUCGUGAAAAUAUAUAUAUAUAUAUAUAUAUAUAUAUAUAUAUAUAUAUAUAUAUAUAAGGCUUCCAAAUUAUUCUGGCAUUCUAAUUUUUGGAAGAUUUGCCCAACCUACUCCACAUGUAUACACAUAAAUGAGACUGAGAUUGAUGGGGAUGAGAUGCUUGGGCUCUGUUUGGAUCAAGGAAAGUACUAGGGAAAGGGAAAAAAAGGGAAAGAAUUCAAAUUCUCUUGUUUGGUCUAUCUUGGGCAUUAUGAAGGAAAAUUAAACAAUUUAAAUGUUAAAUAUUUUCAAAUUCUCCAUUCUAUAUAUAGAAAAGGACAAGAGUAAAUUUGGAGAAGCAUGUAAUAAGAACUUUAUGAGUUUUAACCUAUUUUUAUUUUCUUUUCUUCCAUUUUUCCCCUCUAGUUUCUUGCCCUUGUGCUUUCCUUCAACCUUUCCAAGUUCCAAAUGGAGCCUUAGGGUUUAUCCAUGAAAAGGACCAAACGGUUAUUUUGGUAUUUUUGCUAGUUUGGAUUGUUUAGAAUCUAAAGCCCUAAUCCAACUUAUUUGGUUGUAUACAACCACCUUAGGGUUGUCUUGCAUCAAAGAGUAGACAAAGGUGAACAACUAACAUACUCAACAUAAAAUCUAGAAAAGAUGAUAGCAAUCACUUCAAACAUCAAGUCUUAUUUUGUGUACAGAGACAAAUUCAUCAAAAAAGAAACCAGAACCAGAACCAGAACAAACAAAAACACACACACACAUACGCAAAACCACACACAAGCAUCUUCAUGCAAGGCAACUUCCAGCAAAAUCCUUUCAUAGUUAACACAGAGAGAAUAUGGAGAAUAGGUCAAUUUCCAUCAUCUUGGAUGAUUAAAACAAAAAGGAAAAAAAAAGUAAACAAAAGAGAAUAAAAGGUUCAGAAUAGGAAAAACAUUAUUUUAUAUUUCAAUUGUAGUACCUGAAAGAAUGAAAACCUUGCAGCAGAUUCCAGAAGAACGAGGACAUCAGGGGCGGAAGUAUACUGCAGACGCCAUGUCCCAUCUAACUUUCCCAGAUCAAUUGGUACACCAGCAUUGUACUCCUCCACAUUUACCUACCAUUUUUAUAUACAAAAUAAAAUAAAAUCACCCUUGCUUCCAACCUCCCUUUGGAUGAGCAGGUGAAAAUUUGUCAAUGGAAAUAAUUAGGACAGAGCAAUGUAUGAUCUAAAGGAAGAAAAUGGAAGAAGCUCACUAGGGCCUCCUCAAUGCAAGAGCGUUGAUCUGCAGUUGCAACAAGGCCCCGUUGUGUGUCUUGGAUAGCUCUCAACAGAUCAUGUUUUUUCUCCUCUAACACAAAUUCAGCUGCCUGGAACUCCAAACCAAAUAAAAAUUAAGUAAUAAAAAUGAGUUAAAGAUUAAAAAAAAAAAAAAAAGGAGGAAAAAGGUGACCUGAGUCGUGGGGGUAGCAGUAGCUGCCAAACAUGGAAACAUUUUCUGAGUAGACAGCCCUCUGCUGGCAUUAGGGGCCAAGCUAACGGAUCUUGUGUCAUAGCCAACUCUUUGUCCGGUUGGAAGGUGCAAUGUAGAAGCAAAUGCCAAGUUCAUUUCUUAAGAGAUGGGCAGGGUAAUUGUUCUAAAAGCUCAAACUUCAUGAGGUCAAUGCAAUGCAAAACAAAACAACAGCUUUUCUGAAACCUUGUCUAAAAAGAAAAUAUGUAUCAUUUUCAAACAAUAUUUAUUCCAUUAUUCUUUCAUGAGAGCCCCUAAAAAGUGGACGGUUAGGUUUACAAAAGGGGAUGAUUUCAUCCCUUUUAAUCAAAUAACCCAAAGAUUUAUGUGAGUUCUGAAAUUGAAAGGCAACCAAGUAAAGAGACAACAAGAUAGAGGCAAUUUGUGAACCAUCAUCUCCAUCUGCAACAACCCUUUUUUUUUUCUUUUCUCUUUUUUUUAACAAAUCAAUUCUACCCAAUGAAGCCCUAAUCCCAACAAUGGAAUGGGGAUUCAGCUACAAAGAGUCUUUUCUUCCCCUUCAGCUCCAUCUAAAACCCCUUUCUCUGUUAGUACUGGAUAUCAUGUCAUCUCCCUUGCUACUCUCUUUCUUUAUCUAGGGCUCAAAACAAAUCACUUUCCCCAUCGCCCCAUUGCCCCAUUGCCCCACUAGUCCAUUUAUAUACCUUCCUUGCAUACAACCAUCAUAAACAACUUUCCUUCAUCAAAUGUUAAAAUGAAGUCACCUCUAACUUCUCCCUUUACUUGAAGCAGGUUCAAAUUAUGUGAAUAUGGAGGUUUGAUAACAUAAUCAUUUACUCUUUUCCCAAUCAAAACACAAAAGGCAAAGAAAUAUAUUAAGUGAAAAGAAGACGAAAAAAGAAGAAAGCAACAAACAGCUUACCUGGUUCUGCUAGAGGAGAAGGGGAGGAAACAAGAAGGCAGGUAGCCGUAACCCUACAAGACUAAAUUCUGAUGAUUACAGUUGCAAUUUGCAAAUGAUAUUCAUAUCCCAAUUCCCUUAUCAAAUACCCACCCCAAUUCCUAAGGGUAAAAAUGUAAAAUUAUCAAAUUUGUCUAGGAUAAAAGGAGUGGAGGAGACAGCCCUGACGAUGCCAAGAUGCUUCCUAGAGAAUUCCAAAUUCAAUGGCUUGUAGCACAGCAGUUAAUCAUUCUGUGUUAGGGCUUCAACGCCAAAUUGUUGGGAAGAGGCUAUCCCUCCUUUCAUUGCCUGCAAUUACAAACCUUGGUGGCAUUCCCAGAAGGAGAAGAAGCUGUCAUGUCUAUGCCCAUCUUCAACCUUCCGUUGUUUCCGAUGACCCCAAGUAUGGCAACAAACAGGUCAUCACAAUUACUCCACGCCUUUACGACUAUAUAUUGACAAACGUUCGGGAGCCUGAGGUGCGGUUUCGAUUCUUCCGUUUCUCUUGUUAAGCCAUUCUCUUCUCUGUCUCUCUGGUAUUCUUAUCAUGCUUUACCUUCUUCAGAUUCUAAGGCAACUUCGGGAGGAGACUGCUAAUAUGCGGGGUUCUCAAAUGCAGGUACUUUUAUUAUGAUUUUGUUUUUUCUAUAAAUUUAGUAUCUCCAAACCACCAUUAUUCAUCGAAUCCAACUCCAGUAUCAUUCAAAUGUUCUCUUCAUAGGUAUCUCCGGAGCAGGCACAACUACUUGCCAUGCUCGUCCAGAUUCUCGGGGCGGAACGAUGUAUUGAAGUUGGUGUUUACACUGUAAGGACCUCAAGAACACCUUCAUUUCUGAACUUCAGUUGUCUCAGUUGCGCUACAGCUUACCAUUUUGAAGAACAUAUUCUGUUAACACUCGAUGUAUGGUGAAGUAUCAAAUAUCAUUAGUGUUGUCAAAUUCUCUGGCCUGCUUUGCUUGUUAGGCACAUGAAAACACCAAUAUUAGAAUUAUAUGAAGUUGUAAAAUGAAUGCACUCAUAUAAUUUGAAAAUGGAUUGAGCAAAUGAUGGCAUACACAUGAUUUCUGAUGGAUAUGUUUAUAGUAUCUUAAACAUUUUGCCAGAUGAAUGUUUUGUCAAGCUAUGAAUACUUGGUAAAAGUCUUUUAUGCAGGUUCAAUGCCAUGAAAAAAUGUUAUGUAUCUCAGUCAUUUAAUAUCCGACUAAUGCAUACUAAUAACUGUUAUGAUUAAGGAAAAAAAAUAUAUGCAUACCCGACUACGAAAAAUAACUGAAAAUGGGCUACAUUUGUUUUUCUCAUUAGCAAUAUAAUGAUGUGAUUCAAUGUCACUCUGAGGCAGUUGACCGUCAUUUUUUCCAUGAACUCUUAUGCUCUAUAUUUGUGUCCCUAAGUUGUUGAAGAACAUCUUCUGACCCAAAGAAACUUUGAACAGCAUUCUACUUGUUUUAACUGUUGUAAUGAUGUAAUCUCUCAUAAAAAGAGAGGACAUAUUAUCAAGAUUACUUUUGGCACCAUAGAGGCUCAACCACAACUAAUGUGUAGCCCACUCAGUUAUUCUUCUUGUGAGUUUGCACACAUGUACUCAGGUUUAGGAAUGAUUCAGCAUACACAUUUAUUCAUUUAGUUCAAUAUUUGCACCUUCACUAUGAAGGCUGCUUCACACUUUAGUACUAUACUAAUUUGGCAUUAAAAUUUGUAUUACCAUCCUAUGGUAUUUUCUGUUUUGUUUUUCAUGUUCCAUUUUAAGAUUAACUUCUUAUUAUACAGAAGACCACUUGUGCUCUGCAAAUGAAGUAGCAAAAUAUAGCAUCUUAUUAUAAUCAUGAUCAUUUAUUUUCAGGGAUACUCAUCGUUGGCUAUUGCUUUAGUCCUACCAGAAUCAGGUUAUUUAGUUGCUUGUGAAAGAGAUUCCAAAUCUCUUGAGGUUGCAAAAAGGUACUACAAGCAGGCUGGUGUGUCACACAAGGUGAUUCACAUUUCUUCUAUAUGCUAAUUUAGAAAUAUAAAGUUCUUGAUUUUGCCAGUAGUACAGACUGAAUCUUAUCCAGUGAUAUGGAUAGCUCUGAAACAAUUUAUUGACUUUAGGUGGACGUGAAACACGGACUAGCAUCAGAUGCUCUAAAAUCUUUGAUUUUAAAUGGAGAAUCUGGCAGGUAUAUUGCACAAAGAACACAAUUAUUUAAUGAAGUUCAAUUAGAUAUCUGUUCCUGUAGACAUGUGCCUUAAAAGUAGCAUACAUGAGAGAGCUGUGGCACAAGCUAUUUAGAUUGGCUAAUUUGGACUGGGUUUUCUCUUAGGAGUAUAUGUGAUAUGAUGACUAUCUUUUAUAAGGGAUUGGGAAGCUCCACUAGAGGCAAGGUUCUAUGGCAAACCACAUGUCUCGCUUUGAUUUGGGUUAUGUGGUGGGAAAGAAAUACUCGGAUUUUUUAGGAUAAGGCAAGGUCUUCAGAGGCUCGUUGGGAUAUCAUUCAUUUCUUCGCAUCAUUUUGGGCCUCUUGCAACACAUUUUAAGGGCAUUUCCCUAUAACGUAGUUCAACUUGAUUGAAUAUCAGUGUGUAGUUUGAAAGGUGUGGCAGGGAAUUUUUCUUGUACGGAACUAUGAUUUGAUUGUGUAUAUUCCCAUAUGGUACUUCACUGUUGUUUAGGUUUAUUUUGUACUUUGAAGGUUUUGACAUACCUUCUAUCUAGGUCCUUUAAUUUUUGGGGGGCAUUUCUCAUCAUUCUUUUGUACCUCAUGAUAUACCUAUCUUAAUAUAUUACAUUAUUGUUUCUAAUUAUUAAAAAAAAUAAAAAAAGAAGCAUACAUGAGAAAGGGACGGAUUGACAUUGAGGCACUCUGCCUUGGAGGUCAUAUGAAUGGAAUCAACUCACAUGAUUAUAUGCAUUUGAUUUUCGUUUUUGUACAAUUGUAACAUUACGGCUUUUUGGUGAACCAUUUGCGCUGUUAUAUGUCAUCCUAUGGUAGAUAAUCAAGACCAAGUUACAUGUUUUUUUUCUUAUAUUAAAGGAAAAUUAGAUUCUAAGUUAUUGGGCUGAUCCCUUGCCUAAUUUUCCUAUGACAAACCAACUUUUCUAACUCCUCAAGUUGCAAUUUCAUGGCACAGAGGAUCCAAAUCCAUUCAUCAAUUUGUUUAUUUUCGAAAACUGCAAUCUUUGUCCUAGUAAAAGGAGUUUCUUUAUGACUAAUUACGGGGUAACAUAUAUUUAUGUUUUAGAACAUUCUUUUAGUGCCAUUUUUACUUUUUAUGACUGAUCAAGAUAACAAAUUAAAUAAUGUUUUCUGCGUCUUCUUUUUAAUGCAGCUAUGAUUUUGCAUUUGUUGAUGCUGAGAAGAGAAUGAAUCAAGAAUACUUUGAAUUGCUACUGCAACUGGUAAGACCAAAAUGUCAUGUUUAAACAGUAUGUUCUAGAUCCACUGGCAACAUCUAAUUUGAUGAAACUGAUAAUUCAAUUUUCCGUCAGUAGUUUGUAAGAAAUGCACUUAGUCUCCUGUUGCAGGUGAGGACCAGGGGUGUCAUUGUGAUUGAUAAUGUUCUCUGGCAUGGAAAAGUUGCUGAUCCUCUGGUGAAUUAAUAUCACUCUGAUUUGUAAACUUUGCCCAUUGAAAGGAAAAAUAUUUCUAAUAUCAUCUCUUGAACAGGUAAAUGAUGCUAGGACUGUCAGCAUAAGAAAUUUUAAUAAAAAUAUCAUGGAGGACAAGCGUGUAAGCAUCAGUAUGGUAGGUAUUUACCAUAUAGGUUUUUUGUUUUUGUUUUAUCAAGUUGUGAACAACUCUUUUCAUUUGGUACAUACCCUAACAUUUUGGUUUUUUAGGUACCUAUUGGAGACGGCAUAACAAUCUGCAGAAAAAGAUGACCACACAUUAAAAACAUCUGGUAUUAUGUUGAUGCAGUGACCUAUUUCAUAAAGUGUCAAUUACAUUAGUGUAUGCAGCUGAUAUUUCCUUGGUCUCAGUUAUUGUGAAAAGGUAUCAUAUCCAAUGGCUUCCAUGGUUUCCACAGAAAGGUAAUUUAGUCAUUGAGACACCAGGCUCUUGGUUAAAACUUUGGUCCUGUGUUGGCAUUCCUUCAACAGCUUGACAAUUCAGUUUGAGAUAUGAAAGUCUGCUGAAAUUGAUGGUGGCAGAGACUACAUUCUCUUGCGAUGAAUUUUGGUCCUGAUGUAGGGAUAGCAAUCAUCCUGGUGCAUCUUGCAAGGGUGACUGCACUAUCAACCAUGAAUUCAAUAAUCACUUAACAUAUGUUGCCAAUAACAAGGCAGGCUAUGUUCAGAGGCCAUGAAGUAUGCAAUCAUUUGUUAUUUUUGUCUAUCUUUGAACUUGUAAGUUGUCUUCUGUACCGCAUCUAUGUGUCUCUAAGUAGCACAUUGAACUUUGUAUCGUCUUUGAACUAACAAAAAAUUGCAGUUUUGAUGAAAUUUUGGGAUACAAUGAGUUUAAUUUGGUGCUGUGAUUUGAUAUGAUUACUUCUAACUCUUAGGGCUAAAAUUGAAUGCCAUUGUUCAUUUCUCAGUAAAGCCCAAGAGUCCUAUCAAAACACAUGAAGUGUCUAACAAAAAAUGAAGUGAAUAUGUAAUGAAGAAAGGGAUUGUCAUUGCAACAACAAAAUCCAGAUGAAAACAUCAAGUUACCAGCCUGGUAUGAUGAUAAGCUAGGUUGGUGGUCGCUGAUUUUGUUGGUCUGCUCUUUAUAGGCAAAGAAAAUUUAUUAGAAAAGUGCCUAAGAAGAAGGGUGUGCAACCCAUGUACAGAUCUUGUAAGUCACUAUGCAUCACAAAGUUGAGAAGAAAAGAUAAUAAUAAUUAAGAGAGAACUAAGCGGCAACACCACCGCCUCAUAGUAAGUAUGCAUGGUUACUAGAAAGAGAACCAGUUUUCUGCAGUAAAACUUCAUUCUGCAAACACUCACUGCACUCAACGCUACCGAUAUUGCUCUCUUCACCGCAAUCCUCGCCGUCUUGCCGGUUCUUGAGCUCCCUGCAUUGGCACAACGAUUAGGCCUUUACCAUGGUUUCUGGGGCCUUGCUUGGAAAGUGUGGGCAGAGAGCAUGGCACCAUAUGCCCCCUUUACCCCCUCCUCACCUGCAAAGGCACCUGUACCUCCCAUUUUGGAAUAUUUUGGACAUGGGUAAUUUUGCCAGUGGGUUCACCCCUUUGUUUUAUAGUGGUCCCAGAUGAUGCCACCAUUGAUAAGGGAAAUUGAAUGUUACCUUCUAUUAAAUGUCAAUUGCUGUGCACAACAGCAAUUUUAGAAGGUAGUGCAGAGUGAGGAGCAGCUUUUGCCCCAAGGAUUUCUUGCAUUCUAGUGGCAAUAAAACAGUAAAACCUAUGAAGGCGGAGCUCGAUUGACAGGAGAAAAGCCAUAAGCCAAAUUUACAGCGUAGCUAUAAUUAACUCAAAUCAUGGUUUACAAGAUAUUUGCUGAUCCAUUCUCCAUAUUGGAUUUGCAUCUAUAAGACCACAAGCACCACAAGAUUCAUAUAUCAGCUGGCACUGUGUUUGUUUGUCUCAACUAUUUAUUUACCUCAACAAUUGUUUAACCACUUUAGGAAUGCUACGACAUCAAUCCUCAUAUGGCAACAGCACAUGUAUGUUUAAACCUACACGCACGAUAGAAAAAAAGAUGGGACAAAUCAUUUUCCCAAGCAGCAAAACAACUUGGUCACCUCUAGAAAGAGUUAUUCUUCGGUGCAGAAAAUUGAUCUCGAUCACUGAUGUAAAUGAGUUUCUGAAAAUUUAAGCAUAGUCCAGAUCGCUAUAGAUGCUGAUCAAUGACCUUGAUCAUCGGGACCAUGUCCAUUGGGUUGGUUGUCCUCACCAGCUUCCUCUUCAACCCUAUCUCCAAAAUCAACCCAGGGUAGUAUCGAUUCAAACAAAACAGCUAAUGGACUUCGAUUUGCGAUGUCUCGUGGAGCACGAUCACCACCAUGUGGAUUGACAACUUGGUUCACAUUUAGCACCUCCUCUCUCAUCCUCGGGUCAGCCAUAAAAUUUUGCAAGUUAUCAGGUGGAAGAGUUGGCACUGAAUCAGAGAAAUCUGACACCAAUAAAUGACCAUACCUGACAAACAAGAACUUCUGUCAUCCAAUCUCCCAAAUACACAAUAAAUUUAACCGUAUGAACGCAGGAAGUAUAUCUACCAUCUACUUAACAAGAAGAUUCAAGUCUAGUCUGAUAUCCAUAACUAAAUCUAAGAACUGUUACUGAGAUUUAAUUGUUCCAGAGACAAUUGCAGCACAACCACCAUUAUGGGGUGAAAAGCCAAAGAAAAAAAACUAGUUAACUAGAGAACUAAACAAUAGUCUUUGAAUAAAUGAAAAUACUCACUCAUUUUUCUGAGAAGAGAACACUUCUUUUCUUACACAAGCCCAAUCCCUAGCUUCACUUCCAUUACUUUCCAGUGUUUCAAUCACCAGAAGGGCAGCAUUUCUCAACAAUUUUUGCAAAUCUGGGAGCCUCCAUAUGAUAUAACUCCUCUCUACAUAGAUAUUAAUCAGGUGAUCCAAGGAGAGGCUCCCUGCUUGUUCUGAUUUAAAAAAAGCUUGCUUGAGUAUAUUUGUCCAUGCCUGGUCCUUUAAAGGUACCUUUGCAACUAAUUUCUUAAGGACCGAAGGGUGAAGCAUCAAAGCCUGCCUCAUAAGAUCAGUUGAAGUAGCCUUCACAUUUUCCACAUAAGUGUCUUUUGAGGAUUCAUCUCUCUCAAGAUAAAACCGGCAAAUGGCAAGGGAAUAUGAGAAGUUUGGAAACAACCACAAGGAGUUAUCACUUUUGUAAUCUUCAGAGAAACGUUCUAGCCAAGCAUAUUCCUCUGCCCUCAAAGCAAAGUAGUCAAUGCAGAACAUGACCCCCAUUGGAUCAUCUGAAUCCAGUGAAAGCAACAGUUUGCAAACUUCAAGGGCAGACCGAUGACAACCUCGCCUGUCCAUGUUUUUCAUGUGAGUGAAAAGUGUUGUGAACAAUGGCUUGUUUGUUUCAUGGCUGAAUUUUAAUUGACAAUUACCCUGCAAUGGGGUAAACAUUGGAUUCCAUGCACAUUCCAAGGCAUACAAAGACUUUGCAGUAGCAUCAGCUGACAUGUGAUGUUCCCCCACAAAUUUAAAAUAGUCUGCCAUUGUUAUGAGUGAAUCCAAGUGAUAAGGAUAGUACAGUAAAACACUGGCUAUACUGUUCAGAUCAUGAAUAGAUUUGGCACCUUCAAACGCUCUCUGAGCUUGGCCAUAGGAAGAAGAAUGUACAUAUCUACAUGACAUAAACAAAGCCAAAAUUAGGGCACAUAGUUUAAUAAGCUCAAACCAAAAUGCUAUAUAUUAUAGUGGAAAUGAGAUAUGCUGUUAUGAUCCUCAAGAUGGACGCUGAACUACCUUUUAUAUCCAAAGUAUAAAAUUAUUGCAUAGUUAAUAAUAACAUGUGAUCAUAAUUGCUUACGCACAAGAUAACAGGAGAUGUGUGAUGAACUCAGCUUCACAGACCAUUCACAUCGCACAACUCUCCUCAAUUUUGUAAAAUUUACAUCAUAUGUCACAAUGAGUGCUGGAGAAACAAAUCGACAAGUCAAAUCAGCAAAUUAAGAAUUUUCCUUUAUAGCGGGAUCCCCCUCUAAUUCAAACAUUUAUGCAGUGGUUUCCAUACUUAAUCAGUGACAAUGUAUGAAAUGUCACAUGAGUCCUGUCACCAAUACAUUUCCCAUAGUGCACAUGAUAGAAAUGCACAAAUUAAAGGAAGAGCUAAGAGUAAAUAUAUGGGACACACUCCCCAUAACCUUUUCAUUUGGUAAAAGAUACAUAGCAGGGGUGCUUAUGGCAAGAACCUACUAGUGAUUAAGACACUAGUUAUAGAUGGUUCUAGCAAGUUUCAAUGUCCCCUCAGGUUAUUUUUCAUGUGGAAAAUCACCUAGAUGUUUGAUCCUCACAUUCGUGAGCUUUGCUUCUGCAUGCAUGCAUGCUUGCACAUUCGGAUAAACCAAAAUUGCAAAUCACAACCACUGUCCAUGGCACUAAUUGUUGGAGCAUCUAAUCAAAAUUGCAUGUGCAAAGGAAUACCAUUUGCCAUGUUGAACCAUUUAUCCACAAGGCAUUCACACCCUGUUAAAAUUCCAAAUUGCAGCUCACAUAAAGUUUUGCAUUACAAGCAAGGAAUGAGUCGUUCAUAUUAAAACAGAAAGGUAAGGCUAGCAGUAGCAAUUCAAUAACAUAGUCUGUAGCUCGCAUAAAGGUGUGCAUUACAAGCAAAGAAUGAGCCAUUCAUAUUAAAACAGAAAGAUAUGGUCAGCAGUUGCAGUUCAAUAACAUAGUCUUAACAUGGAAGAAAUGGUGUAGAGGUCCAAAAUUAUCAAGCAGACUAAGGAUGAUAGUUACCUGAAGAAGUUCAAUCCAUCUUUGGAUUCCAGAAAUUCCAUAGACAAAGAUCCAUCCCAACGGGGCCAAUGGUCUGAGGGAGACACAAGAAUAGUCUUUUUGGGAUUGUGGCUUCCACGUCUUCCCCCACGUAUCUGUCUGGAACUACCAGUUUGCUGACUAUUCUCAAAAGAACUCACUACCUUAGAGCCAAAUAUUCGCCGCAGCUCGUUUUCAGCACUUAAAAAUUUCGGGUCUACUUGUAAUAUGGAGGUCGUGUAUUGUUUAGCCCGGUUAUCACAAACUUUUACAUUCACUGAUUUAGCUUCUGUAGAGCCAGGCUGAUUGCUCGAAGAGUUACUAUCAAGAGACAAUGUUUUCAAAAUCACAUCCAAGGGUUUUUCAGCUUUAUCCACUCUUGAAAAUGAACCCUGCUUGCCCUUUUUCUUUUUCUUUUUCUUUGAUUUAUGAUUAGAAGUUGAAACUACAUCAGCAGUACUUUUCUCAGAGGUUUCUUGUUCAUUAAUGUUUCUGGUCAACGUUUCGUUAGCAAUUUCACUUUCAUCCCCCUGCAGAUGAAAUUGAUCAUUAGCAAGUCAAACAAAUAAAGUGCCAAUGUUCAAUGAUUAUCCAUUCAGCAGCCACCAAUAAUUUGUAAAAUGAAUUUACAAAUGCACAAACACACAAAAAACUCGAUAAUGAAUUUUUACCAAAAGUUAACACUGGUAACAAUGGAAAUACAAGAGAGAAGCAUAAGCUAGCAUCUAAUAUAGUCUCACAUCUGCGAAUUAUUACUGCAAUGGGAAUGAGGUUUGAAAAACAAGUGAAUUGAUAAUAAAGUACAAUCUCUGAGGUUCAAAUUCAUUUAUAGCUUUAUUUGGGAUACGGAUUAACUUUGCAAUUAACAAUAUAGGAAGUAGAAGUAAUUAUUACUAUAGUGUAAUGGAGUUUUAUGUUUGGAACUAUAUUUUUAAAAUUGAUUUUAUUAAACAUAAGGAUAAAUAUGAUAUCUUUAUUGCUAUGCUUGGUUUUAAGAAAGAAAUUAAAAAAAAAAAAUACUAAAGAAAAUAAUUUUCUAAUGUUUGAUUUUACUAUGAAAAAUACAAAAGAAAAACAAAUAAAAAUUUAAAUUAGUUAGAAACUUAUACAUUUUCAGAUUAUUUUAUCUUUAUAUAAAAAAUCUAAAACAAGUGAAACAAAUUUGAAGUAGCAUAUAAAAAUAAUUUAUUGAUGUUAAAUCUAUUUUUUGUAUUUUCCUUUGCUUUUCUUUCCUUCCACUUUUCAUCCCCAUUUUCUUCUCCUUGCAUUUUCCCUUGAAUGUUCCGAGAACCAAACAUAGCCUUGGUAAGAAAGUACAAUCUCCAACCCUCAAAUACAUCUACAGCCCUAUUGGGGAUAGGGUUUAAUAAAAAGUAGUUUGACUAAGUUUUAUGUUUGGGAAUUAUAUUUUAAAAUUAUUUUUAUUAAAAAUAAGGAUAAUUAUGAUAUCUUUCAAAUUUUUAAUUAAAUAAAAAUCAGCUUGGCUGGAUAAAUUACAUUGGGAAAUAUGGAGUCAUGAUUGAGAAUUCUAUCAAACACACUAAUAAGUAGCUGCAGACUUUGAGAAGCUUUCCCAAACAGGGCCUAUCUAUGUAGGAGGGCUUAUUGUAUAGGAGAGGAAGGGGUGAGGCUAUAGAGAAACUUUGCCCAAUCACAAGAACAAGGGCUAAAAUACAAUACAUACAUAGGCAUAUGCUUGAAUGAUUUCCAAGUUGAAUUCUUAACGGAGGGUAAGAGAGUUGAGAGGACAAAUUCACUAAAGAAUUCAUAUAGAAAGUUCUUCCAAUUCUAAUGGCAAAUAGAAACAAUGAAAAACACCUGUUGAUUUCAUCUUCGCAAAUCGCAAAUCCCAGAGAAACGAUAUGAAAAAUGAAUUACAACAUCAUCCCAUCUCAAGAAUUGGGAAAAAAAAACUUUAAUGGUUAUUCAUUUAUGAAUAGCAGCAGAACUUGCUAUGAAGAAGAAAGAAGCAAUAUGGGAACCUGAGCGUCAUCGUCGUCGUCGUCGUCGUUGAGGAUAUGGAAGAGAUUUUUAGAAGGAGGAGCGGCGGGAUCGGGAGAGUCCGAGUCAUCGUCGUUGCCGAGCUGCUGCUGCUGCUGCUCUUCUUGUUCUUGCAAAACCUUCCUCAGCAAUCGCGCCGACAUUGCUGUUCUUUGACAAUCCAACAAAGCCUUCAACCUAUGUGGGUGUGGGUGGAUGUAAUAAAUUUGUAUUCAUUUUGAUAAAAAAUUGAAAACAUAAACAGAAUCCCAGACGGGAAAUCGCUAGGGUUCUUACACUGGUUUGACCUAAUCUGAGGCCUCUUCACUCCCCAGCUCAGGCCCGUUCCGUUUAUUAUCAAUUCAAGUGCGUCAGGAAAUUUUGGAUGUUAAUUCAUCUGUAUCACAUACGCCUAAAAGGGGUUUUGUUUUUUUUCUACAUGUUGCUUCAAAAAUAAAAUAUUAUUAAAAAAAAUUGACAUUUUGUUGUUCUAAAAAUAAAUAAAAAAUAAAUACAAAAAAAAAAAAAAAAAAAAGAUAUCACUCGUUCAAUUUAUAGUUUUUUUUUUCAAUGUUUUGAUAAUUGGAUUCAUUAUUGAACAAAAAAAAUUAUUACUAUCAUUUGAUCAUGUCAAUGGUUGAAUUGGUGACUUAAUAAAUAUAUAAUUUAUAUAUUAUUAUAUAAAUUAUAUAUAUAAAAUAAAAAAAUUUAAUAUUUAAUUUUAUAUUUAUUUAUUUUAUUAUUUUAAAUUUUCAAAAAUUAUUAUAUUAUUUUUAUGCUUAUCAUUAUAUAAUUAUUAUAAAAUAAAGUUUGUUUUUCUUAAAUAUUAUAAGUAAUCCUAGAUACAAAUUUUAUAAAUUGUUGUAAAACAAGAAUAAAUGUGACUCAAAUAAAAGUAGAGAUAACUAUAUAUUACUUUAAUAAUAUAUAUAAAUGGGAGAAAGAAAUUAAAGAAGAGAAGUAUUGAAAGAAUGAAAAAAAGAAAGAAUAAGAGAGAGAGAGAAUAAGAGGAAGAGUGAAAACUUCUUUUUCUUUGGAUGCUCCUUACAUGGGUGUAAGAAGCCUUUUAUAGGCUUCACCAUAUGAACUCCCAUUACUCAUCUUAAAGAUAAGUAAAUGGAGUUCAUAAAUAACCAUUAAUAUUUUAUUCAAUGUGGUCAUUCAUCACUUUAUUUACAACAUUCCUCCUUAAAUGACCACCAUAUUAAAAGAAUAUAUCUCAUUAAAACCUUACUAGUAAAAAACCCUAUAGGAAAAACCUAGCAAAGGAAAAAUAAUACAAUAUUUUUUUCUUGGUAUGUUAAGACUGCCUCGUUAAAAACCUUACCAGUAAAACAAAACUUGGACGAAGGAAAAAAUAGUACAGUACAUUAACACUCUUUUACAAGCAUACUCUUCCUCAUGUCGAUAUUCUUGAGUUGACGCAUUCCAAUCCUGUGUAUUAACUUCUUGAAUGUUAAGGUUGACAAUGAUUUUGUGAACAAAUAUGUUAGAUUAUCACUUGAGCGUAUUUAUUGCACAUCAAUUUCACCACCCUUUUGGAGUUCAUGUGCAUAAAAGAAUUUUGGUGAAAUGUGUUUAGUUUUAUCUCCUUUAAUAUAACCCUGUGUUAUUUGUGCAAUGCAUGCAACAUUAUCUUCAAAUAAUAUUAUCGGGUCACCUUUGAUAAAGGAGAGUCCACAUGAUUCCCGAAUAUGCUAGAUCAUAGAUCUUACAUGAGGUGUAAGAAGCUUUUAUAGGUUUCACCAUAUGAACUCCCAUUACUCAUCUUAAAGAUAAGUAAAUGAAGUUCAUAAUAACCAUUAAUAUUUUAUUCAAUGUGGUCAUUCACCACUUUAUUUACAACAUAAACUAUAUUUUAUAUAAAUACUUUGCUUAUCCUCGAUGUUUCAAACAUGUUGGGUUGGAGAGUGUUAUUGGGCUGCAGUUGGGUCAUUAUGAUGCAAAGCACAUUGGGCUAGAAAUGAAGGGGUUGGGCUCACAUUAUGAUUUUGGUCAAAAUAAUGUUGACGGAUUAAAAAAGAAAAAACUGCACAGUUCGUUAGAUUGGACCGGUUUGGACGAAGUCAACCGGACCGGAGGGUAUUUAUUUUUUUAAUUAUUGGUACUUGAACAAAAAGCUCCUACGGUUUUUUUUUUCUUUUUUAUGCGUAAUAAUGAGUUUUUAUUUUUUAUUUUUUAUUAGAAUUAGCUAAAAUAUUAUUUUAAAAAAUUUAUAUAAAAUAAUUUUUUUGAAAAUAUUAUUUAUGCAUAUAUUAAAAAUACAAUUCUAAAAAUGUUUUAUUUCUACAAAUAAUUUUUAAAGCUUUGAAAAGAUGAUUUUUGUAUGAAAGAUUGCUUUUUUAAAACUAUGUUACAAAAUAACUAGAAUGGACAAUAAAAAAGAAAAUUAAAUAAGAAGACAUAGAUUUAGGUGGAAACCCUUGGAUAAGAAAAACCACACUAAAGGAGCAGAAAAUUCACUAUAUUAAAAUAUUGGUAUAUGUUUAUUGUUCCUUAUUUUAUCAUUUGUUAAAGUUUUUUUUUUUUCAAUAUUUUUAUGAGUUUUGAUAAAUUUUUAUUUUACCGAUUGGUAUUUAAUAUCAAAAUAUUCAUCGAUAUAUUUGAUAUAUUUGUAAAAUUAAGUUACGAAUAUAAUCUUAGAAACCUAAUAUUUUCAUCCUUGCAUGAUACAUAAUAAAAAGUUAUAGUAGGAUUAUGGGUGUCAAUUUGUGUUGAUGGACGGAUUGUAUCAAUGUCAUACCAAUAUUUGCUUAUGACGUAAAUGAUUUAUUUGUUAAAAAAAAAAAUUAAAUGGGUUAAAUAGUUUAAAGUUAUUCUAAGGUAAAUCAACACGACUAUUAAAUAAGUCUAUUUAGGUCAAAUUCAUAUUAUGUAAGUUGACUCAAUUUUAUUUAUUUUUAAUUAUUUUUUAUUUUACUUAAACAUGUUUACACUCAAAAAUCCAAAUCUAAGAAAAAUGGUAUUGGAUUUGAGUUACGAAGUAUAUCAAACUUAAUCACCACUUAGUAGAACUAUGGUAUGGAGAACAUUGAAGCAAUGAUUGAAGCCAGUUGUUUCUCUUAUUUUUCUCACCAAUGGUUGGUGUUCCUAGUAAAUUUUCAUUUUACAGAAGCAAAAAGAAUCCUCCAGUAUGGGAGGAGGAAGCUAGGCAUCAAGUAUGCUAAAGAAUCAGAUAGCAAACUCAUUGGUUUUACUGAUGGUGAUUGAGAAGGAAGUACGGAUGAUGAUGGAAGGAGUACAUUUGGCUCUUCUUUUUGAUGGGAUCAAAAGUGAUUUAAAAAAAGCGCUGGACUGCUGCAUUGUCAUGGACAGAAGCAGGGCAUGUAGCAACAAAUUAAGCUGCAUGCGAAGCAAUUUGGCUAAGGGAGCUACUUGAUGAUUUGCAGCAGAAUGUCUCAGAAACCUACUACAAUCUUUUGUGACAGCUAUGAUUAAAAAUCUUGGUUUUUCAUGCAAGAUCAAAGCACAUGGAACUUUGGCAUCAUUAUAUUCAUGAUUCGGUAAGCGUAGGAGAAAUUUGCUUGGAGUUGAUCAACACAAAUGAACAGCCUGCCAAUGUUCUCACCAAAACAUAACUAAAGAGAAGUUUGAUAAGUUUAAGGAGCAACCGGAAAUUACAAAUCAAGAGGGGGUGUUGGUAAAUAAUUUGCAAUUUCAUCAAAGGAGUAAAUGUAUCUUGUGUGAAGUCUUUUUUCUAGCUAGUAUCAUCGUCCGUUUGUGUUCUUCAUGUCUUGGAAUCUGGAUGUCUAGAGUUCAUAUUAUCAGCUAAAAAUAGCUUGUCAUGAAGUAAGGGUUUGGAGAAGCCAAAAAAAGUUAUCCAACAAGUCUGAACUUUCUGCCAUGGAUAUGAACUCAACCCCAUUUGAAGAAAAAAAAAAUGGAAUCAAAUCAGUUCUGCAGCUUGACGAGAAGAUAACUGAAGAACCCAAUUUAAUUUGACGGGAAAAUUCUUGAUCCCUUCUAUUCUGGCAGUCCAGGUGAACUUCUUCUUCUUCAUCUUCUUUUGGCUAGGACAUUCCAGGUAAAGCUUCUCAAAAGAUCUAUAUAUCAACUUCUUUGUUAAUUAAGAUGACAUGCUAUCAAUUUUUUUUUUCAUGCUCAUCCUUCCAUGUUGCAGUAUAUCAUUGUUGUGAAACUAAUUCAACCAGCAAUCAUGGAUGUCACUGUGGGUAUCUGCAAGUUCUAAUGGGGUUUUAAAGAAUAGAGGGUCCUUUUUCUUCUGAUUCUUCAUUUAUUCUAUACCACUUUCACCUUAGCUGAUCAUAAUUCAUGCUUCCCGUUUCUGAAUUUCUCAAGAUUUCAUACAGUAGCCAUGCAUCAUGAUGGACGUGAUGAGCAAACCCAGAAUGUAAUCCAUGGAGGGGGACGGGGGGCAGUGUUUGGGCAGACCUUUGCAUGCUAAGAAGAAAAUAUCACUUCCCAAGUGGACCCUGGGGUGUUGAAAAAGGGCAGUAAUCAUCAAUUGAUAGCGAUUAUGGCUCCUCCACCCAGGCGUGGCAGCUGUGGAUAGAUUUUGCUUUUUAUCUCUGCAUAGAUUGCGGGGAGGAUGGAGGAGGAAGAAGAGUGGUCGAGGGGGACGGGGGGACCAUGCUUCAAACCGCGGGUGCCAUGUGAAAGGGGGACUCAAGCAUAUCAUUAGGCACACCACUAUCGGCUGCAGACAUCAUUACAGAUAGGUAACCUUCUUUUGAUUAUAUGCUUUCUGCUUUACAUGACACGCUGAAUGAUUAUUGUUAGGAAUCCGAUUGAUCAAACAAUGAUGAAGGCUAAUUACCUGAGACCCACCUUCAUCUCUUUGAUAUGAAAGUGUUGGAAAUAUUUAUUUGAUGAAAUUGAUUUUUUUUUUUAAUAUGAAAAAAAAAAAAAAAAGAAACUAUAAAAGGGCCUCAUUUUGGGUAUGUGGGUGGGUUUGGUGUUUGAUUGUUCCUGAGAGGGGCAACCAUCAGAAGACAGUAUGGGUAAUUUGAAGAAUGUAGUGAUAGCAUUGGUGACCCCUCUUCCCUCCAUACUCUUCUAUCUUUCAUUCCUUAACCACUAUUACCAAAAUGGGAAUAGUACCAGUUCUGCUCUGUGGACAUGGUGCUUACACCAUCCUCUUCUUUUGGCCAACGCCUUCUUCUUCGUCAAUGUCAAUUUGCUCUUCUGGGUAAUUGGUCUUCUGCAGUCUAGCCACUGGGUGGGUUUUCUCAGUACUUUCAUCUCCAGAAUCAGAGUUGCAUUCCCUUUUAGAAGUCUUUCUUUUUCUCUAGCUCCAUUUACAUUGUUGUUGGUUUUGGUUGGGUGCAGAUGAUAGAUUUGUAUUGGACGGUGAUACCAGUAUUGCUUGUUCAUUACUAUGCGACCCAUCCUUUGGCCCAGUAUGACUGGUGGAGGUCCAGGGUUGUGAUCUUGAUGACUUGGGCGUGGAGCAUGCGGCUUUCCCACAACUACUUUAGGCGAGAAAGGUGGCAGUGGGGUGUCAGGGAGGACUGGAGAUUUACAGAUAUGCGCCAUCAGUAUGGCAAGAACUGGUGGUGGGUUUCAUUUUUUGCGAUCUACCUCUCUCAGCAGGUAAAUUCAAGACAAACUGUUUGAUGAAUUGCCUGAAUGAAUUUUAGAUGACAGAUAAGGGAGUGAUUUUCUUUUGCUUGUUUAAACCUUUCAGGUCUUUCUAAUUGGGGUAUGUCUUCCAUUUUAUGCUGUCCAUUCGGUUGAUAAGCCAUGGAAUAUUUGGGAUGUGGUUGCAGUGGCAGUUUGUGUUUGUGGGAUCGUUGUUGCUUAUCAUGCUGACACAGAACUCCACAAUUUUGUAACUAGAAAUGAUAAACUGAAAGGGCUCGGAAUGCCUAUUGUGCCCAAUCUUGACAAGGGCUUGUGGCGCUAUUCUCGCCAUCCAAACUACUUUGGGGAGCAGUUGUGGUGGUGGGGACUAGUCAUCUUUGGAUGGAAUUUGGGACAUGGAUGGACCUUUGUUGGGUCUCUCAUCAAUAGUAUGUGCCUAGCAUAUGUGACCAUUCUUGUGGAGAAUCGAAUGCUGAAACAGGAUUACAGGGCUGAAGCUUACAGGUUGUACCAGAAGACAACAUCAGUGUGGAUACCUUGGUUCAAGUCAUCUCCAGCAGGAGGAAAAGAUAAGAAUACUUGAUGUAUUUCCUCUUGUUUGCAUUUUCUUUAUUUGUCUGCAUCAUCUAUCUAUUUUGCCUUUCUUGGUAUGCUCAGCAAUUUGUGUAAUGUGUAACUUAUUGGUAGAAGUAUGGAUUUUACUUGAGUGCAGCUAUUUAGUUCCUUGUAUGAAAUCGAACAAAUCCUUUCUGCUUUUAUUAUAGACAAGUUCCUUUCUCAUCUGAAUUUGCAAGGCAGAACAAGAUUUAUGAUACUUCUUAGAGCUUAUAACUCAAAAAAGGAUUAAUUUUUUUACAUAGAUGGAGUGACACCAAAAGAAAAGAACAAAAAAAAAAAAAAAAAAAAAUGGUAACAAAGUGGAAGCAUUGAAAUUGUAGCUCUUGGUAGAUGGUUUGAUUGGAAUGUUUUGCAAGAAUAAUUUAGAUCCAGACCCGAUUGCUUAGUGUCUUUGAACCCAAAGGUGCAAUGGUAAACUUCCUAGAAGAAGUUUUGUAGGCUGGAUUUUCUGUUGCUGUUCUUAUGAAAGCUUUAAUCAUACAGGACUAUAAGGGGGUAUGAUUUUGAUUGGCGUGUGUCUAGGUAUCAGGUUCACCUAAUCUCCAAAUCAUAAGUCAUAUGGACACUGCUGAAUUUUCAAAUGUUCAACUUAUCUCCAGUUAAAAAGUAGAGUAAAAUGAAGCGCAUAUCCACCAUAGCGCAUUGGAUAUUGGUCUUCUAACUUACACUGGGGUACUUCUAGAGAACUCCAAGUCUCCAACCAUACGCCUCUAUUUCAGGCAUGCCUAUUUGGUUCACUUCCAAGAGUAGCAUGUUAGAGACAUAUGAAAUACACAUACCCACGUUGUGCCAUGUAAAGGUACUUCACAUGUUGAAUAUUGUGUGCAACAUAGGUGGGAGCUGUGGGAUGUAACCCCUGAUCACAUCAACUUGGAAAACAGUUUACUAUGACAAUUUCCUUAAAGGUUCACUUUCUUAGUGUAGCAGAAUAAAACGCUAACAGGUUGUUUCAUUAGUUGACUUAUAACCUAUUGAUGAAAUCUCUAAAAGGGAAAUCAGAGCUGUCUGUAUCUUCACGUGUGCUUUGUUGGAAAUGGGAAUAAAGAAUUAGAAUCUUCUCUUUGGGAUGUAAUAUCCAAACAAUGAAAAGAACGAUGAUGCCUAAGAAUCAUGGUUUGAUGCUUCUUCCAACAAUGUGGCCUUGUUAUAGACUAUAGACUCACAUGUGUUUGCAGCCUGCUAAUACCUUAUGAUAAAAUCAUCAAUUGCAUCCUUUGAUUAUGACUAUGCAUCUUUUCCUGAGUUAGAAGAAUCUGUGAGAUCCGUGUCUCUCUCAAAGAUAUUACAGGCUAUUCCCUUCUUCAGCUCUGUCAUUCAUUUUCAAACUCCAUAUCAGUCGAGAGAAAAUUUGAUUGAUUUGCUAGACAAGGUAUUAUUUAUUAUAACAAUUUUUUAGGCCAUGUAUCUGUGCUAUGCACUGUGUGGAGUUGGCAGAACCAAGGCACACAAUUGGUAAAAAUUGGAGAGAAAGAGCAUGGUCCAACUGAUGUGAUUUAUGAAGCUUGGAUUUAUUCGAAGGAAAAUGCUUUGUUGCAAGAGUCACAAGCCAUACCAACUGGCAUGAGUUUAAUUAAGGGUCAUUUUCCUUUUCUUAGCCCUUGCUUGGUGUUCAGGUCACACGGAUGUUGGACCUCUAGAGUUCACAAGUAGGGGUGAUUAGGCAUACAGGCAUUCCAACCUAUUUUAGUGGAAGGAUGUGCUAUUUAUUUACAUCCAUUAGUUCAUAAGGGAUUCAAUGCAGAUUUUGAUGGGGAUCAAAUGGCUGUUCAUGUACCUUUAUCUUUGGAGGCUCAAUCGGAGGCUCGUUUACUUAUGUUUUCUCAUAUGAAUCUCUUGUCUCUAGUCAUUGGGGAUCCAUUUUCGUACCAACUCAAGAUAUGCUUAUUCCUGUGCACACCACACAAACCGGCAACCCAUGAUCUUGAAGAGUUGAAAUCAAGCAAUUCUGUUUUGGUAAACUAAUUUUAUCAUUGCAUGCUUUAAAAGAUUGACCUGAUUAAGAAGAUUCAUUACAUACACGGUAUAAGAAAGUUGUCUUAUUAUCAUGUGUCAUUGGAUUAUAAGACCAGGCAAACAGACAUCCUUACACACCAAAGAACAAUCUAAUACUAUUUUGUAAUGACUUGCUCUUUCCCGUGUAGAUAUUAUCCGUACUAGAUCUAAUAAGUUAUCCUGAUUUAAGAAAGUGUGUACAUAAUUAAGAUGAGUUCACGGUAUACAUGUAUAAAGUGCCUUCUCCGUUUGUUCCACAUGAAAGUGUAGAGAAAUGAAAUCCAGCACGGCAAGUAAAAAACAAUAAUAAUAAUCCUUGUCAUAGAAAGGAAGAUUGGUUUAAAAAACAAGGCCGUUGAGGUGGAUUUCCAUGUCAUUGUCCCUCUCGCUGUCUAAGAUUAAACUGUCCACUGUUCAUCACAGGGGAUCUUCCCUCCGAAGCCGGCAAUUGCCUUGUUGGGUGUUGCUAGUGACUAAUUUUCAAAUCAGUUUAGACUUCACAUAUUUUAAAUAAGAUGACUUGAGCUGUAUAGAAAAGGAGAUAUAUUUUCAUGCAUAGAUCCAAUCCUUCUCAUUUUUUCUUUUGGGUAGGAAUGUGGCAUGGUAUUGACAUUUUUGUUCCGACAUUGGGCUCGUGUGCUCGUGACAGACGACAGCGAGGGUACGAAGAGAGUAAAACAAUCACAGACUGCACAGGACAUGAAAAACUCAACGAGGCUAGCGUGUGCGUAUUACAAAGACAAGCAAAUUAGCUGGCGAGAAAUCUAACAGUUAUCUUCAAAUUCAUGAACUAUGGAGUUUGUGCACACUAGAAUACAACAUACAAAAGUUAAAUCAGCCACGCACAUGAAGCCAUUGAAAAGAGGGUUAGAUUUGUCUUUUGGGAAGUAAAGAAAAGAAAGGGAAUUUGAAGCCUUGUGGUUGUUGAACUACAAAGUAACAAAGCAAGGGAUUGGGUUGUUGAAAGUUGAAACCUGAAGGCCAUACCUUUGUGCGAGCCACUUGAAUUGAAGGCCGUUGGAUCACAUGUGACAUGCCAUUGAUCUCUAAAGUUAAUCUUAUAAGUCCCUUGGACCCGUGGGAUGCUGCCUUGUCCUCAGGGUCACAUGACUUGAUUUUCCUACCAAUUAUCUUAUUUAGGUUUUCAUGAGGAAUAUCUUUCCACGGAGACAGAAUAUAUCUCGAAAGCAUUAUUAGCAAGACAAAGACGAUAACGUCAUCUAUCCCAUUCAACAUCAAAUUGAAUUUAAGGUAGAAACCUUUAUUUCAUAUAGUUCUCUCACUUGCGACCUCCGGGAAGCUCUUGAGGUAGCAAUUCAUCUCGUUGGACGUGGUUCGUUUCCUGCCUCACAUUGGAUUAAAUUACAUCAUUUCAAAUGAUAAGAUAUAAAUUAAAAUAUAAUUUAAUUAUUAAAUAAUUCUCUAAGUCUUACGGGAAAUUUCUUAAGUCAAUAUGAUCUUUUACACCUUCAAAAACCACAAUAUAAUCAAUUUUCAUGUCUUUUGAGUUUAGAGUAAAUAAUAUCUAUAUAAUUCAAUACGGAUCAAUAUAAAUAGUAUUAGAGUCAAUUCUCAACCCUGAUGUAGAGUUUUGUUUAACUUUAUGAGGGGUAUUUAUUUGUUUAAUUCCAUGAUAUAGUGAAAUAUAAUUAUGGAUCAUUAUAAAUAGUAUCAAAGUCAAUUUUCAACUCCGAUGUAAAGUUUUAUUUAACCCUUUGUGGGGUAUUUGUUUGAUUUUAUAAUCCCGUGAAAUAUAUAUAGGAUUCUGUAUUUAUUUAAAAGAUGUUUGUAAUAUCUCACAUUUUACGACGGAAAAAAACUUCUUAAUACUAUAUAAAUAUGAACUCUUUAAUGUUAAUAGGAUUAACCUUUUAUAUUUAUAAUUUAAUUCACCUGUUAAUUUGAAUAAAUCAAAUAUAUAUGGAAGAGAUGGAGAUUAUAAUUAGGAUAAUUAAUAUAAUGAUUAUUAAAUUGAUUUUCGAAUUAAAUAAUUAAUUUGGUUUCAAAACACAAAUUGAAUCUGAUUCCACACGAAUUUUAUCGAAAUAUGAUUGUACUCUAUCCAAGUGUGGCUUUUUCUUUUUGUUUUCCAAAAGCUAAAAAUAUAAUUUAUUUUAUUUUAUUUUAAAAUUUGGCCCAGUGCGGGCCCCUGGGGGCCAAGGCGACGGACUAACAGCUAAGAGGAAUUAAUGACUAAUACUAGUCAGCAGGGAGGUGGCGGAAUUAAUAACUAGUACUAGUUAGCAGGCAGGUGGCUGCGAGUGGUGACUAAUGCGAAGCAGUGGAGCAGUGGAGGAGGACCUAAUUGAACGUCAACUCUGAAACUAAAACCAGAGAAAGAAGGAGAAAAACAAUGGCACAGCCAUGGAAGAAGAAAACAUGUUACUGGAUGAAGGCGAUGCUUCUUGCUUUGUGGUUUUCUGGGAUCCAUGUGUUGGCUGAUGCGGCUGCAGCUGUUUCCAAGGAACAAAAUCAAUUGCGGUUCAGCAAGGAGGGGCAGUUCAAGAUACUACAAGUUGCGGACAUGCACUUUGGUGAUGGCAAGUCCACCCCUUGCCUGAAUGUUCUCCCUAAUCAGAUGCGCGGUUGCUCCGACCUCAACACUUCCGCUUUCAUUCAUCGCAUGAUCCAAGCUGAGAAGCCUCAUCUCAUUGUUUUCACUGGUAUUUUCUUCCAUUUUCUUUAUCAUUGUGUUUCUUACCAUCUGUUUGGGAAAUUAGAGAGCCGAGUGAAUUCCCAUCUCCCAAGAAUUUUCCCCAAAACCCCUAAAGCCUUGUAAUUGGAGUUGAUUUAUGCAGGCGAUAACAUAUUCGGAUUUGACGCCAAAGAUGCAGUGGCGUCUUUGAAUGCUGCAUUCGCACCUGCACUAUCAUCAAACAUACCCUGGGCUGCUGUUCUCGGCAACCACGACCAGGAAUCCACUCUCUCAAGGGAAGGGGUGAUGAAAUAUAUAGUCGGCAUGAAACACUCCCUGUCUCAGUUGAAUCCCCCCGGGGUUAACAUUAUUGAUGGUUUUGGGAACUAUAAUCUGGAGGUUAGCGGGGUUGAGGGUUCUAGUUUACAUAACAAAUCAGUUCUCAAUCUCUAUUUCCUGGAUAGCGGGGAUUACUCCACGGUUCCCUCUAUCUUUGGCUAUGGCUGGAUCAAACCCUCUCAGCAAUUUUGGUUUCAGCGCACUUCUAAGAAGCUUCGGGUACUAAUUUUGCGUUUUCCGAGAGCAUUUUUCCCAUUUCUAUGGUCCUCACCAUGCCCAUUCAAUUGGGUAUUCCGUAGCCUCAAGUAGAAUUAUCAUAGAUUUUAUGCCUUAUAAGCCAUAACUCUGUUCAUUUACCACUGCCCUUUCUAAUGCAGAGAGCAUACAUGAGCAAUCCGGAGGGUCAGAAAUCAGCUGCACCAGGUCUAGCAUACUUUCAUAUCCCGUUGCCCGAAAGUGCGAGUUUUGACUCAUCAAACUUCACGGGUGUAAAACAAGAAGGCAUCAGCUCUGCUUCUGUGAAUUCAGGCUUCUUCACAACCAUGGUGGAAGCAGGGGAUGUGAAGGCUGCGUUCACUGGACAUGAUCAUGUCAAUGACUUCUGUGGAGAGCUACUUGGUAUACAUCUUUGCUAUGCUGGAGGGUUCGGGUACCAUGCCUAUGGGAAAGCUGGAUGGGCGAGGAGGGCUCGGGUUGUGUUGGCAACUUUGGAAGAAAGGGAGAAGGGAGGGUGGGGAGAAGUUAAGUCUAUCAAGACGUGGAAGCGGCUUGAUGAUAAACACCUUACUGUUAUCGAUGCUCAGGUCCUCUGGAGCAAGACCUCUGCUGGUAAGCUUCUACUCAAGUACCUUCUUGGUCACACUCUUGCAUUGGUCUUUUUAGCUUGUUAUAGUGGAGAGCAAUCAGCUCUGGAACAUCUAAGAAGUGUGUUUCAUAUCAUCCUGUCUGCAUCUGUCUCUUCCAAUUGCCUGAUUUUAAUGGAUCAUUCAGUGGUAUCCUGUGGAAACUCAAUGGUUUUCUAGUAAAAUACUUCAUAUUAUCUUUGAAAAGAGACCAUACAUGCAGAUAAUUUCUGUGCAAGUGUUUUCACAUCUGCCUUGGUGAUGCCAGAACAUAAUGAUCUUAUUUUCAUCUUCUUUCCUGGCCUCCACUAGAUGGUCGAGAUAUAAAUGAAUCAAGGAUUCUCCUACUUCAUUUAUUUUUUCACCCACUAUGGCAAAAUCUGUUUGCCCACCAACUUCACAUCACAAUUCAUUUUCUUUUGGGAUCCCUGUGUGAAUCACCUUGUAUCAGUGUUCUUGUUGUAUGGAUUUAUGAGUUUUGUGAUAUUCUCCUAUCUCAUUCACUGAAUUGAUUUGCCAAACACACCAAAAAUAAAUGUUGCUAAUUUUUCUAAAAAAUUAUCAUAACUGCCAUCAGGUGUAUGCCAUUUGCCUAAUCAAUCAUUUUUUUUUUCUCAAAGUUAACAUUUGAAUCUGUUUUCCAUUCCAUGCCAUCAGAAUGCUCACAUUUACUCUUUAUUUUUGGUUUGCAUUGAACAGGAAGCCGUAGAAAGAAAAAGAUUGGUGGCAUUUAAGUGAUUAACACGUAUUUGCAGCAAAGAUAAGCCAUCAACUUAGCUGUGAGAAAGUAAGCUUCAAAUAUCAGUUCAAAGGAAUCUUCUCUUGAUGUUGUUUUAUAGUUUUAUUUCAAGGACUUGUAUGUCUAAGACAUAAAGAAAACACAUGAGUAUUUUACAGGACAAUAAAUGAAAAACUAUUAUAAAGGAAGUUAAAGAUAUCAUCAGUAAUCAGUAAGUGGAUGUCAUCUAAUUGCAAUUCAUGCACGGUAGUUUUGUCAAAGAACCUUUUGAUGCAUGAAUGAUUAGAGAACAUAGUCCACAAAGUUGAGAAACUUCUUUGAUUCUUAAUAGUUCAUGCAAUGUACUAUUCAGUAUCAUUACCAUCCAAAACCUGUUCAUCCUCAACUUUCUCAGACUGCAGACUAGAAGAAUGGACAACUAGAUUGACUUUCAUCUCCUAACAACCUACAAAUAGUCAUAAAUCAAGACAAUAUCAGGAGCUUAAGUUUAGCUCUUGUCAGAGCUUGGUCAUGUACACAAUUUAAGCCAAAAAAAGGCUGUUGGGAGUAUAAAGAACUGGGAUAAAAACUAAAACAAGGCCAAAAUCUCUGCAAAAAUGAUCAUUUUGAAUAAUCAAGAAGCCACAUAUGUUUUUGAGGACUACUAAUAGUUGCAGGUGGACUCCAAAAAUUUUGUUUGGUGAUAGGAGUUUUGGUUCUGGAGCACUGAAAGAAACUUGAACCAUUGGAUGAAGUAUCAUAUUUCAUGUCUUUUAUGCAGAGUAUGUAGAUGAAGAAAGAUUUCAAGUUAUUGGAUCAUUCUUGUAAUCAGACACUUGUGGUGGUGAUCCAUUCCCAAAUUCUCUCUAUUAUGUCAUAACCUGAAACGUGGAAGAAAGAAAACCAAGUGAUCAUUCUUAUUCUUACAAGUUGGUUUUGGGGCUUAAUAUGCCAUCUACCAACUGGUUCAACAGAAGUCCAAACUUUCAAUUUGAUUGUGAUUGUCACUAUUGAGUUGUUGUUUGAUUGUUCAAAUGACAUACAUGAAAUGGCUCUUUGCCAUGAACAAUUGAUCGGGAAGUUUUCUGAACAAUGGUUCAAAACUAUAAUUAUGGUCAGAUUAUUUUGUUAUUAUUGGAAUGUUCACAUAUAUGGUUAAUUUUGAUACAGCAGUCCAUCGGCUUUUAGAUUUACAUUUAUAUUGUGCUGUUGGAUAAUGCUAUAUGAUCUGUUUUGGUGAAUUCCAUACAGCUAAAAAUGAUUGACUUCAAAUCACCAUUCUUGACCAGCCAAUAUCACACUGAGCCCCCGAGAAUUUCAAACAGGUUCUUCAAAUUCACGAGUUCCUGCAAGAACAUUCCCAGAAAGUAUUUUCCGUUUUAACUAUGAUAAGGUGAUCUGUGAUGAAAUCGAGUGUCAUAUGUCUAAAUAACAAAAUCCAUUUACCAAGGGGUACAUUGUAAGAAUGAAAAAGAAAUAGAAUUAAAACCUUUCUACCUGCUCUAAUAUUCAAAAUAUAGUCAUAUAUUCAUCUGUUAACCCUAAAUCAUGGUUAUACAACAGGAUUUGUUUUCGAUUGAUGUGUAUUUAUUAUGCUGAUUUAUUGACCUUGUUCCUUCAUUUCGUCUUUUUUUUUCCCUUCUUAUUUCCUUUUUUCUAUGACUACAUUUCAAUUCUUAGAUUAUUAACAGUACAUCAAAGUUUUCAUCUGCUUCGACAUUUGUUCAACAAAAUAGUGUUGAGGACAUUAGCAUUUCCCUAAGGCUACAUCUGGUUUCAUGAGAGUUUGAGAAAAAGAAAAUAGGAAGGAAAAACAUAAGAAAAAGGAAAAGAAAAUUUACAAUAUUUUUACGUUGUUUGGUUGUCUGGCGAAAAGUUUUAGGAAAACAAAAUUAAGGUUAUAUUUGGUUUCUGGAAAGUAUUAAGAAAAAAAAGUUAAAAAAAAUGAUUUUCUCAUACUCAAUCGCAUUAUUGAAUAAAUGAAAAAAAAUCAAAUAUCAUUAAAAUUUUCCUUCCUUGUUAGAAAACGAUAAAUUUUUCGGUACUUUUGUAAAUGAUAGGCUCAUUGGGAUCAUAUAAAUUUUAAACACCACGACUCAAGUGAGCAAGAGUGGUGGACUCUGCGAGUUGACGGAGCCUCACGCUCAUCAGGCUCCGGAGUGGGGCUCGUACUACAGUCCCCAACUGGGGAACAUCUGGAGCAAGCCAUCCGGCUGGGAUUCUCUGCAUCUAACAAUGAAGCAGAAUACGAGGCUAUCCUGUCCGGAUUGGACCUCGCUCUUGCUCUAUCCGUCUCCAAACUCCGGAUCUACAGCGAUUCACAACUCGUGGUAAGACAUGUCCAGAAGGAAUAUGAGGCCAAGGACGCAUGCAUGGCGCGAUAUUUGGCUAAAGUAAGAAACACCUUGCAAUAAUUCACCGAAUGGACAAUCGAAAAAAUCAAGCGAACUGACAAUGGGCGCGCUGACGCCUUGGCUGGCGUAGCUGCUUCCCUCCCAAUCAAAGAAGCCAUUCUAUUGCCUGUACAUGUGCAAGCCAAUCCCUCUGUCGAAGAAAUCUCCGCUUGCAACACCAUUGAGGCAAAUCAAGCAGACGAUCAAGAAUGGACGUAUAACAUUGCAGAAUAUCUCCGGACAGGGAUUCUACCCGGAGAUACUAAACAGGCGCACAAAAUCCGGGUGCAAGCUGCCCGUUUCACACUGAUUGGGGGGCACCUGUACAAACGAUCCUUCACGGGACCUUACCUUCGGUGCUUAGGGCAUUCAGAGUCCCAGUAUGUGUUAGCUGAAUUGCAUGAGGGAAUAUGCGGAAAUCAUUCCGGAGGACGAUCUCUAGCACAUAGAGCUCAUUCGCAAGGAUACUAUUGGCCAACAAUGAAGAAAGACGCGGCAGCAUAUGUCCAGAAAUGUGAUAAAUGUUAAAGUUACGCCCCCAUUCCACAUAUGCCAUCAGCAAUGUUGAAGUCAAUCUCAGGCCCAUGGCCCUUUGCGCAGUGGGGCAUGGACAUAGUAGGACCCCUUCCAGCAGCACCUGCCCAGAAGAAGUUCCUCCUUGUUGCCACUGAUUACUUUAGUAAAUGGGUAGAAGCCGAAGCAUAUGCUACCAUCAAAGACAAAGAUGUCACCAAGUUCGUGUGGAAAAACAUUGUUUGUCGUUUUGGAAUGCCCCAAACUAUUGUAGCUGAUAAUGGUCCACAAUUUGACAGCACUGCAUUUAGGAAUUUAUGUUCGGAACUAAACAUCCGGAAUUCAUACUCCACACGCAUUAUCCUCAAAGCAAUGGCCAAGCAGAAGCCACAAACAAGACCCUAAUCAAUGCCUUAAAGAAAAGGCAUGAACAAGCCAAAGGGAAGUGGGUGGAGGAGCUACCCGGCGUACUAUGGGCCUAUCGAACUACACCCGGACGACCAACAGGAAACACUCCUUUCGCCCUCGCAUAUGGAAUGGAUGCAGUCAUUCCUACUGAAAUCGGUCUUCCUACUAUCCGGACUGAUGCAACAAAACAAAAUGAUGCAAACACGGAAUUAGGGAGAAAUUUUGAUUGGACAAAUGAAGUGAGGGAAAAUGCAGCCAUCCGUAUGGCAGACUAUCAACAAAGGGCAUCAACGCAUUACAAUCGCAAAGUGAAGCCCAGAAGCUUCAAAAAUGGUACGCUAGUACUUAGAAAAGUUUUUGAAAACACUGCUGAAAUAGGCGCAGGGAAGUUACAAGCUAACUGGGAAGGACCCUAUAUAGUGUCUAAAGCAUGUGAAAAUGGAGCCUAUCAUUUACAAAAGUUAGACGUGAUGAUGCUUUUUAUUACCAUCAAAUAUCAUUUUUAUUUUCGAUUCAAAGCAGCAAUAGUUAUCAAUGAUGGAAAAGAUGAAGAACAGUUAAUGUUAUCAUUGUGUAAAUGAUAACCCAUUACACCAUCAGUGUGAUGUAUAAUAAGAUUUUAACAUAUAAUAGUUAAGAUUAAGCAUAACAGAUUUUAACGUUGAUAGAAUCAGUCUAUGAAAAUGUCAUUUAGCCAUAAUCUAAUUUUUUAUUACCAUUGGAGAUUGUUUCAACGUGAGUUUAUUUAUACUAUUAAUGAAACAAAUCCAUGUUUCAGGAAGAACAGUUAUCAAAGAUGUCAUUUCUAUCAAUAAUCUAAUAUGAGAUUCUAUGUAAAUAUCAUUUUUGAAAACACUGCUGAAAUAGGCCCAAUUUAUCAUUUGCCCGUGAAAAUUUGUAAAUAGAACCGACGAUGUCGUCGUAAAAUGAGAAACCAAAUGAAGAAAGAAUAAACUUCCAUAAAACCUAGAUGGUGUCUAAACGAUGAAAAACCAAAGGAUCAUGUCCCAAUGAUUAGUUAUAAAUGGAAAAAAGGAAUGAGCUUAGAUAGAACCUAGAAAGUUGUCCCAAUGACGAAAAACGAGUAGAGCAAAUAAAUGAACUUAGAUAAAAUUUAGAUGGCGUCCAGUAACAAAAAACAACAAGGAUGAAGAAUAAACAUAGAUAGAACCUACGAUGGUUUCUAAACAAUGAGAAAUUAAAGGAACAAAAUAUUAAGCUUAGAUAGGGCCUGUCCGCGUUCCAAUGAUCACAAACCAAGGUAAAGAAUAAAUGACCUUAGAAAGAACAUACGAUGUCCCAAAAUGAGAAAAUAUCUUAAUGAACUCGAUGUUGUUGAAGAUACUCUUGACUGGAAACAAUUCAAGAUGAUAUCACUGAUAGAAAUGUCUCCUUAAGAUUGAGUCCUCGGGAGGAUGAUGGAAAUUAGUGUUAUCAUUGUGUAAUAUUAUUACCAUCAAAUAUUAUAUUAUGGCUAAAUGACAUUUUCACAGACUGAUUCUAUCAACGUUAAAAUCUGUUAUGCUUAAUCUUAACAGAACCAGUUUCUAUAAGGACUGCUUCAUAAAACUCUCUUGUUUUUAAAAUAUCACCAGAGGGAUAAUGAAAAUUUUCUUGAAAAGCUUUUGCAGCAAUCUCUCUGGGGUUUUCAGAGAAAAAUUAUCUUUCAAUAACCAAAAGAGAUUGAUUUAAAUCAUUUUGCCAAUAUCUUGAUUUUGUUGAAAGAUGUGUGGGGUUGGCAGCCACCACAAUUUGUUUGCUUGAAAAAGAAGAACUUGUUGCUAAUUCCUUUUGAGAGGGAUUAGCCUUAGUAACCUGCUUAAAGGUCUGAGACCCUGAGGUAGCUGGAUAUUGUGUUGCCUUAACUGGUUUAGAAUGAUCAGAAGGAUCAUAGUAUAAGGUCAACAUUUUGUUAGACAUAUGACUGGAUUCAUGCAUAGGUUUAGAAGAAUGAAGCUUUGCCAAAAGUUGUGCUUCUUCCUCUUCAACUUGUUGACUCCAAAGCAUUUUAUGGGUAGAAGGAGAUUGGUUAGCUUGACUGGAUUGGGGCUUUUGAGAGCUAGAAGCUUGGGUAUUCUUUUUAGGGGCCAUGAUCUCAUGAACCCUGCAAAAUUCACGAGAUAGCUAAUUAGGGCUGAAAUAAUCUCCUUUAAUAAAGUAACUUUGAAACUUAGAUUUUAAAAUAAUAUACCAGUUAAUUAAAUCAUACUUAAAAGUUAUAUAUUUAAUUGUUUCAAAAUCUUUGAAAACAAUUUUUAAUAAAAAAUCUUGAUUCAAAAUCCCAAUUUGAAAUUUUGAAAUGCAUAAAGAAAUGCUUAAAAUAUCAUUUAUAAUGAGAUUAUGAAUGAAUUGGGUACUUAAAAUCUUAGGUGGAUCAUUAAUUCUAACAAGAUUAAUCUCUUGAUCACAACGAGUGAUGCUUUCAACAGGAUUAGCAAAUUCAAAAAGAAUUUCCUUAUCAAAAAGCUUAGUUCUUAUACCUUGGUUAUCUACCCACAACGGAUAAAUAGAACUUAAGAAGGGUAUUCCUAGGAGGGCUUUUUCAUUAAGAUCCUUAACACUGGGGCUUAGAAAUUAGUGACAGUUUUUCGGUACUCGAACGGAUUUUACCUUUUGUCGGUACUCGCCCGGAUUAAACAAUUUUUCGGUACUCAGACUGAUUCUACCAUUUUUCCGUACUAGUCCGGACAGUUUUUCGGCACUCGCACGGAUUCCACCUUUUGUCGGUACUCGCCCGGAUUCAACAAUUUUCCGGUACUCACACUGAUUCUACCAUUUUUUCGUACUGGUCCGGACAGUUUUAAGGUGCUCGCACGGAUUCCACCUUUUCCCGGUACUCUUUCGGAUUCAACAAUUUUCCUCUACUCACACUGAUUCUACCAUUUUUUCGUACUGGUCCGGACAGUUUUAAGGUACUAGCACGGAUUCCACCUUUUCCCGGUACUCGCCCGGAUUCAACAAUUUUCCGGUGCUCACACUGAUUCUACCAUUUUUCUGUAGUGGUCCGGACAGUUUUUCGGUACUCGCAUGGAUUCCACAUUUUGUAGGUACUCGCCCGGAUUCAACAAUUUUCCGGUACUCACACUGAUUCUACCAUUUUUUCGUAAUUGUCCGGACAAUUGUAAGGUACUCGCAUGGAUGCCACCUUUUCCCGGUACUCAUCCGGAUUAAACAAUUUUCCGCUACUCACACUGAUGCUACCAUUUUUUCGUACUGGUCUGGACAAUUUUUCGGUACUCGCACGGAUUCCACCUUUUGUCGGUACUCGCCCGGAUUCAACAAUUUUUCGGUACUCACACCGAUUCUACCAUUUUUCCGUAUUGGUCCGGACAGUUUUAAGGUACUCGCACGGAUUCCACCUUUUCCCGGUACUCGCCCGAAUUCAACAAUUUUCCGGUGCUCACACUGAUUCUACCAUUUUUCCGUAGUGGUCCGGACAGUUUUUCGGUACUCGCACGGAUUCCACCUUUUGUAGGUACUCGCCCGGAUUCAAACACUCUUGGUAUAAAGUCGAGCAAAACCAAGGAAAAUGAUGAGGUAGUAGCAAAUCUACAAUGCUUACUUUCAUUCUUUGGUAUCUAUGAAAUGCUGCAACUUUUUGAGGAAACACAAAUUGCAUUGAUGUAGAUACAUAGAAAUCCAUCACUCUAUGCUACAAAAAUAAAGGGAGCAAAACAAUUUGAGAACAAAUGCCACAAUUGUGCAACAUGUUGUGCAACCAUCACUUUCACCAGUGAUGAUGAAAAAAGCAUGACAUCAAAUUUUACCACAAUUGUUUUCAAACCUCGACAUUCCAAUUAUGCUCCUUAAAGCAUGAACCUAAAAUGCAUAUUGUUUCUAUCCUAUAAGAGCUUAAACUAUAGUAUUAAAAAAAAAAAAUCAAGCUUAUGGCAAAAAUAAAAAUAAAAAAAUCUUUUUUGACAAUCUUUUUAAACUAAGGAACAAACUCUUUGUAUUAAAGAAGUCAAAUUCAUAGAUUCUAAACUAAAAUCUCCAACUUCUCUAAAUAAAAGUGUUAUUUUCUUUUAACAUGACAAGUUCUCAAAAUGGCAAUGCAACCCAGAAGCUAAAUCCAAAAAUGAAGGUUCAAAAGUCAUGAUCAAACUCCAAACAUUUUUCAACAAGCUCGUGGAAGAAUAUCAAGCACCAUACAAAAUUGUCAUUCAUCCACCUUCAAAGCUAAAGAAAAUAAGGUUAGGUUCUUCAAAACACUUCAGGAAAUUAUUGAUAAGUUUACUUGAGAUUAGGUCAUCCUUGACCAUCAAUUAAACUUUGCUCCAAGAACACGUGUUUACUACCCUUGGAUUAAAGUCAAGUCUAAGCUCGACACAUUUUUCAACAAUCCUAUGGAAGAAUAUCAAACACAAUACAAAAGUGUCAUUCAUCCAUCUUCAAGGAUGAAAAUCAAGAUGAAUUCAAAGGACCUUAUUUUGUUCUCCAAAAUGCUUAAGAAAGGUCUUCACAAGUUUGGUUGAGAAUAAGUCAUCUUUGACCAUCAAUUAAACUUUGUUUGUGGAAUUGCCUAAGAUUAUAUCAGAAGAUCAAUUGACCGAUAUCCUCACCAAAGCUGUCUCAAGUCAAGUGUUCUCAAAAUUUUUAGAUAAGUUGGGCAUGUGUGACAUCUAUGCACCAACUUGAGGGGGAGUGUUAAGAUAUUAGAAAUGUUUUCCAUAUAUCAUUCUUUCCUUAUAUUAUUUAGUGUUGAGAUAUUAGGAAUGUUUAAAUAUUAGGAAAGUUGAGAUAUUAAGAAUAUUGAGAUAUUAGGAAUAUUGAGAUAUUAGGAAAGUUGAGAUAUUAAGAUAUUAGUUGUUAUUUCCUUAUAUCAUUCUUUCCUUGUAUCAUUCCUUCCCAUUCUUAGAAUGGUGAUUACCCUCUAUAUAUUCUCUGUACAUGAACGAAUGAAAGUAUGAAUGAAAAAACUAUCAUUUAUCAAUUUGAACAAAAUUCACUUUAUUGAGUUUAUCCUAAUAGUAUGAUGUUGAAAACUCAAGCCUGACUCACAUAUACCAAGUUGUUUACUUAGCUUGUUGAAUCGUGAAACAUGAAUCAUUCCUAUUGCGCUACAAAGGGGAUAUCAGGGGUGCUUGUGAAUUUUGUUUCUUAUAUUUGUUGAAUGAUGAGUUUGUCCUUAUUGUGUUUUUAACUCUUUUAUUAUUUAAGGCUUUGUUUUAGAGAGUACACUUGUGAAUUAGCGUUUAUCAUCAUAAUCCUUUACAAGAAAGUAAGCGGUGCAACUAGCUAAGUCCUUAGGCUUAUUUAAAUAAAGAUUCCAAUUGGACAAGUCAAAUUAAUCGGGUUAGAGAAAGAAGACAGGAUAAGAACCCUAACCCUUGUGUCAUAAGGCUGCAAAGGCACUAUCAAGGAGAGGCUUUUGAGAGAGAUACAGGUGAAGUGGAGCCUUUAAUGCUUGGAGUGCUCAUCACACAAAUAGGGGCUCAUCACACAAAUUUUAAACACUUUUACCCUAAACAGAUCAUAUAAAUUGAAUUGCUGAUAUGUCCACGGGCAAAUGAUCGCUGAAACUCGCUGAAACUCACACUAACAAAGAUCCAAUCCACCAUAGCGCAUUGGAUAUUGGUCUUCUAACUUACACUGGGGUACUUCUAGAGAACUCCAAGUCUCCAAGCAUACGCCUCUAUUUCAGGCAUGCCUAUUUGGUUCACUUCCAAGAGUAGCAUGUUAGAGACAUAUCAAAUACACAUACCCACGUCGUGCCAUGUAAAGGUACUUCACAUGUUGAAUAUUGUGUGCAACAUAGGUGGGAGCUGUGGGAUGUAACCCCCGAUCACAUCAACUUGGAAAACAGUUUACUAUGACAAUUUCCUUAAAGGUUCACUUUCUUAGUGUAGCAGAACAAAACGCCAACAGGUUGUUUCAUUAGUUGACUUAUAACCUAUUGAUGAAAUCUCUAAAAGGGAAAUCAGAGCUGUCUGUAUCUUCACGUGUUCUUUGUUGGAAAUGGGAAUAAAGAAUUAGAAUCUUCUCUUUGGGAUGUAAUAUCCAAACAAUGAAAAGAACGAUGAUGCCUAAGAAUCAUGGUUUGAUGCUUCUUCCAACAAUGUGUCCUUGUUAUAGACUAUAGACUCACAUGUGUUUGCAGCCUGCUAAUACCUAUGAUAAAAUCAUCAAUUGCAUCCUUUGAUUAUGACUAUGCAUCUUUUCCUGAGUUAGAAGAAUCUGCGAGAUCCGUGUCUCUCUCAAAGAUAUUACAGGCUAUUCCCUUCUUCAGCUCUGUCAUUCAUUUUCAAACUCCAUAUCAGUCGAGAGAAAAUUUGAUUGAUUUGCUAGACAAGGUAUUAUUUAUUAUAACAAUUUUUUAGGCCAUGUAUCUGUGCUAUGCACUAUGUGGAGUUGGCCGAACCAAGGCACACAAUUGGUAAAAAUUGGAGAGAAAGAGCAUGGUCCAACUGAUGUGAUUUAUGAAGCUUGAAUUUAUUCGAAGGAAAAUGCUUUGUUGCAAGAGUCACAAGCCAUGCCCAACUGGCAUGAGUUUAAUUAAGGGUCAUAUUCCUUUUCUUAGCCAUUGCUUGGUGUUCAGGUCACACGGAUGUUGGACCUCUAGAGUUCACAAGUAGGGGUGAUUAGGCAUACAGGCAUUCCAACCUAUUUUAGUGGAAGGAUGUGCUAUUUGUUUACAUCCAUUAGUUCAUAAGGGAUUCAAUGCAGAUUUUGAUGGGGAUCAAAUGGCUGUUCAUGUACCUUUAUCUUUGGAGGCUCAAUCGGAGGCUCGCUUACUUAUGUUUUCUCAUAUGAAUCUCUUGUCUCCAGCCAUUGGGGAUCCCAUUUCCGUACCAACUCAAGAUAUGCUUAUUCCUGUGCACACCACACAAACCGGCAACCCAUGAUCUUGAAGAGUUGAAAUCAAGCAAUUCUGUUUUGGUAAACUAAUUUUAUCAUUGCAUGCUUUAAAAGAUUGACCUGAUUAAGAGGAUUCAUUACAUACAAGGUAUAAGAAAGUUGCCUUAUUAUCACGUGUCAUUGGAUUAUAAGACUAGGCAAAUGGACAUCCUUACACACCAAAGAACAAUCUAAUACUAUUUUGUAAUGACUUGCUCUUUCCCGUGUAGAUAUUAUCCGUGCUAGAUCUAAUAAGUUAUCAUAAUUUAAAAAAGCGUGUACCUAAGAUUAAAGUGUCCACUGUUCAACACAGGAGAUCUUCCCUCUGAAGCCGGCAAUUGCCUGGUUGGGUGUUGCUAGUGACUAAUUUUCAAAUCAGUUUAGACUUCACAUAUUUUAAAUAAGAUGACUUGAGCUGUAUAGAAAAGGAGAUAUAUUUUCAUGCAUAGAUCCAAUCCUUCUCUUUUUUUUUUUUGGGUAGGAAUGUGGCAUGGUAUUGACAUUUUUGUUCCGACAUUGGGCUCGUGUGCUCGUGACAGACGACAGCGAGGGUACGAAGAGAGUAAAACAAUCACAGACUGCACAGGACAUGAAAAACUCAACGAGGCUAGCGUGUGCGUAUUACAAAGACAAGCAAAUUAGCUGGCGAGAAAUCUAACAGUUAUCUUCAAAUUCAUGAACUAUGGAGUUUGUGCACACUAGAAUACAACGUCAGCCACGCACAUGAAGCCAUUGAAAAGAGGGUUAGAUUUGUCUUUUGGGAAGUAAAGAAAAGAAAGGGAAUUUGAAGCCUUGUGGUACAAACUACUAAGUAACAAAGCAAGGGAUUGGGUUGUUGAAAGUUAAAACCUGAAGGUCAUACCUUUGUGCGAGCCACUUGAAUUGAAGGCCGUUGGAUCACAUGUGACAUGCCAUUGAUCUCUAAAGUUAAUCUUAUAAGUCCCUUGGACCCGUGGGAUGCUGCCUUGUCCUCAUGAGGAAUAUCUUUCCACGGGGACAUAAUAUAUCUCGAAAGCAUUAUUAACAAGACAAAGACAACAACGUCAUCUAUCCCAUUUGAAUUUAAGAUAGAUGCCUUUAUUUCAUGUACUUCUCUCACUUGCGACUUCCGGGAAGCUCUUGAGGUAGGAUUCAUCUCGUUGGACGUGGUUCGUUUCCUGCCUCACAUUGGAUUAAAUUACAUCAUUUCAAAUGAUAAGAUAUAAAUUAAAAUAUAAUUUAAUUAUUAAAUAAUUCUCUAAGUCUUACGGGAAAUUUCUUAAGUCAAUAUGAUCUUUUACACCUUCGAAAACCAUAAUAUAAUCAAUUUUCAUGUCUUUCGAAUUUAGAGUAAAUAAUAUCUAUAUGAUUCAAUAGGGAUCAAUAUAAAUAGUAUUAGAGUCAAUCCUCAACCUUGAUGUAGAGUUUUAUUUAACCUUAUGAGGGGUGUUUAUUUGUUUAAUUUCAUGAUAUAGUGAAAUAUAAUUAGGGAUCAUUAUAAAUAGUAUCAAAGUCAAUUUUCAACUCCGAUGUAAAAUUUUAUUUAAUCCUUUAUGGGGUGUUUGUUUGAUUUCAUAAUCCCGUGAAAUAUAAAUAGGAUUUUGUAUUUAUAUAAAAGAUGUUUGUAAUAUCUCCUAUUUUACGAUGAAAAAAAAUUUCUUAAUAUUAUAUAAAUAUAAACUCUUUCUAACUUGUUAAUGUUAAUAUGAUUAACCUUUUAUAUUUAUAAUUUAAUUCACCUGUUAAUUUGAAUAAAUCAAAUAUAGAUGGAAGAGAUGGAGAUUAUAAUUAGGAUAAUUAAUAUAAUGAUUAUUAAAUUGAUUUUCGAAUUAAAUAAUUAAAUUGGUUUCAAAACACAAAUUGAAUCUGAUUCCACACGAAUUUUAUCGAAAUAUGAUUGUACUCUAUCCAAGUGUGGCUUUUUCUUUUUGUUUUCCAAAAGCUAAAAAUAUAAUUUAUUUUAUUUUAUUUUAAAAUUUGGCCCAGUGCGGGCCCCGGGGGGCCAAGGCGACGGUCUGACAGCUAAGAGGAAUUAUUAAUUAAUGACUAAUACUAGUCAGCAGGGAGGUGGCGGAAUUAAUAACUAGUACUAGUUAGCAGGCAGGCGGCUGCGAGUGGUGACUAAUGCGAAGCAGUGGAGCAGUGGAGGAGGACCUAAUUGAACGUCAACUCUGAAACUAAAACCAGAGAAAGAAGGAGAAAAACAAUGGCACAGCCAUGGAAGAAGAAAACAUGUUACUGGAUGAAGGCGAUGCUUCUUGCUUUGUGGUUUUCUGGGAUCCAUGUGUUGGCUGAUGCGGCUGCAGCUGUUUCCAAGGAACAAAAUCAAUUGCGGUUCAGCAAGGAGGGGCAGUUCAAGAUACUACAAGUUGCGGACAUGCACUUUGGUGAUGGCAAGUCCACCCCUUGCAAGAAUGUUCUCCCUAAUCAGAUGCGCGGUUGCUCCGACCUCAACACUUCCGCUUUCAUUCAUCGCAUGAUCCAAGCUGAGAAGCCUCAUCUCAUUGUUUUCACGGGUAUUUUCUUCCAUUUUCUUUAUUAUUGUGUUUCUUACCAUCUGUUUGGGAAAUUAGAGAGCCGAGUGAAUUCCCAUCUCCCAAGAAUUUUCCCCAAAACCCCUAAAGCCUUGUAGUUGGAGUUGAUUUAUGCAGGCGAUAACAUAUACGGAAAAGACGCCAAAGAUGCAGUGGCGUCUUUGAAUGCUGCAUUCGCACCUGCGCUAUCAUCAAACAUACCCUGGGCUGCUGUUCUCGGCAACCACGACCAGCAAUCCACUCUCUCAAGGGAAGGGGUGAUGAAAUAUAUAGUCGGCAUGAAACACUCCCUGUCUCAGUUGAAUCCCCCCGGGGUUAACAUUAUUGAUGGUUUUGGGAACUAUAAUCUGGAGGUUAGCGGGGUUGAGGGUUCUAGUUUACAUAACAAAUCAGUU
RNAcentral lists this long non-coding RNA (103663 nucleotides) under Vitis vinifera (wine grape). Its description in RNAcentral is "long non-coding RNA (VVIN_LNC005194)". The record is from RNAcentral. Lineage: Eukaryota; Viridiplantae; Streptophyta; Magnoliopsida; Vitales; Vitaceae.